Molecule: long non-coding RNA, 132734 nt
Filed under: Malus domestica (apple)
Lineage: Eukaryota; Viridiplantae; Streptophyta; Magnoliopsida; Rosales; Rosaceae
Description: long non-coding RNA (MDOM_LNC015763)
Rfam family: tRNA (bases 72754-72827)
Source: RNAcentral
AGCUCCAUUCUUGCACUUCUAAGAUCUUGAUUUGUCUGACCUCUUCCCUCUUCAACACCUUUGAAAAUGUCUGGCCCCUCCGACCGUCGUUUUGACUUGAAUCUUGGAGAAGAGACAGCCACGCCUUCUCCAGACAACAUAUGGCGCCCAUCCUUCAUAUCCCCUACUGGUCCUCUUACCGUUGGGGAUUCUGUGAUGAAGAAUGAUAUGACUGCUACGGUGGUUGCUAGGAACCUUCUCACUCCCAAAGAUAACAGACUACUUUCCAAACGGUCUGAUGAGUUGGCUGUUAAGGAUUCUCUGGCUCCUAGUGUUCAGUGUGCAGGUUCUGUGUCUAAUAUGGCCCAACGCCUAUUUGCUAGAACCCGCCAAGUUGAAUCAUUGGCUGCUGAAAUGAUGAGUCUCAAAUAGGAGAUUAGAUGGCUCAAGCAUGAGAAUAAACAGUUGCACCGGCUCGCACAUGACUAUGUUACAAACAUGAAGAGGAAGCUUGACCAGAUGAAGGAAUCUGAUGGUCAGGUUUUACUUGAUCAUCAGCGGUUUGUGGGUUUGUUCCAAAGGUAUUUAUUGCCGUCGUCUUCUGGGGCUGUACCGCGUAAUGAAGCUCCAAAUGAUCAACCUCUGAUGCCUCAUCCUUCUGGGGUUCUGUCCAGUACUGAGGCUCCGGAUAACCAUCAUCCGGUGCUUUCUCUUUCUAGGGCUCUACCGACUGCUGAGACUUCCCCUAAGCAACCUUUGUGAAGGCUCCCUCUUGUUUGUUUAUUUUGACUCAUGUAUAUGUACAUAUUUGUAGCUUAUCGGAAAUAUUAAUAAAUAAAUUUUACUUCAUUUCAACGUAUUGUGUUAAAUACACCAAAGCCUUCUUCAGAAAGUUCUCUGAAUUUUUUCUUUUGUCGAAACUUGUAUUGUUGAAGCUUUGUGAGUGAAACAUGUAGUUUGAGGUAGUGUUCCCUUAGUUUCCCGAGUGAGGAAAACUUCUCGGUUGGAGACUUGAAAAAUCCAAGUCACUGAGUGGUUGUGAGACUUCCGAGUAUCAAGGUGCAGUAGCAUAUGGUGGGAGUCCCCCAAGUCUUCAGGCGAGGAAAGUUGCCGAAUGAGGUGUCCUGCUUGCUACUAAUUUGUCAAAGUAACGAAGCCUUGUUUUGAUAUCACACCUUCAUAUAUGCCUUAUCCAAAAAUAUUUCAAGCUGGUUUUAGCUUUGCGAGGGCCCAAAAUUUUUGUGUGGCCCAAAAUGGCAAGCCCAAAGGGAGUCAGCGUAGAGGGAGCAGUAGCUCUUCAAUAUAACACCAUCUUCUGUAGCUCAAAUCGCAAAAUUUUCUUCAUGAAAAUUGUUCCUUAGCGUGUGAACUACAACAUAUCCAAAUUUGAGAUCCAUCGGAGUAGUACAACUCCAGACAUUCAGGUAUGAUGAGUAACUGUUCAUCAUUUUUCUGUUAACCCGUCAGACUUGUUGUGAGCUUCGAAACUCCAUUUUCUCUUUCAGAUCAACAUACUUUCUUCAUCGAAGUUGUUCCUCAUCAUCUCUUCCAUAACAUAUCAAAAAUUCAGAACAAACUAACGGUUGAAUAUUUCCAGAUCUUCGAAACACCGCAGCAGCUUUGAAGCUUGCAGAAAUCUGACCGUCAUGUUUGGAGCUUCAACACUCUAACUUCCGUCGCUCAAAUAGAAACAUUUCCUUUGUGAAAGUUGUUCAUCUGCUCAAGAACUAUAAGAUGUCCAAAAUUCAGCUCCACUGGAAUUAGCUUCGCACUAUCUUGAUGAAGAGUGUGUGAAGCUUUUAUAUGUUUUGGUGUUGAAAUUUAGUAUUGUAGGUGAAGUUUUGGUGGCACCAUAAAUUGAUUUUGCUUCACACUAUCUUGAUGAAGAUAGUGCGAAGCUUUUGAGAUUGAUAUUUGUCCUCCAUUGAUGAAGCUUUUUUGAAUUUCCUAAUUUCCAAUUUCCUCUUUUUUAUUUUUUAUUUUUUUUGGAAAACUAGAAAUUUGAAAAUGUGGGAGAGACAACGUAUACAAAUUUUGCUUCCACACUGUUGAGCAAGAGAUUGUGAUGCAAGCCACAUCUUGUAGUAGUCGAAGGUUUGGAUGAACCAUAUAAAUUGAAUUUGCUUCGAACAGUCUUGAUCAAGAGCGUGUGAAGCUUUCUAUGAGUUGUAGUGUUUGCAUUGUUACAGAGGAGAAAUGUCUGAAGCAGAUGCAAGAGGGCUGAAGAGCUUGAUCUUCGUAUACCAUGCACUGAAGCCAUUGUUGGCUUGCAAUAAGACUUUGUUGGUGACUAUAGCUCUUGUUAGGCAUAAGUGCUCCCCUAGUUGAGUUGUAAAGCUUGAGGGUUUUUGAUUAUUUGUGAAUGCUAGGAGUUCACAUGUACAAGUUGUACCACUCGUCUUCUGGUUAGUGGAAUGAAUGGUGGGUUGCUUUCAUCACUUGGUUGGUGGUACGAAUGUGAAUUCCUUAAUCACCUUUCAUCACAUUUCAUCACCUGGUUGGUGACAUGAAGGAGAGUACGCGUUGUACAUUUCAUCACCUGGUUGGUGGCAUGAAGGAGAGUACGCGUUGUACAUUUCAUCACCUGGUUGGUGGCAUGAAGAUGAGUUCCUUCUUCACCUGAUUGGUGAUAAGGGUGGCAAGUUUCCAAAUAAUAUUAGAGUACGGGUUGUACAUUUCAUCACCUAGUUGGUGGCACGAAGGUGAGUUCCUUCAUCACCUAGUUGGUGAGAAUAAGGGCAAGGUGUCGAGGCACAUUGUGGCAAAUGUCGAAUGACACAAAGUGUGUUGAAACCUUUUCGAAGCACAGUUGGCUUAUGUAUGGAUGUGUUGGAAUGUAUGAUGUUUAUGUAUGAAUGUGUUGGAAUGUAUGAUGUUUAUGUAUGAAUGUGUUGGAAUGUAUGAUGUAGAUCCUUUGUAUAGUCUUGUUGACACAUACUUAGAUUUUGUUUUGUAUUGGAAACAUUUGCGUUGAAGCUUCAACACUUGAGUGUUUCAUUGCUCAGAAUGUAAAAGAGUUUAGGGCCGAGUUGGCUAAAUCACCUCUUUAUUGAAUUCAUACCAAAUGGUCUUUGUUACAUAGGAUGCCGAACGGCUGUAGCUUAACACUUGUACAAUGUGAGUCUAUUUGUAAUAGUACUUUAAGUGGUCAACAUUCCAUGGAUGGCCAAGGGUCUUGCCGUCGGAGCUUCUGAGCUUGUAGGAGCCAGGGCAGCUGAUGCCGACGACUUCGAAUGGUCCAUCCCAGUUAGGACUGAGUGUUCCUUCACUCGGGACUCUAUCACAGAGUAAUCUUUUCUUCAAUACCCAGUCUCCCACUUUGAAAGAGCGAGGUUUGACCCUUGAGUCAUAGUAGUUGGAAAUGCGUUGCUUGUAGGCGACAUUCCUCAUGUAAGCCUGAUUUCUGUGUUCCUCGACUAGAUCCAGGUUGAGGGUGAGUUGUUUGUCGUUCUCACUCUGCAUGUAGUUCUGGAUUCGGUAUGUUGCUUGCUCAAGCUCAACCGGGACAACUGCUUCUGUACCAAAAGCAAGUGAGAAUGGAGUUUCUCCUGUGGAAGUUCGAUAUGAAGUGCGGUAUGACCAAAGAACUUGGGGUACGAAUUCUGGCCAACAACCUUUAGCUUUGUCCAAGCUAGUUUUCAGAGUGCGCUUGAUUAUUUUGUUAACGGCCUCGACUUGUCCAUUAGACUGGGGAUGGGCUGGAGAGGCAAAACAUAAGUUGAUGUUGAACUUUGAGCAGAACAUCCUGAACUUCUUGUUGUCGAACUGCCGCCCAUUGUCCGUGACUAUCGCAUUGGGAAUGUCGAAUCUGCAGAGGAUGUUCUUCCAUACGAAGUCUUUUAUUUUUGCCUCAGUAAUGGUUGCCAAGGGUUCUACUUCAACCCACUUUGUGAAGUAGUCAACUGCAACGAUUGUAUAGCGAACCUUGCCCUUCCCUGCAGGCAUUGGGCCGAUCAAAUCAAGUCCCCAUUGGGCCAAGGGCCAAGGGCUGAUCAUAGGAGUGAGCGGCUCGGGAGGGGAGUGAGGGAUAGUUGCAUAGCGUUAACACUUAUCACACGAGCGAUAUUCUAAUGGCAUCUUGGUGGAGUGUUUGCCAAUAGUAUCCUUGGCGAAAAGUCUUGUGUGCUAGGGAUCGAGACCCAGCAUGAUCUCCACAGACUCCUUCAUGUAUUUCCCGAAUGACAAUUUCCGCCUCCGCAGGUGUAAGGCAUCUUAGGUAUGGCAGGGUGAAACCGCGCUUGUAGAGUUGGUCAUUAAUGAUCAGAUAGCGGGCAGACUUGUAUCGAAUCUGCUUAGCUUGGACUUUGUCAAUUGGGAGGGUACCAUGAGCAAGGAAUUUAUAAAUUGGGGUGAUCCAACUAUCUUCUUGUUGUAAAUUGCACACUUCCGCGACCAUGGUGCUUGGUGCUACCAACAAUUCGACAUGAAUUUUUCUCCCAAUCUUGUCUUCCACUGCCGAGGCGAGGCGAGCCAAAGCGUCUGCAUGACUGUUUGCCGCUCGAGGAACUUGGGUGAUCUGGUAAGGGAAGUGCUUGAGCAAAAGUCGCGUUUGCGCAAGAUAUGCUGCCAUGGAGCUAUCCUUAGCAUCAAAGUUGUUUGUGACGUGGUUGACCACUAAUUGGGAGUCACUGAAGAUAUCAAUUCGUUUAACCCCGAGGUGUUUGGCCAAACGUAAGCCUGCUAGAAAGGCUUCGUAUUCGGCCUCGUUGUUUGAUGCCUUUAAUUUGAAACGAAUAGCGUAUUCCAUCGCCACUUUGUCGGGGGUAGUGAAGACUAAUCCUGCUCCGCAGCCCUGUUGGUUGGAUAAGCCAUCAACAUAUAGACUCCAUGCUGGGGUUGUUGAUUCUAUCUUCUAAGCUUCCGAUGGUAAUGAAGCUACUGCUUCAGGUGUAGAAGCAAUGUCAACAUGAUACGUGAAGUCGGCGAUGAAAUCUGCUACUGCUUGACCUUUUUCGGCUGAUUUUGGUUGGUAGGAGAUGUCAAACUCACCCAAUGCUAUCACCCAUUUGAUCAUUCACCCAGACGUGUCAGGACUCUGGAGUAUCUGUCGAAGAGGGUGAUUGGUAAACACGAUGAUGGCAUGUGCUUAGAAAUAAGGGCGAAGUUUUCGAGCAGACAUGACCAAUGCUAGAGCUAAUUUCUCAAUGUUGGAGUAUCGUGUCUCCGCAUUUUGUAAGGUCUUGCUAGCGUAGUAGACGGGCAUUUCGACCCCACUGUCCAUUCGAAUAAGAACAGAACUGACUGCUGAAGCCGAAACCGAUAGAUAGAUAAUGAGAGUGUCACCAACUUCUGGUUUGGAGAGCAGAAGGGCUUUACUCAUGUACUCUUUGAGGUUCCUGAAUGCCUUGGCACAUUCCUCCGUCCAUGUAAUGUACUUCUUAUUUCCCUUGAGUGCUUUGAAGAAAUGAGCACAUCUGUCUGUGGCCUUAGAGAUGAAUCUGGUUAAGGCUGCCACCUUACCAGUAAGGCUUUGGAUGUCUUUUGAAGUUAUUGGCUCUUUCAUGUCGAGGAUUGCUUUGAUCUUUUCGGGGUUAGCUUCAAUGCCUCGUUGGCUAAUCAUGAAGCCUAAGAAUUUGCCAGAGCCCACGCCGAAGGCACAUUUGUUGGGGUUCAACCUCAUUCGAUACCUCUUUAGAAUGGUGAAAGUUUCAGAUAGGUUGGUGAUGUGUUGGUCAGCAUGUUUGCUCUUGACUAGCAUAUCAUCAACGUAAACUUCCAUGCUCUUCCCAAUCUGUUCGGCGAACAUUGAAUUGACCAGUCUCUGAUAAGUUGCUCCUGCAUUCUUUAGGCCGAAAGGCAUGACUUUAUAGCAAUAUAGUCCCCUGUCAGUAGUGAAGGUCGUGUGUUCUUGGUCUAAAGGGUUCAUGAGGAUUUGGUUGUAUCUUGAAUAAGCGUCCAUGAAGCUCAAGAGCUCACACCCUGCCGUAGAGUCUAUAAGUCUAUCAAUGAGAGGAUGAGGGAAACUAUUCUUCGGGCAUCUUUUGUUUAGGUCGGUGUAGUCGACACACAUUCUCCACAAGACCUUUUGAAGCAGGAGACUUUCCUUGGUCGGAUUUUUCUUAACAAGGACAACAUUUGCUACCCAUGUUAGGUAAUUGACUUCACGGACGAAACCUAUGUCCUUGAGUUUUUCAACUUCUGCUUUCAUCGCCUCGUAUCGUUCAACAUCAUAAGAUCUUCACUUCUGUUUUACUGGUUUUGUCUUGGGAUCAAUACUCAAGUGGUGACAGAUGAUAUCGGGAGAGAUGCCCGGCAUAUCUUUAUAUGACCAAGCGAAGACCUCGGCGUUCUCUUGUAAAAAUGAGAUCAGCGACAACCGAAGGGGUGGUGACAAAGUGGUGCCAAUCUUCACCAUGCGAUCUGGAUGGUCUUUGGAGAUAGAGACAUUCUCUAACUCUUCAGCGGGUUGUGCUUGCUGGGUGAAUGAGUCAUCUCAAGGGUCGUCGGGUUGACUAUUGCUAUCAUGAAAAUCUGAGUUGGCUUCAUCUUGACUGGUCUUUACUACCUGGUUAUGUACAGAGAGGGUCUCCUUGGGGACAUGCAGGUGUUGUUGCUUAACUAAAGUGUUGUAACAUGAUCGAGCACUAAGUCGAUCUCCCCUGAUGUAUCCAUUGCCGAAAGGGGUUGGAAACUUCAUUAACAACAUAUGUGUGGAUACCAUGGCCUUGAGAUCAUUGAUGCCUGUGCGCCCAAAGAUGACAUUGUAUAUCGUUGGGCAAUUGACCACUAGGAAGUUAGUGGUAAUAGUAGCUGUGUAGGGGCCUGUACCAAUGGUGAGGGGUAAGUGUAUACUCCCUAAAGGUUGUACGAUAUCGCCAGAGAAGCUUAUCAGAGGAGAAAUCGAGCGAUCGAGCAAGUGUUCAGCUACAUUAAGUGCCUUGAAAGCUUCAACAAACAUGAUAUUGACUGAAGCACCUGUGUCUAUCAGGAUUUGUUUCACAUCAAAAUUUGCUAUGUGAGCCUCCACGAUCAGCGGGUCGUUGUAAGGGUAGAUGAUACCUCUUUCUUCCUCAGGGUAAAAACAUAUUGGAUCCCAGUUAGGCUUUUGAUACUUGCCUCCCCUGAUGUCUUCCACGUGAAACACUUGAUGGCCAGGUCUCAAAGUUCGUUCACUGUUUUUCAUGGCCCUAUUGGAAGAUUCAGACAUGGGUGUGCCGUCGCUUAUGGAAUAUAUCACAUUCACCUGGCGUUGGUUACAUUUAUCCCUUGAAGGGUGAAUGAGGAACUGAUCAAUUUUUCCGUCACGUGCCAAAGCUUCAAUAUGAUCACGGAGGAUGAUGCAUUUCCCGCCAUCGUGGCCAUUAUAGUCGUGGUAGCAACAAAACACGCCCGUGUUCUUCGUGGACUUGUAAUCUGGCUGUCUUGGCUUUGGCUUUGGUAUCAGGUGAGCUAUACUGGGGUAGAUGGACGCGCAUGUAGUGUUCAAAGGUGUGUAUGUCUCAUACCUUGGGGUAGGGCCUGUCUUGGCACGUGAUUGGUCCACUGCGUUGACUGCCUGGGGACGGGCGUUAUUGUGACGAUAUCCUGAGUUAUCGUGAUAGUGCCCCUUAUUCUUUUAUUAAAAUGAGAUUGGUGAGGAUGGAAAUCUUUCCUUUUGCCCUGGGAUUGAUAUGUCUGCUGACUUGGCGAAGCAUUAAAUGAGGCAGGGGGUGUGCUGUUACCGUUUGGAAGGUUGAGGUCUUCUCAUUUGGUUGGAUCUGGCCUCCACUCUCUACCUGCUGAUAAGGGGUGACUGUAGGGGGUUUCCCUUGAUAUGUUCUUGCCUCGGCGGAGGCAUGGUUGUAAGCUUGUGCCAUCACCUCAGAGUAAGUCUUCCAAGUGUUGGCGUUGAUCAUGUACUUGAAGAAACAGUCACGUAAGCCUGCCGUGAAGACCUUGAGGGCGGUCUUGUCAUCUGCCUCAGCGCAGCGAGAAUACUCAUGGCUGAAGUGGCCAGCAUACUUUCGUAAUGACUCGUCCGGCUUCUGGCGAAUAGUGUAAAAGUCAUCUGCAGAAUGCAAGCGAUCGGUCUGGAAGAUGUGUUGAGAGACAAACAGCUUCCUCAACUCUUCAAAUGAGUCUACUGUUUCAGGUGGAAGACGACAAUACCAGUUUAAAGCUCCGCCAGAUAGGGUGGAGGGGAAGAGAAGGCACCAUUCUUCGUCGGUGUGUCUCCGAUAUACCAUGGUGGACUCAAAGAGGUUAAUGUGUUCAAUCGAGUAUUCCCUUCCAGUAUAGAGUUGUAAGUCAAGCUUGUGCUUUGUCUUCGCUUGGAGGGGGGUGUUGAGGAUCUCGGCUUGACGUUCAGCCUUCAACUUGUUUACUUCCUCUAGGAGCUGUAGGACAAGGGGGUCCUGAGUGGAGUUGUGCACCACUGAAGUUUUCUUCCGUAAGUCCUCAUCGCCUCUUGUAAGUAGGAAAGUUUGAUCAAGAUAGUGUGAUUUUUCCUUGGACUCGCCACACUGACUCCUAGAGUGAGUAUGUCAGAAUAUUUCCGAGUCCCCUGUACCUUCAUAUUUUUAUGGGACCUGUUGCCCAUUCCCUAGAUUGGCUGCUGGCCUGGGUCAUGGAAGAGGACCGAGUCUUUCAGAAACUCUUGUGUCAUUGAUCUUCGAGCUUAUGUGGAUGAGAUUCUCUCGACGUUGCUUUAGGAAGUCUCGACAAUCGCGAUAGACGGCUUUUGAUCCUUCCACUCCCUCUGUGAAGAUGUGCUUUCCUCUACUUCUUCUGCUUCGGGUUGAAGCAGAUGGGUUGAGAGAAGUCUCAUGUUGAUUAUCACAUUGAUGUGUAGCUCAAUCCCUAUCAGGGAUGUCCGUGUUGGAUAUCGGUGACCCUCCAUGUUGGGGGGCAUUCAGAUGAUUGUUAACCUCAACAGAGGCGACGAGCUUAUGUGUUUGAGCAUGCCUAGCCUCGUGAAGCAUCUCAAAAAGUUUUUCAUAUUGUUCCUGGAGGAACUCAUUCUUCAUCGCUAUCUUGUUAUUCUGAACCUCUAGCUCAUCGACUUUAGCUUGAAGAGCAACUCUAUUUCCUUCCUGCUUUCGUUGCUUCAUACUAGGUCCAAGGGGGGUGUCAUUCUGUGUGCUAUGGCUUCUUUCGCUCCCCAUGUCGGAGAGAGAUGCUUGGCCAAAAGAGUGUACGAGCGGUGGAAACCAGCUUGACAAAGCUGAAGAAAGCGAGAAUAAGUGUCGUUCCCACAGACGGCGCUAAAUGUUGAUGCACAAAAUCAGCGAGGACUUUGGUACAACAGAAAAUGUCAGGUUUGUGACCUUCGCUUGGUUGCUUCGGUCACUAGUGAAGAUAAGUAUGUAAAUGAAUAGGGACAGGGAAGCAAACACAAGAUGUACGUGGUUCACCCAGAUUGGCUACGUCCACGGAAUAGAGGAGUUCUCAUUAAUUGUGAAGGGUUUACACAAAUACAUAGGUUCAAGCUCUCAUUUUGUGAGUUCUAGUGAAUAGUUUAGUACAAAAUGACAUUAGAGAUUAUUGUGGGAGAAUGAUCCCUAUUUAUAGAAGAGAGUUUCUAGUUUUGUUCUAACAUUGACACGUGUCGUGUUGUGAUUGGCUUAUGAUGUUGACACGUGUCGCGCUGUGAUUGGCUUCUGAUGUCGACACGUGUCGCAUUGUGAUUGGCCUCCUGGUUGAAAGGAAGCUCUUCUGGGUCCUUGACGGUAUGACGUUGAUCGGUGCUCAAUAGUUUCGGGAUUGGUCAAGUAUGGUACAAACAGUGCUCCCCUAAGUUAUGUUUAGCCCUUUGGCACUCGGUUGGAGACGGUUUUUUAUGAAAGGGCUAAAACGAGCCCUCUGGCCCUCGGUUGGAGACGGAGGCAAAUAUGACCCUGUACUGUUCAUUAAAAUAUUAACAUCUUGGAGAAUCUUGGAGGGCCAAAGGGCUAAAAUAAACCUUCUGGCCAGCCAUCGGUUGGAGAUGGCCUAAUAGUCCUUGUAGUCCUACAUUUGGUGUAGCAAGAGAUUAACUUAAAUGACGCUAGGUCAUACUCGCCUUGACUCGAGGCUUUGCUAAGUGUCAGUAGUUAACCCCGACCAAAAGCUUGGUAUUAGUUGGGACUAUGUCACUGCCGCUUGUCUUUCUAGACCCCUUGACCCACCACUGCAGGCUUGCAUCACUCACCCAGAAUCCGAUUAUGACCCAAACCUCCUAAAAUCUUAGAAUCAGAACCACCUAGAUGGGAAAACUCGCCAUGGCCGCCGACAGAAUUGGGAGAGAGAGAUUUGACCGAAUGGAUUUAGACGGGAAAACAAAGGAAAGAGAUAGAUUGUCGGACGGGAAAACUUGCCAUGGCAGCUAACGGAAAUGGGAGGAGUCAUUGAGGUUUUUGGUGAGAAUUGGAAAUUUGGGGAAAAAAAAUUAGGAAUUGAGAAUUGAAAGGGAGGCAUGUCUCCAUUUUGUGAUGAUCAACCUGUGCACUUUAACUAAUUUGGGGGAAGACAAAUAGAGAACUUGAGGGGGAGGGAAUAGAGUUCUAGAAAUAAGAAGAAGAAGAAAAAGAAAAAUGGAAAAAGAAGAACGGGAGAAAAGGGUUGGGGGUGGUAGAGAGUUCUAGAAAAAAAAAAUACAAAAAUAAGGAAACAGAUAGAGAGUUCUAGAAAAUGAAAAGCAAAAGCAAAAGAAAACAAGAAAAUUUUUAUUAUAUUUACUAUGGGCUUAGUUUAAUCAAUUCUACAACAAUAAAAUUUGGUGCUGAUUUGGUACUGAUGUGCUUUUAUAAAAAAUCGGUAUAAAAAAUAGAGCUAAAAAAGAUGUUUGGUAAACACUUAAAAACAGCUUAUUUUCACAGUUUUAGAUAAAAAAAAUGAAAAUGUGAAAUAGCAAAAUGAGCUUAUUCUCAACAGAAAUAGUUUUUUUUUUUCAAAGCACAAUAAUACCAAACCAGUUCACAAUCUGUUUUAAACUAAUUCAAUUUAAUUUGCGAAACUAAUUCAGUCUAAGAUAGUCUUAUAAUACAAAUGCACUCAUAGGUAUUAUACUUGUUGCAAUUAGCUGGCAUGGCAUAAGGCCCCACCAAUAAUGAGGGAUGACAAUAUUAAAUCUCCCUGAAUAUUUUAUUGUGGCAGCCAAUAUAUCGUACUUCACGUGUUCAUAAUUCAGUGGCUCCAAAUUUUACGAGGUAAUGAGGAUAUCUUUGUAACUAUACCGAAAAUUUUCAAAUUAUAUCUGUUUAUCAUAUAUUAUGAGAUUAAUUUUCAUCUAAUAUUACUUAUAUUUAAUUUUAAAUAAAAAUAUUUAAAAUAAUUUUUAAUCACGUAAUUUACUAUAAAUAAAUACGAUUCAAAGAUUUUAGGAUCACCCCAAAGAGGAUCCUCAUUCGGAAUUUACAAAAGAAACAGGUACAAACCAUCAACAAGUACCACCAUCAACAACCAAAUUUAUGCAAAAUUCUACCUUUUUCUUUUAUCUUUAUUUUGUUGUUGAAAGAAAUAUAUUUCAUAGGGGAUUGACGCCACCGUCAACAACCAAAUUAUGUCCCGUCACAAACUCAGCCUCCUCAGAAGCCAAAAACACCACCGCAUCCGCCACGUGCUUCUCCGUCAGCAUUCCAUUACCGCUCCUAGCAUACAUUGGCGCUAUCAUCUUCCCCAGAUCCUCCAUCCCAACCUUCAACAUAUCACACAGAAGCGGUGUCAGAACCGACCCAGGUGACACACAAUUCACGCGCACUCCACGCGCCGCCAGCUGCUUACUUGCGGACCUCACCAGCCCCAGCACUGCGUGCUUCGACAUUGUGUAGUCCGUCGCAAACUCUGUCCCACUCUCCGCCGUCAAACUAGCCGUGCACACAAUACUCCCCCUCACCCGCCCCUCGAUCUGUUAGUAAUACAUGAAAUUUAUUAGGUUUAUAUUAUCAACACUCCGAAAUUAUGCUAAACAACACAAAAAUAAGCAGUACCAUCACUCUCGCCGCGUGCUUGACACACGCCGCCAUCCCCCGCGAGUUCACCGCCAUGACCCUAUCGUAUAGUUUCAGGUCAAGGUCCAGCACGGUCUGGUGGGACCCACUGACGAUCCCCGCGUUGCUGAACAUGAUGUCGAGGCGUCCGUACAGAUGGACGGUGGAGUCGACGAGGGACCUAACUUGUUCCUCGUCAGUGACGUCGCAGUGGAUGUAGGUGCAGCGGUUGGUACCGAUGGACGAGGCGAGUUCUCGCCCCUUGCUGUCUUGCACGUCUGCGAUGACGACAGCAAGCGCGCCGUGUUCGGCGAAGUGGCGCGCUGUGACUGCACCGAUGCCGGAAGCGGCGCCGGUGACGAUGGCCACCUUGCCGUUGAGCUUCUUGGGUGUUGUGGUCUCUGCCAUUUUGUACGGUAUGCUCUUUUGGCACGGGAUGUUGAUAUAAGGGCUUUAGAUUUAAAAUUACAUUUAUACCUCUUACAUAAUUAUUUAACUAGUUAAUGUUAUCGUUUUUUCUUAAAAAGGACACCCUAUAUUGACCCGACCCAGUACCGACCCAAAUUUUAGCGGAAAAGAUGACAUACGGGUCACUUGUUCACAGCCCGGGAAACCAACGUGCGUAACGGUCACAGUAGCGAAAACAGGUCACCCCUGUCAGACGUACGAAAUUUCAGAAAGUUGGACAUUGGCGUUUCCUCUCAGAUCUUCGCAGCUGAACGCAGCACUCAAAUUUAAUUUGGUGCUCCCCCCGCACUCAAAUCUUCAUCAGGUACCUCUAAUCUUCCUCUUUCACUUCAUUCACUCUCUCAAUCCACUAAUCCAUCACUGCCAUUUCCUAAUCCAACGUUCUCAGAGAAAUGCGAUCGUUUUCUGUCGCCAUUGUUGAUUUCAAUCGAGAAGUUUGUAAAAAAAGCACUUCAAUUUGAUUUUUUUAUGGAUCUUUUAUUUAUUUGUUUGUUUUUUUUCAUUAUUUUUGGGUUUAUGAUUUGAAUUGUUUGAUAUGGGAGUGAUUGAUUUUCAAUGUAUUAGGAAACUGAGUGCAAAUGCAGCGUGCUCCGGCGACGAUCGAGAAACAGUUGUUACUGAAAGCAAUCAAAGAAGAGUGCCCGUGGGAGAGUCUCCCGAAACGCCUUCAAGUGGCAUUGUCUUCCAAAGAAGAAUGGCACAGAAGGUUACAGUAGCUAAUGCUUUUGCAGUUAGUAGUGUGGUUUCCUACUUGGUUUUUUGGUAUUGGCUUAAGUUUGCUAACCGUGUGCAGGGUAAUUGAGCAUUGCGUCAAGAAAAGACUUCCAUGGAACACUUGCUUUGCUCGGCAAGUGUGCAAAGAAAGUGAAUAUUAUGAAGACAUGAUGCGGUACUUACGAAGGAAUUUAGCAGUGCGUUUCUUACUUUUGAAUUUGGGUGGAAGUCCAUUCGUUGAAUUAGUUUGAACUGCAUUGCAUUAAUAGUUUACAUGCUACGAAAACCUAUUUCUUCCAGAUAAUGAAAGAACCACGCCAUUUACAACUUCAGCGUUUUGGAGUCCAACUGGAGAAAAUUUAAGUUUUGAAGUUUCGAUUUUAAUUUUGCAUUGUUAUUGGGUAAAAACUGUUUGUGUCAUCGUUUGCAUUUGAUAUGCUUGAACUAUACUUUUGGGGUAUAGUACAGUGAAUUGGUAAGAUUGUUCUUGUUGAACAAGUAGGAUGAAAUUGCUAAGUAGCUUCAUCCAGUCAUUUUCAUAUGAAAUAAAUUUAGCCAUCAAAGCAAUAUAAUUUUUUUUCUUUUUUAUUUACAUGCAGUAUUAUGUCAUCCAAUGCUUGAAUCAUAGAUUUCUGCGGUUAACAUGUUUGUUUUAUUACUUGCAGCUAUUUCCCUAUCACCUUGCGGAAUAUGUUUGCCGCGUAAUGAGGGUCUCCCCAUUCAGAUAUUACUGCGAUAUGAUUUUUGAAGUUAUGAGAAAUGGUAUGGUAUUAGCUUCUUUACCAAAUCCUUUCUUAGUAUGCUGAAUUUUCCUUCUAUUUUACUGUGAUUUGUAUGACAGUUUCUCCUAGAAAGUAGGUGUCUUAGCCAUUUUUCAUUUUUGCAACACUUUUAAUUGUUAGAAUAAUUUUCUGAUUGAAGGUAUAGUUUGUGGACCUCGUCUGCCGGAGCAAUGAUGUGUAUAAACUGUGUUGGAACCAUAAAUUGUUGUCUAAUUUGGAUUUCAAAGAUUUUGCAUCCUGCUUAUGCAGUAUCAAUUUAAAUUAUUGGAGACCUGAGAUUCAAACUUAACACAAGUCAUAGGUACAUUAUGCUAAUGAUGUUUUUUAACUUCUAUGCAAGAAACUUUUUGUAAGGGCGUGAAUUUGGCUACAAGAUGCGACUUAAAUGGGUGAUGAGGUUAUUAGUUUAAAAGUCUCUGUAUAUGUAUUUAUAAAGGUAUGCGAAAGGGAUAGUGUUACUUUAGCAACUGGGAUUUGAAGUGUCGGAUAUAUCCAGGAAAUAUCUGGUGGGGUAGCGUAUCUGACAUGCCAGAUCUAAAAUUUUUGGAGUAUCCAUACUUCACGGGGAUUAGAUUACGGAUGUUUUUGUUUUUUUGGAAAGGAUUGAAUGCACUAGAGAUCUAGAAAAAACAAUAAGUUGAAAGAGCUAAUUUGUCUUACAGGCGACUGCUUAGUUUGUGAGUAAAAGACGCAACAAAACAUUGCAGUAUUUUCUCGUUAGAUAUACAAAAUUUAACUGAGAAUAUGCCUCUCAUUACAUUGCAUUGCAAAAAGAAAAGACGAAUAUAAAAGAGAAUUUGGUGCUGAUACAGCUUGAUCAAGUUGAACACGUGUGUGCUAAGAGUGUGUUUUGUGAAAUGUUUAUUCACCGAGAUACUUAUCAGCUUAUGCUUAUUCUCAUGCAUAUCACAUUUUUUGCAGAACAACCUUAUGACAGCAUCCCCAAUUUUAGUGCAGCAGAUGCCUUGCGCCUUACAGGGAUAGGGAGAAAUGAAUUUAUUGAUAUAAUGAACAAGUGCAGAUCUAAGGUAUUAAUCAAUCUGCUCGUUUUCUUUAUGGUCCGCAUUAUGGUGCAUGCAUACCUGGUAUCUGGAUCGGAUACAAACAUUGCAUGGCACCCAAACAUGUAUGAAAGUAUCACAAUUUAUGAAUUCUUUGGUAUAGUUUAGAGCAACUACUCCUGGUCUUAGAAACUAAAUUUUCCGUCCAGCAUUCUCUGCUUCAAGACAUCCUAGGGAAAAAAAAAUUCUGGCAUCUCCUUCCUGUUCAUUGCUUGCAAUUUCUACAUCCAAGUUAGAUGAAUUUUCAGAGUUCUCAGAUGAAGGUCUGUACUCUGCAUCACAAUAUUAAAUAGAUUUUCGUCAUGCAUAAUGAGCUGUGGAUCCACUGUCAUUUGCCUUAUAAUUUAAUUCCUAUUAAUGCUAGACAUACUAUUUGGAUUCUUCUAUGUAAUUUUAUGAUGGGAAUGCAUAUUUUUACCUUAAAGAGUGCUUCAAGGUCAUCUUUAGGCAUUAUAUAGAGUUACUAUAACAAAAUGGAACUUCAUGAGUUGGGGUUGUUUGUUUCGAUGCUGCGUGUGUGUGGCAUUGUCUUACCUGUUGUUUACUUUAUUUUGAGCUAUCUAGAAAAUCAUGUGGAAGCUGAACAAGUCAAUUGCAAAAGAACUUUUACCUACACAACCUGUGGAUUUUACAAUUGAACCGUGGUGGGGAAUUUGUCUUGUGAAUUUCACGCUGGAGGAAUUUAAGGUGAGAACUGAGACUAAAAUCACUUUGAGCUCUGAACAGUGUUAGCCUACUGAAUUUCUUAGGUGUUUUGGGAAAUUUACGAAACGACAAAUAUCAUCAGGUACGUGCUUUUUGGAUGACCUUACAGUAAUUUUCUGUAUUUGUAGAAACUCUCGGAGGAGGAAAUGGCAACAAUAGAUAAAAUAUGUAAAGAGGAAGCAAAUUUAUAUAUUUUAUUCAAUUCUGAUAUUGUUAAAGGUCUUCACCAACGAGGAUUAGUAUACUUUGAUGUCCCUGUGUAUCCUGAUGACCGUUUUAAAGGUAACUUGUAUGGAUGAACAAUUGGCAUGCAGAGUCUAGCCUUUCUGAUUUUAUCUUUGUUUACCGCCUCAUUGGAUUAGACGCCCGAAUAUUUACAUGGUUUUACCUUCCAAAACCAAACACAGAUGGUUUAUGGUCAUUGACUCAUUGAUCAACUUUCUUCUUUUAAAAUUUGGUGUUGGCAUUUGUAUUCUUCAUUUUUCUAGUCCUAUACAGUCUAUAUAUUAAUAGUUAGCCAGUAUGAAGUUUCAACAUAUAAUCCUGUACUUCCUUUUUUAACUUUUGAAGUAUUUGGUGAAGCCCAAACUUUUGACCAACCGUACUUCCACCCCACUCCUUACCAUCUGAGCCAAAAGCUAGGGUGCCUUCUCUCUUACUUCAUUUAUUCUAAAUAAAACCGUGAAUGGACAUCCAUGCCAAGCUCCCACCAACCCCACUAAGAAUGAAACUGAACUUCUAAUGUAUUGCGCUAAGGAGUCAAAAUUCUAUAUCGUGGUGGAAUAUUGUGAUGAAAUAUUAAUAAAUGUUCUGGUUCAGUUUCCAGGCUCGAAGGAUUUGUUUCAAACAAGGAGCAAUCUUAUGAAGAUCCUAUAGAGGAGUAAGGCAGUUGUUUAUUACAAAAAUGCCAUAAUUGUCAAUUUGUCAUUUGAAUUCUGUUGACUGGCAGUGGAACCAGGAUCAUAAUACUCUACGCUCUGUUGUUCAGGUUACUAUAUGCAGUUUUUGUCGUUUCAAGCGAGAAUGCAACUGUUGCUGAACUGGCAACAACAUUACAGGCUGACCUUGCACAGCUGCGGGCUGCUGCAUCCUUUGCAUGUCAAUUGGGAUGGGCGGUAAAAGUAUUAGAUCCAGCAUCUGUGCUUCGAGAUACAAGUUUACCUGGAUCUCCUAGAAACAGUCUCCAUGAAGAAGAUAUUUCUUGUCGUAGUACAAGCUCAGCAAAUAUGUUUGCCAAUGGUGAAGCUAGUCUACAAGGAGAUGUUUCAGGGACAGGAAACUCUUUGCAUGAUCGUGUUGCAUUUGUUGUUGAUGCUAACAUAACAUCCUACCUUAUGAUGGGGUCUGUCUCACCGGGUUUGUUUCUUCUUCUCAAGCAAGAUUGAAUUAGUUUAUUAUAUUGAAUAUCAUCAACUUAUCUGCAAUCUGAGUUUUGCUGACAUACUGGUCAUGUGGUUGAAAUAGAUAAGGAGGGUUGUCUAUUAAGCAAUUGUGCUUGAAACCUUACGUUAAGAUAGAUCAGUUUAAGUGUCUAGAAGAGGCACCGGCAUAUUCUUUACAGCUGCUGUACCAGUUCAUUACGAGCUCUUAGCACCUUUAGUGUGUCGUACAAUUUUUGUAUUAUGUGCUGGUUUUUCUCAAAGUGGCACUACAGUUUGCAUGAACUCAUUUUUUUUAUGUCCUAAAUUUAUCGAAUUAAGUACUAUAGGGAUGAGUCUUUCACAUGUCUGUUUCUCAAGCAAAAUAGUGAAGGUUAUUCUCAUUUUGGUGGACUCUGCUUGAGUUGGCAAGUGACAUAGACUCCGUCCCAGAAUCUGGCUUGCACAUGGGAGAAAGACAGACUUUCUUGAACUCAAUUAUUAGUUUUCCUCAUUCAACUUCGUCAAAGUCUUUAAACAAUGUCCAUAUUUCUACUUGAACGUUUAAACAGUCACCCUCAAUUCUUUGCAAUCUGGAAGUUGACUUAAGCAUAAUACUUUACACACCCUAAUAUUUUAUCAUUAUGCCAAACAAUCCAUGGCAUCUUGCAUGGAAUGUCGGAUGGUAACUGACUUUAAUUUUGCGUUAGUUGUAACAUCAUUAUAUGUAUUACUUGUCCCCCAUUUUUCAUGAGUAGGAUAACAGAUUAAGUUUCAACUUAAUGGCAUGACUUAAUAGUGUCACGAGUUCGUCUUGAGCAUGAUUUUCAAAUCAUGUAAAAAGCGAGAUAGAAAUUGAAUUUUAACAUUCCAGUUGACAAAAGUAUUAUGUGGUAUGGAUAUAAAGUGCGGGUACCAUAAUCAGGGUAAAGGAAUAAUUUGUGUCCCUUUCCCCUUAAUAAUACUUAAGCACAUUGUGAAUGGAUUUCAUAGCUAAAGGCUUGUCCCAUCUUGGAGCUAUAAGCAUCUGUUCCACUUUCCAACUAGCAAUCUAUAAAAAGGAGUUAACCAGAUGGAAUUUGUAGGUGACUUUACAUGAGUUGCUGAUGAUGUGCAGCAAAGGAAAUUGUGGACCUGAUGGAUCGAAGGAAAUUGAGGACCUGCUAUGCAUCAAAUAGAUCCUAGUUUUUCCAUGUAGUAUAAGUUUCAUGCAGGAUGGAGAGUAAGGGAAAGGAAGAGGAGAUAUCUGGACUCAAUUUGAGCCUUGGCAUCACACAAGUAGUUUUCAUUUUUUUGGAUUCACUCCGAGAGAGAAUGGAAAAACAGUGGCAUCAGAGCCAAUGGUGUCUUGGGCUCAUGCCUAGUCAACUCACCAUUCGCAUGCGAGUUCAAACUGACAAGAGCUUUAAGUUCUUUCUCUGUUUACUUCAAAGCUUACAAAGUAGUACAUGAAUUGUUGGACAAAAAUUAAUAUGCUUAGGACUCUAAAAGACAUAAUCAAUAACACCUAAGAUAUUGUUCAUAUGAUGUAGAGAGGUUCAAAGACAAUGAAUAUUACACUACAAAAAAUAGACCUAUACAUUUAAAUUUGCAUUAAUUACAUGAAGAAUAUCAAGCAUGGCGUAAAGGCUUGUAGAUUAAAUUUUUAUUUAUUUAUGUACAAAAAGUUGUGUUUGUGCUUUUUAUUAUCUACAUUUCAUGCUUUUAUACGUUCUCCCAAUCAUGAAUCUUAUACUUGGGUAUUAUAUGCAUUUUGAUUUCACAUAUUUUCUUUUAGGCUUGAAAUCGCAUGCUGUGACAUUGUAUGAAGCAGGAAAGUUGGGUCAUGGUAGUAUUACCGAUCUCUGUAAGGAUCUGAGUACGCUAGAGGGAACAAAAUUUGAAGGAGAACUACAGGAAUUUGCAAAUCAUGCAUUUAGCCUCCGUUGUGUUUUGGAAUGCCUUCAAUCAGGAGGAGUUGCAACUGAUGUGAAAACAGAAGAAGUUUGCAAGAACAUGGAUAUGAUGACAUCAAACAAUGACGAGGCCACACUCAUAGCUGAUGCCACCUUGACUAACAAAUCAGAACACUUAGCAAUACAUGAAGUUGGGGUCGAGGAUGAUAUUUCUGUGAAAUCAGGGAUACCUGAGGAAGGUUCCGUUUUGGCUGAACCUGUUAGUGAUGGAGGAAGUGAUGGAACAUUAAUUGGUACACCAUCAGAAGAUAUCACCAGCUUAACUGAAGUCCCUAAACCAGACUUGAAUCUCCAGAAUAAUGAGAAAUCGAUGCAUGCUGAAGGGUUAGACGUUGAAAGAGAAAUGUUAAAGAAGAAAAAGAAAUUCCGAGUGGAUAUCCUUCGCUGUGAAAGCUUGGCGUCUCUUGCACCAGAAGCUUUAGAUCGGUUGUUUUGUCGUGACUAUGAUAUUGUUGUAUCUAUUAUUCCUCUUCCACCUUCGUCGGUACUUCCUGGACCAGCAGGUCCUAUUAAUUUUGGGCCUCCCUCGUAUUCAUGCAUGACACCUUGGAUGAAACUAGUAUUGUACUCAACUGUGGCAUGUGGACCCCUAUCUGUUAUUCUGAUGAAAGGACAAUGUUUACGAUUGCUUCCUGCCCCGCUGGCCGGUUGUGAGAAAGCCCUUUUGUGGUCUUGGGAUGGUUCUACAAUUGGAGGGUUGGGGGGCAAGUUCGAAAGAAGUCUAGUAAAUGGAAAUGUACUUUUACAUUGUUUAAAUUCACUUCUGAAAUAUUCUGCUGUACUUGUGCAGCCCCUCAGUAGAUAUGACCUCGACAAAUCUGGAAGAAUCAUCACCAUGGAUAUUCCAUUACCCUUAAAGAACUAUGACGGUUCAGUUGGUUGCAUAGGGGAGGAAUUGGAACUGAGUGAGAAGGAAAGGUCAAAACUGAAAUCUCUCUUAGGAAAUAUGGGAAACAAGAUAGAGUUGUGGACAGUUGGCUAUAUUCGCUUAUUGAAACUUUUUAAAGAAAGAGAUUCAGAACACUUUGCACCUGAUGAUGAGAAGUAUGAAUGGGUCCCGUUGAGCGUCGAAUUUGGAAUGCCAUUGUUUAGUCCAAAAUUGUGUAAUAACAUAUGUAAAAGAUUGGUCUCGUCGCAAUUACUUGAAAAAGAUUUACUCACUGAGCAUCAUGAUGCAAUGCAAAGCCUAAGGAAAAGGUUGCGUGAUGUUUGUGCAGAGUACCAAGCAACAGGUUCUGCUGCUAAACUUCUUUACCAAAAAGAGCAAUCAAAGGACUUCUCACGACAUCUCAUGAAUUAUGCUAGUGGAAGGUGGAAUCCACUUGUCGACCCAUCCUCUCCCAUUUCAGGAGCCUCGAGUGAGCAACAGAGACUAAAACUUGCUAACCGGCAUCGUUCCCAAACUGAAGUCUUGAGCUUUGAUGGAAGCAUUUUAAGGUUUGUCUCAAAAUGUUCUCUUCUAUAUUUGCAUCUUAUUCCUUUCCCUAACAUCUAUAUGUUUAGUAUUACAACCAGAUUUUCUUCUUAUAGUAUUCACUGUUUGCUAUAUGAUCAUCGUAACUUUCACCAUACACCGCAUUUUUACGUUUGUGCUUUUCUGUGGACACAAGGAUAUUUCCCACUUACAGUAUCUUAAUACUUCCCACUAAUACCUAUAAUUCAUGUAUUAGGAAUAUUGAAAUGAGCGUCGGACACGAAUGGAUAAGAGUGUCAGUAUUCUAAGGUGUCUUAGUAAAUCAGUUUCUACUUUGGAGAAGUUUUCUAUGAGUCAUGGAUGAGGAAUAAUGAAUGAACCCUUGUAAAUUAACAGUAUUCAGUUGAUAUUUUCUAUCUUCUUCGUAUUUGAUGGUAUUCAGCUUGUUUUCUGUAACUCCCUCGUAUAUCUGGUAUUCAGAUCAUAUGUUCUAGCUUCUUGCGUGUGAUGGUAUUAGAGAAUUUGCUCUGACUCCUUUGUAUUUACUGGUACUUAGAUCAUACGCUCUAGCUUCUGUUUACGAGGCUGCCACAAGGCCAGUUGAAGGAGCUCCUCCGGUGAGCACUACAAAAGUUGAGCAAGAAGAAGCUGACAGCAGAGAAGUAGUCCUUCCUGGUGUUAAUCUUGUUUUUGAUGGCUCUGAGUUGCACCCCUUUGAGAUAGGUGCUUGUCUACAGGCCCGUCAACCUGUCUCCUUAAUAGCAGAGGCAGCUGCCGCCUCCGCAGCUCUGCAACAAAGCAGAUGAUAGAAACUUGCUUGGAUGGCGUAUAUAGAAGAAUUCAUCACGCUGCUAACGACUAACCUCAUGCUUCUUUUAGUUUGAUUAUUUGGCUCGCUAGCUCGUCUCUGCUGUUGGUCAUUGUACACCAGCUCCAGCUUUGUUCAGAGGUAAACACCAGGAUCUCUGCAGAUGAUCAAAACAAACGAUAAAAGGAUGUCGGCAUAACGCUUUAGUUCCUGCUUGUGCUUGACAUAACUGCCAUAAAUUACACGAGUAGCUGAUAUCUGUCAAUUUGAUGCAGAUAGGUGUUUCGUACAAAGCUUUACCGAGGUUUGUAACUACAGUGUCGAGGUACAUGGUUUUUGUUACACGGUGCUUAGAUCCGGGUGAUAUACCCUCCAAUGAAACAGUACACCCUUUUGUUUCGUUUGAUUUUACGUUUGUUCUUUGUUCGUUUCGGAGGUAGGGAUAAAACAUGAUGCACAUGUUUCGGGUGCUAUAUCGUAUGAAUGGAAAUGCAUUAGAAUACCUUUGCAAGUCUGAAAUUGCAUUAUGAUAUAUGUGUGUGUAUAUAUAUGAGUCUGGAUUAGGUACACAUUUUUUGACACAUAUUUUAACACUUUUUUGUGGUUAACAUUUCGAAACUUUAUUCUAGUGUUCUGAACCGUAUAUAUUUUAAUACAUAAUUCAUAGAUUAUUUUUGCAAAAAAUUAGACAAAUACAAAAUUAUUAAGACAUUCAUUUUUCGUAACGAAUCACAUGAAUUUCAUCCUUUAGCAUUUGUGUGUAACCCGUAGUGUAAAUACAUGUAAUUUAUGAUCCUCAUAAGUAUGUGCAACCAAUGGCCUUUCUAGCCUACAUUCAAGAUAUAACAAAAUAAUAUCAUAAGACCUUAAAUAAAAUCCCACAUCUAGUAAUUUCGUUAAGAACAAUAUCGGUGAUAUUGGUGGUGUACCAUGUUCAGUCUAAUAAUUAGAUUUCCCCACUUAUCUUUUAUAUUUUCUAAGACUAAACAGUUAUUCAUUUUAAGAAUUUGAUUAAAGCGCUUUAACUAAUCUACACAUCAGCAUCUAUUUAUUUAUAUAAACUAAAUAUCAUUUUUUUUUAUAUUUUACACUCAAAAUGCUAUAGAUUGAUCUCCCAAUUUGGCCUUCUGGAGACAUAUUGUCCGAAUUAAACUUCCAUAAUUUUAGGGAACUUUCAAGCUUAAUUAUCUCUUUAUUAAUAAUUAAUAUGAUUGACUUUAAGCAUAGUCGUCUUUUGCUUUUUUACUUUUAAUCUGUAUGUUUUUUUAACAUUUCAUAUUUUUUACAUCUCAAUUUAGAGAGAGUUAUAUUGCUACGUUUGAAUUCAAAUGUACCAAUAAGUUAAGGUAGGUUUGUGAUACAUUUUUGGCACAAUUUAUUUAUAUUGGUGUGUUUGGAUUCAAAUGUACCAUUAGUUUUUAGGUAUGUUUGUGGUACAUUUGUGGUAUGUUUAUUUAAAUUAACUUAUAAAUUUCAAUACGUUAAAAUAAAUUGGGUACGUUUGUUUUACAUGUACAUAUGGGUACAUUUUCUAAAUUUUGUUGACAUUUGUACAUUAGAUUUAUAUGGUAAGAUGUGAGAAUAAAAUUGAAAAAAGAAAGGGGAGAAAAUUGUAUGAACAAUGUGGCAGCCAUUAACAUGUAUAUACAUAACCAAGCACGACGUUUGGAAAAAAAAUUUGUGACAAAUUAUUAACUUCCAAAAAUUAAGAAACAUGAAUUUUUUAUUUUUUAUUUUUUUUGAAAUGUAAUAUAAACUUGUACAUACUUUUCAAUUUCUCAUAUAAACUAAAAUUUUAAACAAUUUGUCAUACCAACUUUACAAAAUCAUUAAUUUGUCAUCUCAUCCCAACUCUUCGUUAAGUUUUCUAUCCAAUAUAAGUCAUGUGCGACACAUGACUUGUAUGCAGGGUUAUUUAGGUCAUUUUAACAUCUUUUCACAAGUUUUUAACUUUUAUUUAGUACAAACCUUAUUUUUUUUUUUUACUUUUCUUUAGUGUAUAUGUAUCUACAACUCCAUUUAUGGUAAAAAACGUCAACCUAUUUCUCAUUUAUAGAGCCCGUAUGAAAUUAUGUCUUCGUGACAUGCUAAAAUGCAAACUCCCACUUGUCUAUCAUUACAUAUUUGGAAUAACCAUAAGAAAGUGCAUUGCAUGACCAUUUCAUUGCUAUCAUAUAGAAAAUAUUAUUCCAUUGCCUGAGAAACCCCUACAGUUUUUUGUUGAAUACAACUUAAUAAAAGGGAAGUAAUGUAUUAGAAUGACCGAAAUAACCAUAAACACAAAUCAUGUGCUCGCACAUGACUUAUAUUGGAUGGAAAAUUUAAUGGAGUUAGGGAUAGAUGAUAAAUUAAUGAUUUCAAAAAGUUGGUAUGACAAAUUGCUUAAAAUUUUAGUUUAUAUAACAAAUUGAAAAAUGUGAACAAGUUCAUAUGACAUUUCAAAAAAAAAUUCCUUAAAAAAUAUCAAUUAUGAUUCAUGAAGGAUUCCUGGUCCAUUUAAAUGCAAUGGCAUCUUAUGUAAUUUUCUUUUUAAAGAGAAAUGGGCUUCCUAUACUCUAGGCGGCGCCACAUUUUUAGGGGGCAGUUUGAUCAAAAUUCUAAAACACACGGAUGUUUAAUAAAGAAAUAGUAAAAUGAGGCACUCAAUCUAAAUGCCCCAAAUAUUUAUCAUAAUUUUAGAGCAUGUCAUUCUUUCAAUACGUCUUAGUUUAUUAGGCUUAAAUUUAUGUCUUUAAGUUGGGCUUUUCAAAAGUUACGUUGGCUCUAGUGCAUGAUCGGGCUCUCUAGAAGUUGUGUUAGCUCCGAUAUAAUGAAUUAACUAGUUCCUGAUGUUGAAAUUGGUUUUCCGUGUGACCAGUGUGGGACAACUCAUGAGAGUGCAUGUUGGAGAAUAGAGUCCUACAUCAGAUAAACAACAAGAUAAUAUUUUUGAGAUCUCUUAUAAUAAAACCUCACACCUAGUGAUAGGUGAUUAAACGGGAGAUAACAUCGGUAGUGUUAGCAAAUGGGCCAAAAAAGUUUAUCAUCUAUAAAAGCAGACCUUACCUACAUGAUAAAACAUUGUUUAGAGCAGAUUUUCCACGAUCAUUUUAGUUUAAAUGUCUCUUCUUAUUUUUAUUAUAUUUAUAAAUAAAUAAAUAAAUAAACACUGUUAUCAGCACAACAAGUAUCUACCAACCAAGGUUAUAGUGGUUUGUUCUCCACAAGUUGUUUGGCUAUAGUAAACAUUCUGGCUAAAUUGAUUCGAUCCCAAAUGCUUUUAUUAUAAAUUAAGAAAUCGAACCAAACAUGUUCUUUGGUAUUUGAUUAAGGCGAGGAACAUAAAGAUGAAUUUACUUAAAUGGAGUGAUAAUAUUACGAAGCAGAGUUCAAUUUGGAGAGUAAGACUAUUAUAUAAACCGAUGACCAAGUUCCGAAUGCAACUCAACUUGUCUAAUCCUUCAUCAUCCUCUUUUUUAUUAAUAAAACUUCGAUAGAAGAGAUCGAUGACUUUGUUGAACGUAUGGUGGCGAUGAUAGUCGGCCCAAUGAGAAAGGAGGGACGAGUAGUGGAACUGGGUUAGGUAGUAAUUAAGAUAUUUCACUAUCUAUAUGCAUGCUUGGUUGUAAGUUACCAAAGCAACACAAUGGAUAAGAGCAUUUCCAAUGGCCUUCAUAAAUUUAAAUUUUUAAAUACAAAUUUGUUAACCUAUGUGACAGUUUGAACACUACAUUUUGGUUACUUCACAUUUUUACAUUCCAACAUGCUAUAAAUUUCCACAUCAUAUUAUUUUUCUUGAUGAAGAUGAGAGAUUGACGAAAUACAUUAUUAUAAUAAAAAGAUUGUUUGAAGAGAGGGAUGGCAAGUCUCCAAAUGUAGAGUGUAGCAAAGGUCCUAAAUUUGAUGGGUGAGUUUAUCAACUCUGUUGAAGCAAAUAAAUUCUACGUGGUACUUUAAAUUUAACAAAAAAAAAAAAAAACAUAUGUUAACUCUCUUGAAGAUGCUCUAAAGUUUUCUGUUCUAAAGAAAACGCCUUAUAUUGCCUCUAUGUUGUCUCCAAUCAACUUUUCAUAUGUUGCAAGUGGCUUUAUCACAGUGAUGAAAAUGAGUUGAGUCAUUUCAUAAGUGAGUUCAAACCUCAUUUCUGGCUAAUCAAAUAUCUAAUUUAAUAAAACUAUCGCUUGACAAAAAAAAAAAACUACUUUUGCAUAGGUUAUUAAUUCGUCUAUUGUUAAUGGGUUUUAAUCACAAUAAUUGAUUGACAUAUUCUUCGUGCUUUAUAAUUUAGAAAAACAAUUAAUAAUAGGUUUUUAUCACCAACGAUUAUUGAGAUUGACCAAACUCAUCAUUUUGGUCCCUCGCUUUCAAGAUCAAUCAAUGUCGUCUCUGACAUUUACUACCACACAUCAAUUUGGUCAUUCCAUUUAAAUUCCGUCAAUUAUUCUGUUAGUUUGUAUGUGGCACCCACAAAUUCAAUAAAAUUGUGACAUGUGGAUUACACAAAAGAAGAGUUUUUACCACAAAUGGUCCCUAACAUUGACCAAACUCCUCAUUAUGGUCACUGAGUUUCAAAAAAUGAUAAAUUUGGUCCCUGACUUUCACUAUCGCACAUCAAUUGAGUUAUUCCAUUAAAAUUUCGUCAAUAUUUUUUGUUAGUAUGCUGAUGUAAUCCCACUAAUCCAAUCAUAUGGGGCCAAGUGGAUCAACUAUAAGAAACUAUUUUUUUAGAGUAAACCAACUGACGAGUAUUUCGCGCUGUCAUUUAUCUCACAUCCCACAAUCCCAAUUGGAAAAAACAAAUCAAUCCAAAUUCAAUAAAAUCGAAUCCAAAUUCAAUUCAAAUUUCAUAGGAUUAUAACCAACUAGAGAGAAUGAGUAGUGAGUUCAAGGAGGCCAAGAGCUUUAGUGAUGUCCUAGUGCCUUCCUUUUAUUUUUUAGCAUACCAAGAUGAAGACGAUGAUUUCUUUUUUUUUUUUUUGGUUUUUAAUUUCUUAUUUUACUUCUAGUUUUAAAUCUUAACAAUAUAGUUUUUGUUAUAGUUAAUCCAUGUCGCGCCAUAUGAUUUGAUUAGUGGGACCAUAUUAUCACAAUAACAAAAAAUAUUGACAAAAUUUUAACGAAAGGUCUAAAUUGAUAUGCGGUAGUGAGUCAGUGACCCAAUUUAUUGAUUUUUGAAACUUAUGGACCAAAAUGAAGAGUUUUAUCAAUGUUAUGGAUCAUUUGUGAUAAAAACUCUUCUUUUGUGUAAACCAUGUGUCACCAUUUUAUUAGAUUUGUGGGUACCACAUACAUACUAAUGGAAUAAUUGAUGGAAUCUAAAUGAAAUGACCAAAUUCAUGUACAAUAGUGAAUGUCAAGGACGACAUUAAUUGAUUUUGAAAGUGAGAGACCAAAAUGAUGAGUUUGGUCAAUCUCAAGAAUUAUUGGUGAUAAAAAUCCAUUAUUAAUUGUUUUUCUAAAUUAUAAAGCAUGAAGAAUAUGUCAAUAAAUUAUUGUAAAUCAUUAAAAUUUAGGGAGUUAUAACGAAAAGGACCUGGAACUAUUCAUUCUUAAUCAAAAAGACAUUUUGUGUAUGAAAAGUCCAUAAUGGAUCAUGUUCUUUUCUUUAUUUAUUCUUAUGCCAUUACAGCGGGGUCCACAACGAUGUUGACAUUUCUGUCUAGGAAUACAUUAUUUCACAUUAUGCUAUUAAACUUAUGCUAAUUUACAGCUAGCUCUUCAGGCUUCCAUCCUAUUGUCGAUAUUAUGCAGCUCUUCUUCUGUCAAAUUAUUCUAGUACUGUUCAUCGUCUUUUACUAACUCCGCAUCUCUUUCUCUAUCUUCUUUCAUCUUGUAGUAUAUUUCUGCUGUUUCUUCUUUGAAAUUUUGGGGCUUCCAAUAAGACUGAUGACUGAUCUUUGUCUUGUUGUAAACAUACAUCUCUUCUUCUUCUACUACUAGUACCAUGUCAUACCUAAAAUCUUCAAACUUAUCUAAGGCAAACAUUUGGAUCCCUCUAAAUUUUAAAAUAUCUUUGUAUGAAUGAGUCCACCUAUGUGAGGAGAAAGGGGUUAGUCUAAAGGACUCUUCAUUGAUCAUGGCUAUAUGCCUAGCUUUCUCCUUAUGUAUAUGUAUAUACCAAUCUGGAGGACUACUAAUCAAACUUAUGCAAAUUUCUUUCCACCUUUCUAGAUAAUCUUCUGCUACUUUUAUAAGUUUUUUAGGAAUGAUUCUAGUUGAGAAAUACGGUUAAUAAAUAUUUUAUCGAGAUAACCAAACUCUAAUAGUAAGGCAGGGGUAACUUCUACCACACUAUGCUUUUUCUGAUGCUUAUAACUAAAAUGCCAUGAUUUAAAAUCUCUCAUGUUAAUCCUGGCCACAGCUACGCUAACCUCUGGUUUACAAAUACAAUUCUCUGUACUAUUACAAAGACAUGGAAGAUACAUCUUUGUAAUAAUAUUCAUCCCUGGUUUCGGAUCAAAGAUGGACUGAUACAAGGCGCAUUGUAAUUGUAACUCUUUCAUGGACUGUGAUGCUCUGCUCAGGGUCUCAUUUUGCAUAUAUGUUGGCAUUAUUCUUAGUUUUGCCUUUGAAAAUUCUUCUAAUAAAACAUCAUCUAAUAUUAAGUCUGAAGAUAUAUUCCUAAGAAAACUUUCAUAUUUUUCUUGUUUUUCUUUGUCACUCAUAACCUGAUGUUGCUCAUUACUUUGAUGUUGCUCCAUUUCAAAGUCUUCUUCUAAGAGCUCAAUUUUAAUUUCUUCUAUGGGCUCAUUAACCUCUUGUUCUAUGGGUUCAAUAACCUCUUUUCCUUUAUUCUUAUGCUGAUCAAUUUCUAAACCUAUUUUUAAUUCUCUUUUCAAGGUGUCACUUGCCUUUUGUAUGAAGGUUGUGCUCAAGAGAAUGAAUAUGCUACUGGUUUUGGUGGAAAUUAAAACUAAAACUAUCAAACUCUUGUUCCAAGGUUCUAAUUAAUUUUUCAUGACCUAACCUCAUGUUUGGCUGCUUAAUUUGGAUAUUCCAAAAAUUAUCUAAGAGAACCUGCUGCCUAUCAGAAAACCCUGGUACCCUUGACCUAUAUCUCAGAGUUGGAUUCUGAUUCCUUCAACAAUAUUGUCGUUAAAGUUGAAAGUUGGUACUGGUGGUGAUGCUGGUCUGCUCAUGCUAUUUUGAAUCCACUUAAUGGUGGAGGUUUAUGGUGCAUCAUCAUGCCAUUGAAAGAAACUCUUCUGCCUUACAGCCUUGUGCUAUUUGCUGAUGAUGGUCCACAAUAUUUCAUACAUGUUCAACAAAUUAAUCUUGAUAAGAUAUCAGCUAAUGUAUUGUCAUUACCUUUUAUAUGUUCAAAAAUUGGUUUAAAACCAUUUCUUGUAAUUGAAUCAACAAAAUUAACCCAUCUUCGGGCUGCCUGUUUAUUAGCAUGUAUCUUAUUAUAAUAAGAAACUAUAUUUUGACAAUCUGUUCUAAUCGUAAAUACUUCAUUAUAUAAAAAUAAAGAAAAUGCUUCAAGUUAAUUAAUUAUCCCUAAAAUUUCUAAAUCUGUUGAUGGUAAUCUUGACUGUACAUCACUAAACUUUCCUGAGGAAUAUCUACAAACUUGUUCGUCAAAUUUUGGAGACUCCCUAUGCUUUUUCUGGUAUAGUAUACCUGCCCAUCCUAAUGAUGAAGCAUCUGUUUCAACUAUAUUGUAACUAUCAUCUAAUGGUAAUUGUAAUGGCUUAAGUUUAGUAAUUUCUUCUUUUAUUUUUUGAACUAAUUUAAUAUCUUCACUAUUAAAAUAUUUUUGUCCUGUUUUGCUAGUUUAACUAUGUAAUACUGCUAUUUUUCUUCCUAAAUCAGGGAUAAAAUUUCUUGCAUAAUUUAGCAAUUCUAAAAAUGCUUGUAACUGUUUCUUAUCUUCUAAUUUGUUUGGAAAUUCUAACACCUUUUUAGCUAUAUGAUUUUGUAAUUGUAUUGUACCUGACUUGAUAUACAUUCCUAAAAAUUAUAUAUCUUGCUUUUCUAAUGCUAUUUUAUUUUUCCUAAUCACAAUUCCAUUAUUGAUAAAUUCUUGUAAUACUAUCUCUAAAUGCUUCCUAUGUUCAUUUUUAUUUUUACUAUGUACUAAAAUAUCAUCUACAUAAACACUACAAAAAUUAUCAUAUUUCUUGAAAAUUUGGUCCAUCUUUCUUUGAAAGAUCGAUGGAGCAUUUUUAAGUCUAAAUGGCAUAACGAGCCACUCAAAAUGUCCUUCUAGACAAGUAAAAGAUGUCCACUCAAUUGAUUCUUCUGUUAAUCUUAUUUGCCAAAAACCUGAUUUACAAUCAAAUUUGCUAAAAUAUUUACUCUCUUGAAUUUUAUUUAUAAGCUCAUCCUUAUUUGGUAAUUUAUAACUAUCUUCGUAUGUAUUAUCAUUUAAUCUCUUGUAAUUAUAAAUUAUUCUAGCCUUACCUCUCUUUAGUUCUGAAUGUUUUAUUACAAUAAAUGUUGCUGAUCUAUGUCUAGACUUAGAAGGUCUAAUUACUUUUAAAUUUAGCAACUCUUUUAUUUGCUGCUCAAACUCUUGUUUAUCUAUUAGACUACAAGGCAUAUCAGCUGUCUUAAUGGUUAAAUCUGGGUUAAUUAUAUCUAAUUUUGCUAAUAUUUUAUUUUUACUCUAAUGUAACUGUAGGUCUUCUCCUAUAAUCCUAGUUUGUUCUGCUAAUUGUAACAAUUCUUCUAAACUCUUUGGUCUAUCUAACUGUAAUAUUUCUAUACAUAUUCCUUCUUCUAAAAUCGGGUAUUCAUGUUCAAAUAUAUAUUCAUCAAACUCUUCUAUGUUAUUAUGCUCAUCAUUUUCUUUUGAGUUUUCUAAAUGAUAACUAUCUUGGCCACUAGGCUCUUCUAUACUUAUGUUUUUGUAUACUUCUACAAUAUUACUUUGAUUAGUUAUUGUAAUGCCUCUUUUGAAAAAUGUUAUGUUAAGGUUCAUAAAUAAAAAACCUUGCAAACUUUUUCAAAAAGUUUAAACCUAAAAUAAAUGGAUAUGAUCCUACUGGUGAAACAAAUGUUAAUGGUAAAUUAAAUUGUUGUUUUUCUACUUUAAUAAACUCAUUAUUUAUACAAUGUGUUGAGUAAACUGGUCUCUCAUCAAAUUGUGUUAUUCUUACUGGUUUUGCUAAUUUUUGUCUAUAUUUUUCUGGUACUAACUCUUAUCUUAUGACACUCUUUGUACUCCCUGUAUCUAUCAUAGCUAUCGUUUGUAUCUUAUGUUCUUUUGCUAAUUCUAUUUCACAAUUUAUGGUAAUUAAAGAACUAUUUUUUGGUUUUUCUAUACUAUGAACAAUAUUUCCUAAUAUUUCAGUAUUUUCUUGUGAUUUUGCUGAAUUAAAUUCUAAUAACCUAUUAUUAUAACGUUUUUGACAUAAUAUUGAAUAUGUAUUAUAGUAUUUAUUUGCAACUAAUUUACUACACUUAUGACAUUUUUCUAGCCAACCUAAAUUGAUGUAUUUAUAUUCUUCUUCAUGCUGUUCUUCUAUGAAUGCACACAUAUACUCUUCUAGAUCACUAUUUGUGUUACUUGAAUUUUUUGAGUUUGAAUCUAUCAUGUUAAUACUCUCUAUACUAUAAAUACUCUCAUUAUCACUUAAUUUAUCUAAACUGUAUAUUGACUGAAUAUCCUCAUCUUCUUCUAACUUAAACAACUCCAUCAAAUGUAUUUUUUCUUUCGAUUGUUUACCUAAUUUUGGACAUUUAGGUCUAAUUUGUCUAGCUUCUCCACAUGAAUAACAUUUACAAUUACUCUUAUCUUUUGAUGCUUUAUAUUUUCUAAUCCAAGGUCUGCCACUUCUUUUUCUAAAUAGUUUUGGAAUAUAUUUUCUUUUCCUAUAUGUUCUUAAAGGUCUUAUGUUGAAAUUCUUAUGUUGUUUGUAGGGUUUAUACGACUUAUAUUUCUUUUUGUAUAUUUUCUUAUGCUUUUUCUUCUGGCAACCAUACUGUUGUGGUAAAUUUAUAUUUUUACAACACAUGUAAAAUUGUUUCCUAAUUUGUCUCUUAGCUUUUAUUUGACUACACUCUUGUCUGACUAUAUCAUAUACAUGUUGAAUUCUAGGUCCUAUAGCAAUAUCAUUUUUCUUCGGAUGCUUUUGCCAUUCAUUCCAAAUCUUUUCACAUAUUGGUCCUUUUAUUUUUGUCAUAUAAGUAUCUAAUAAAUUAAUAUAACUAAUUCUAUUUGUUCUUCCUAAAUAUUUAAAGAAAUCUGUGGUAAACUCAGCUAUAUAAUGUAAAUCGUAAAUUUGUAAUUGUUCUAAAUUUGUAAUUGCUCUUAUUUGUUCUUGUUCACUUCUGCCAUCUAACCUAUUAUGAUCUAAAAACUCUUGUUUAAUCAAAGUAACAAAACUAUCAAUAUUAAAAUGUGUUUUAGCUGCCUAAUGUUGUUCUAGAUUUUGAACUUUUCAUGACUGGAAAUAAUAAAAAACUAAACCAUCCAAAGUAUGCUCAAAGUAAUCUAACAUAUUUUGUGAAUUACUAAAAUCUAACAUUAAUGCUGCAUGUACGCAGCCUUUUUCCCAUCUCUCAAUCGUUCUUUCCCAAUUUUGUGGAUCUACAUUAUCUAAAUUUAAUAUAUUACCAGCUACAUUAAUUUGUUCUAACCCUCUCAAAUAUGGAAUCCUAUUUUUUCUAGGUUUUAUCAUACUUUCUUCAAUAUAGUUUACUUUUGCUUUUUCAUUAUAUUGUUCAUUUGUUGGUCUCAAAAAUUAUUUAUCAGUUCUACUUGCGUGUCCUGGAUUUUCUACUUCUGAUGUACUACUUUCUUCUGCUAGAUUACGUUAUGCCUUCAAUUCUAAUAAAUUAUUAUAUUCUUUUGAUCCUAAAAUAUGUUCUACUCCUAUUUCUAAGAUUAAAAUUUUCAUUUAUUCGUCUGAAAUUUUAUGUAAUCCUAAAUCAUAUGUCUUAUAUUUUUCCAAAUAUUAUUCUUCAUCUAAAUGAUCAAUAUCUUUUAUAAGUUUAUCUACAAUAUGAUCAAAUUUUUGUUCAACUAAAUUAAUAUCUAAAUUAUCAAAAGCCAUAUGUAUACUCUCAUUUUCGAUUUCACUCUCAUUCUCUUCUAUUUUUUCUAGUUGCUUAUAAUUACUAAACAUAAUUGUUGCUUGACCUAUACUAGUUUCAUAUAUUUUUACUUUAUCUGGUUGUCUAUUUGGUGCUACUUGUAAAUUAGGCAAUGUCCACUGAGUUCCUUCUAAAAAGCUAUUAUCUACGGGUUUUGCUUUUAUCAUAUUUACAUAUUUACUGCCAAAUUUUUGAACUAAAUUUUGAAACUCUAAUUAAACUUAUGAUUAUAUCUAUCAGACACUUUACCUAUUUACAUUAAGUUAAUACACAAAUUUUUAUACUCUCCUUUCAUAUUAUAAUUUUUUUGUUCUUAUGCUCACUUUAAUAUAUUUACUAAAUUCAUUAAUCAUCAUAACAUAAUUUGGAAUACAACAUAUGACUGCUAAGUUUGAACUUAAGUCUACUUCAGCUGUUGAUAUUGCUGCUUGUUGGUGAUUAUCUCAUCUAUCAUCAUAUAUAUAUACUAAAGCUUUUGUACCUACUUGUGCUCUGGUUAAUCCUGAUAUUCCAAUUAAUAUUGUUCUUAUAUGAAUCUAACUAAAAUGUGAUUUUCUCAAAUGAGUAACUGCUUCUUUACUAAUUAGAUUAAAUGUGACUUCUUUAUCAAUACAGCUAACUUCAUGUUGAUUGAUGCUGCUUACAAUUCUACUUUUGUUUUCAAAUAAACCUAAUUGAUACAAGUUAUAUUUAUUUUUCUGUGUUCUCUCAAAACCUCUUCGAAUAAAUUCUUGUGUUUCUUCUUCAUUUGGAUAAAUAUCUUCCGCUCUAACUACUUCUUUUCCUUUUUUUUUCCUAAAGAGUUCCAUUUUCUAUUAUCAGAAGGAUUUAGCUUAGGUCUUCUAUUAUUAUUUUCACUCAAAGUUAAAUUUUCUAAUUUAUCCAGCAAGGAUAGUGGAAGUGAUGAAGAUGCGUUAUGUAAAACUUGGUUUAUUUCUACUAUUUGUUCUUCAACUUGAUCUAAUUUUUUAGCCAAACUUAAAACUAAUUGAAUAAUCAAAUUAUUUUGCCUAAUGGGAAUAUUACUACUGGAUUGUGUUGAAAAAUCUGUUAAACCUACUGGUUCUUUAUCUAACUUACUGAUUUCUUUCAAAGCUUGUAUAUAUUUUCUACUAGUUCUAGAAUCUGUCAUUAAACCAAUAAUUUAUCUAUUUUAUAUGCAACUUAUCUACUUGUUCACUCAACUCCUUUUGUACUAAUUGAAUUUUUUGAACUUCUAAUUUUAGUUGUUCAACUAUUUCUAAUGAUCUAAGUUCUACUUGCUUUGGCUUGCUAUCUAUAAGGUCAACAAGCUCUUUUAUCUCUCUUUUGCUAGGAAACCUCUGAAUAUUUUUAUUAUUAUCUUCUAACUGAUAUGUAAUAUAAUCUAAAUUUUGUCUAAUUAUUUUUAUGGAAUUUUUCUGAUAAAUGCUCUAACAAUUGGUUUAACAAAUGAUUAUGCUUAUUAUUUUCUAAUUUUAUAUUUUCUGCUUGACUAAUAAUAAGAUCUACAAUACUAUUGGCUUGUGGAUUUUCUUCACUGUGCAAAAUAUGAUUAUGCUUUCUUGAUGGAAAAUAACAAACUAAACUAUUUGGUCUAAAGUUAUUUUUCUUUUUUGAGGUUCACUAAUUUCUAAAUUAAGAUAAUCUAUCAUAAACUACAGUCUAUCUUUCUCUAGAGUUAUGGCUAUUUGGUUUCUUAAAAACUCUCUUUCUUCUCUCAAGGUCUCUAAAACUUGAUCUAUUGUUCUUUUUGCUUCUAAAACUUUAUGCUGCACUUCUGUGUUAUUAUAUUUACGAAUAAAUGAAGGAUGUUCAAGAUAGCCAAGAUAAAACUUUUGCUUCUUCAAAGUACUGAUAAUUCUUUUGGAUAUAUAUGCUAAUAUUCUCUUUAUGCUAGUUAUAGUCGGAUGUCUAGGACAAUAAAUACCUGGUAAUUGUGGUUGACAGGGUCUACAGGGACAAUAAUAUCUGUUGUUCAUACACAAUAAACAAAUAUAAUAUCAGUUGUAUCAAUGACUUCUAUCCUCAAGGUACUUUACUAUUAUAAUUAUACUGUUAAAAUGCUAAAUUUGGCUCUGAUUCCAAAUUCGCAACGCAUGCUUGGUUAAAUAGUCGGAUGACCAUUAUAGCAACUACACAUAGAACCUUGCACAUGGAACUCGACAUGUUUCAGCAUGACGGCCACUCACGGUACAAGUAUAAGGCCUUAACGGCUAAAUUCAGAGGUACGAAGAACUCAGAGGUACCCUGGUUAAUGUCCAGUUAUUUGUAUGGCAAGCAUUCAACUAUAACAGAGUGCUCGAACAAAGUAUGAUCGUCAGUUAUUUAUAUAGCCACAAUAAUGUUUCCCUAUUUUGGACUAGAAAUCUAAUUAAACAAACACACUAAAGAAGGAAAAGAAAACUUACUUAAGACUUGGAGAUUGCUUGAAUAUGUACACUUGAACUUUUAUUGAUAUAUGGAAUGUUUACAGAAAUAAUUGUUUACAAGAAAGUGAUUACAAAGAAGUGUUUACAAGGAUGCUAUGAAGGCUACGAAUGCUUGAGUGUAUGAAGUGAGUAUGAUGUUUUCAGAUGUUGAGAGAGGUGUGUUCUGUAUGGGAGGAAAGACUCCAUUAUAUACAAAAUCUAAUUCUUCAAAGACAAAAUAACAUUUCAUCUAUUUACAAUUUUUGAAUAGUGACAACACUGUUUCUGAAACCUGUUAGCACUGUUUCUGAAAGCUGGCUGUCUUGUCUUUGCUUGAAUGUCAUGUGAAUUUAUGUUGUCUUGGUUGCUGCAAUGUUUGCCACAUUUUCUUUUGCAUGUGAAUCUGUAUUGUCUUGGUUGUUGCAAUGUUUGCCACAUAUUCUUUUGCAUACAAAUGUUUUAUGAAAAUGUCAAUCUCCUUUUUCUUCUUUUGGAUGUAUUCACAUGAACUUUGCAGAAAACUGACCCAAUCUUGUACAUAUGUGUGAAGGGUAGGAUCGGUAUUUUUGAAAAAAUCUAUCAUGAUGAUUAAAAGUAAAGUUUUGAGGGUGUUUUGGUUAGUUUUCCAUAAAAUUUAUGGUUAACAUGUGUAAACUUACGUUUUAGUCACGAUAAAGUAGCUACUUCAUGUUGGCUAAGGUUGGUUCCCACUAAAUUUUUCCAAAAUUUAUUCUCUUCUUUUUAGUUUUUAAAUCAUGUUCUUUUGGAACAAAUAAUAUUAGCUACACUAAGCGGUUAGAGAGUGGGCUAAGCCUCACAAUAAGAUAGUAAUAAUGUAGUUCAAAUUUAUCUUUGGCGAGAAUCAAACCUAAGACCUCUCACUUACAAAUGAAGAGGAAUACCACUAGACCAUAAUACUAAGUGGCUGAAUUAUGUUCUUUUUAAAAUAACAUUCCUAAAAGUACCAUUUUAAUUUGAUUGUUUCUUUUUCACGUGACACUUUUAUGAAUUCCACACCAACAUAAAUGUGGGUUCCAUCCUUUUCAUUUCAUCAUUUCAUAGUCAAAUAAGCGAAUCGACUAACGGAGAUAUGAUAUUGUAAUGAAUUCGUAAGUUUGUUUAUGACUUUGCAAUGUUUUGAACUUGAGAUAUGAAGUUGUUAUUGCACCCAAAAUUGAGGGCGCAAAAUGUAAUUUAACCUUUAGCACCAAACACUGACAUUUAUACAAAAAAUUGGAUAUUACUUAUCAAGAAAAAAAAAAUCUUUGCAUAUAAUCUGAACCUGGAAAAAAUUGGUGACAAUUUAAAAAAAAAAUCUAGGCGAACUAAGAUUGAUAAUAGACUUAACUACAAAAGGUCCAUAAUACAUGAACAACUUGUGUAAUUUUGUUAGUAUUUAUGGAGUAAAAUAAAAUUUUGCAAAAUAGAAGAAAUAUUGUGGCCUACAUUUAACUGACAAGGAGAAAGGGUAGGCGUCACAGAGAAAAUACAAAGAGAUGUGUUUGUAGGGUUGUGUAGAGGAUGCGUUAUUCUCCAUACGGAUUGCCUUUAUUUAUAGUAAUAAGGGGGGGAAAGAAAUCCUUCAUUUCCAAGGAAUGCAAGUCCUAAUAGGGAAAAAUAACUAAAAUCAAAUCUAAUAUGAGAUUUACACAAUCACACUUAAAUAAGAAGUUUAUAGCACUCCCCCUUGAGUGUGUAAAUACUCAUGUAGAUUCGGCAUUAUGUAGAGUUGAGGAAGUCGACUCGUCAGCACUGAUUAUGGGAAUACACUAGUCUCAAAUAAGGCAAGAACUUGCAUAAGGAAGUAAGUCUUACAAAAACCCUAUGGCUAGUAAAAACCCGAGUAGGGACAAAAUCCAUAGUCUAAGAAAAAUACAUGAGUAAUGCAAAAUUAAAUGAAAUGUCUACGGGACGUCAUCAGGGAUAUGAUUAACCCAAGAUGGGUGCCUUGUCAAAACUUAGUUAGGUAGCAAAAACCCAGUGGAAAAAAUGCUUAUAAUCGUAUGGAAAUAUAGUACAUUAAGAUCAAGCAAGUAUACUUUAGGAUACUCUCCCUGAGUUUGACACAAUUUCAAAGAGAACUAACAAUAUUACAACUCAGAAAGUUUACGCAUACCAAUUCCUUGAACAAGCUUUUGAAACAUCACAUUCGAUAGUGAUUUGGUGAAGAGGUCGAUGAGAUUGUCUUGUGAACGAAUUUGCGUGACUUCAAUCUUCUGAUGCUUUUGAUUUGAGAAGAAGAACUUCGGCACAAUGUGCUUGGUGUUGUCUCAUUUGAUGUAACCUUUCUUGAGUUGUUCAAUGCAUGUUGCAUUAUCUUCAUAGAUAGUCAUCAGGAUGUCAACAACGAGGUAAAUAUCACAGAAGCUUCGAAUAUGGUCCACAAUUGCUUUCAACUAAAAGCAUUUUCGAGUUGCUUUGUGUAAUGCGAGAAUUUCAACAUGGUUAGGCGAAGUGGCAACUAAGGUCUGUUUAGUUGACCUUCAAGAGAUUGCAGUGCCUCAAAUGGUAAAGACAUAACUCAUUUGAUAACAUGCAUUGUGUGGAUUAGAUAAGUAUCAUGCGUCAACAUAACCAACAAGACGAGAAUCGACUCGAGAAAAGAGGGUGUGACAUCACUCAAGGAUUCAUAGUGGUAGAAUAGCUCAGAUCCGUUGUACCUUUAAGGUAGCAGAAUAUGUCUUUAACACCAGUCUAGUGUCUGCAUGUUGGUAUAUUACUAUAUCUUGCCAAAAGAUUAACAGUGAAGGAGAUGUUGGGUCUAGUGCAUUAAGCCAAGUACAAUAAAGCGCCUAUUGCACUUAGAUAAGAAACUUCAGGCUCCCAAAUCUCUUCUUCAUCCUUCUUCGGACGGAAGGGAUCUAGUUUUGCAUCUAGCAAUCGAACGACCAUAGGAGUGCUUGAAGGCUUUGCCUUAUCCUUGUUAAAGCGGCGCAACACCUUCUGAGUGUAGUUCGAUGUACUAAGAUUCCAUCUGUAUGGUACUUUAUCUUAAGACCAAGACAAUAUCGAGUCUUUCCGAGAUCUUCAUCUCAAAUUCUGACUUUAGGUGUGUGACAAUUCUUUGGAGCUCUUCAGAAGUUUUGAUGAGAUUCAUGUCAUCGACAUAUAUUGCAACAAUCGCAAAAUUGGAAUAUGACUUCUUAAUGAACACCCAAGGGCAUAGUUCGUUGUUAACAUAUCCCUGACUAGUCAAAUACUACUCAGACGGUUAUACCACAUUCUUCCGGAUUGCUUUAAACCGUAGAGUGAAAGCUUCAGCUGAAUUGAGAGUGUGUUCCGAGGUUUGAAAAUAUUUGAUCCAGUCAAUGUAAGUCAUUCGGGAACUUUCAUAUAGAUUUCCGUAUUAAGAUCCUCAUAGAGAUACGCAGUUACUACGUCCAUUAGCUCCAUACUCAGUUUUUCAGAAACUACCAAACAAAUAAGGUAGCGAAAAGUAAUUACAUCCAUAACAGGUGAAUAAGUUUCAUCAUAGUUAAUCCUAAGGCGUUGUGAGAAACCUUGCACAACAAGAUGAGCUUUGUAAUGCACAAUUUCAUUCUUCUCAUUAUGCUUAUGAAUGAAAACCCACUUGUAGCCAACGAGCUUCACAUGUGAAGGAGUAUGAGCUACAAGUCCAAACACCUUACAUUUCACAAGCGAAUCGAUUUCAACUUAGAUUGCUUGUUUCUAGUUUGACCAAUCAGUUCUACGUCGACAUUCAUCAACAGAACGGGGUUCACUAUCAUCGCUUAACAUGAUCUUAAUAGUUACUGCAUAUGCUAAUGCAUCGUCGACGAUCAUCUCAUUUCUACACCAAACAUCAUCUAAGCUAGCAUAAUGGACCAAAAUCUCACGAUUCUUGGGAGAUGGAUUCUUCUCUUCAAUGACGUUUUUAUAAUCUAGAAUUUCCUCAUGAGUUAGAUAAAAUAAGUAGGCGAUAGUCAGAUUCACGGUAGACUCUUCAAGGGUUGUGUUGUGUGUUUCCUCUUCUAGGGGUGUGAAUCUUUUAAACCAAGUGGUAUGCCACACUUGUGUGUAGGGGCAGAUGAUUGGCUAGUCGCUAAUGUAUGUAGAUCGGCCAAUGUGGCAUCCUUGGCCUCUAGGAGGGAAGUCCGUUGUACAUUUGGUACAUCCAUCUUUUGUAGGCACAUUCUCAGCUGGAAUAUGUGAAAGUAUCUGUCAUGCUUUGAGCUACGUUCUGAAUAUCUAAUAUGUGUUGCACUUCAGUUUCAAACUGAGCGAUGCAGGGAUCUAAAUGAGACAAAGUGGGAGUCAUCCACGAUAAUUUACGUCGUUCUUCAACAACAAUGAUGUUCUUAUAUCCCCUUAAUGACGGAAAUACUGUCUCAUAGAAGUGACAUUUCGUGAAACGAGCGGUAAACAUAUCGUUUGUUCAAGGUUCUAAGUAACGAAUGAUCGAAGGAGUAUCAUAUCCGACAUAGAUUCUCAUCCUUCACUGAGGCUCCAUUUUUGUACGUAAGGGCGGUGAAAUUAGCACAUAGACUGCACAACCAAAAACACGCAUAUAAGAUAUGUCGGGUUCGUAUCCGAUAAGCAAAUGAAGGGUGCUAUAUGGUUGGGUUGCAACAGGCCUCAAGCGGACCAACAUGGCUGCAUGCAAUAUUACAUAACUCCAAGCAGCGAUCGGGAGCUUGGUACGUAUGACCAACGAUCAAACAAUCAUUUAUAAGCGCGUAAUGAAUGUCUCUGCCAUUCCAUUUUACGUGUGAACAUGGGGUACUGGAUGUUCAACUUUGACCCCAACUGACAUGCAAUAGUCAUCAAAAGUUUUGGAUGUGAAUUCUCCAGCAUUAUCUGAUCGAGUAGAUUUGAUCAGAUAAUCAGGGUGGUGAACUCUGAGCUUGAUAACCUAGCCAACAGUUUGGAGAAUGCAUCGUUCCUUGUGGACAACAAGCACACGUGUAACUAACAUGUGGAACCGUCAACCAAAACCAUAAAAUAUCUAAAUGGUUCGCAGGAAGGGUGAAUCGGUCCACAAAUGUCCCUCUGAAUCCUCUAUAGAAAAAUAGGAAGAUUCGAGUGAAUCUUGUCAUAAAAAGGCUUAAUAAUAAGCUUUCCCAUUGAGCAGGUUUGACAUGUCCUUGAAUCGAACCAAAACUUCGAGUUAGUGGAUGCCCAUAUAAUGAUUUGAGGAUACAACGUAUCGCUGUUCAUCCAGGGUGUCCCAAACGAUCAUGCCAAAGUGUAAUUUCGUGUGCAGUUCCAGAGAUAGGGUCGGCCACAUAGUGACUUUCAAUAAGGCGCAUGGUCAUAGUAUACAGACCACUCGGGAUAUGCUCAAUCUUAUCUUGAAUACGCUUCUGGCCAUAUUCGUUGAAAGUGAUGCACAAAAAUUCAACUUCAUUUUCUACAUAGGUUUUAGCAUGGUAAUUAUUGUCUUGACUUUAAUGCUCAACAACAUUCUUCUGGAACAUGGAGAAUAAAGUGCCUUUUGAAUGGUCAAAAUAGUGCCAUUGGACAACAUUUACAGGAUUUUUUGUAUCCUUCGAUCAGGUUGGAUGGACCUGGGAGGGUUGUCAGAGGUAUUAUUAGGUACAAAGUUAAUGAAAUAGAUGCGUUCACGCAAAACGGUGUGUGUGGUUGCACUAUCUACCAAACAACUAACUUUCCCACUAGUCAUACCUAGAAUAAAAUUAAUUAAACCAGUCACAUGCAUAAAAGUUCGAAAACUUAAAUCCAUUCAAUUAAUUUUUUCAAGAUAAGUUUAUGAACUUCAGGUUCAUAGUACCUACAAACAAACGCAUAUAUACAUAUAAAUAUGCAACAAGAAAAUAUGCAAAUAGAUCCUUAGGUCUAGAAUUAUAAUUGAAAUAAUUAUUUGGACUUCGGGCCAAAAUUAAAAGUUGGGCGAAAAAAUUAAAACCUAAAUUGUCUAAAAAAUAAAUAAUUCAGCUUGGGGCCCAAAAAUAAGGACCGAAACCCAUAUACGGGUUGAGCAAAUUGGAUCGUACGACCUAGGCCCAAGAAUUAGGUUGGGUUGGGCUACAGGCCCAAGACAAAGAGGGCCCAUAAAGAAACACGGAUCCAUUGUUUUGUAGCGCAGACGUUCUUAGAGGACGCAAUCUAAUGUGUUACGGGCCAGGUGCACCAAAUCACUAGCUGCUGACUAGGAUCAAGUGCGGCUCGGUGCAGGGAACUAGGGGAGCCCUACGAGGGCUGGGUUCAACUACGGUAAGGACACGAGGAUACCAAAGCCCAAUUAGGCUAGUGUCGUUCGCGGGCCGAUAGUCCAAUUUAGCCCAAUUGGUUGUUUGGAUUUGGGUCGUGGCAACAAAUGCAACCAGCAGCCCAAAAAGGGUGUUGUUCAAUGCAUGCCCGAGUGUUCGAGGCCCACUAAGGCUUGGGUUUGGAAACCAAAACACCAUAACGACACUGGGUGUGGGAUUCGAACUAGAAAAGUCUCUGGCGUCGUUUCAGGCGACUUCCCUCGAUCAGUCAUGGCACAACGAUGCAUAGGGGUUCGAUUGGAACCCUAAUUUAGGAUAGAAAACUAAGUUUCGAUGUCGGGGGGGGGGUUGAGAAACAAUGAGGAUUCGAAGAAUCCUUUCAAGAAAUCACCGAUGUUCAUCGGUUUUUCUAGAAACCCAUCAUCUUCGACGAUGGUUAGGUCCCAAAAACACGACAACAAGUCGUGAUUUUCCCAGAGAGACGGCGGUGUGGCCGUGGUUGAUUGCAAGUGGCAUUAGGUUCAUGGGAUCAAUUCCAAAAUAGCAUCGUCUUCUUAGAUGGAGCAUUAGGGGUUUUACCCCAUGCAUUGGGGCUCAAAAUAGCUCAUGUGAGCUCAGGUUUGGGUUCGACAAACCCUAGAAGUUUUUUUUGUUAUUUUUUUUUUCAAUUUCCAGAUUAAUUCAAUGCAUAUUCAACAUAUAAUUCAAUGCAUGAGCAGAUGAUGCAAUUCAUAGCAAUAUCAAUUCACAUAAUUCAACAAUUAUGAAUAGGCUUUUUGGCCAAAAUGGUCCUUGAAAUUUGCAUAACACAUCACUUUGGUCUCUAAGAUUGAAAAUCAAUAGAAAUGGUCCUUGAGAUUGUCCACAAUCCAUUAUUUUGGUCAUUCCGUUAAAAACUCCGUUAAGUGUCCUGGAGCUUUUGGCCGGAAAUUUGGGCAAUUUUCAAAGCUUCGUAACUCAAUCGUUUCUUAACCAAAUUCUACCCGUAAUAUAUCAAAAUGAAGAUAAGAAAGUGUAGAACAAGAUUGUACUUAUUUAGAAGCCCAAUGAUUGCCGAAGAUGGCUGGAAAAUAGCCUGAAAGAUGACCGAUCCAUGGAAAAACUAAAAAACUCGCUGGAAACUGGGUAAACUUUAAACGUUCAUAACUUCUUCAAUACUCAACGAAAUCGAGUGAUUCAAAAAUGAAAAUCAUACUCUCGACGGUUGUCUCUAGUUUCCCGCAGACCAGUCACCUUUCAGGCUAUUUUCCAGCCAUCUCCAGCAACCAUUGAGCUUCCAAAUGGGUAUAAUCUUGUUCUACACUUUCUUAGCUUCAUUUUGAUAUAUUAUGGGUAGAAUUUGGUUAAGAAACGAUUGAGUUAUGAAACUUUGAAAAUUGCCCAAACUUCUGGCUAUUAGCUUUGGGACACUUAACGGAGUUUUUAACGGAAUGACUAAAAUAAUGGAUGGUGGAAAUCUCACGGACCAUUUCUAUUGAUUUUCAAUCUUAGGGACCAAAGUGAUGUGUUAUGCAAAUCUCAGGGACUAUUUUGGUUAAAAAGCCUUAUGAAUAUAAUGCAUACACAAUUUAUGUAGAAUCUAAAAUUCGAAAAACGUAAAGUUGGGUCAUGCAUUAUGUUGAAUGUUCAUGCUAUUAUGGAUGCAAAAAUAUCGAGAUAAAAACCAUUGUUUUGGAAGAACUUGAUUGCGUGAUGAUAUUGAUGAAUUGGUUUGAUGCAGAAAUUUUUUCUUCAAUUUCGGCUUUCCAUCUCCAAAGCUUGUAUCACGUUCAACAUAAAAAAAUUUAAAUUGAAUUAAUAAAAGUAUAUGAAUCAAUAAAAUCAAAAUCUAAGCAAUUAAAAAUAAUUGAAACGUAAUACUCCCCUAAUUGAAGAUGAAUAAUUUUCAAAUCAAAUGCCUAAGCGCAGCGGUAGGAGCGUGCUGAUAAUGUGUUGUGGCCUAUAUUUAAUUGACAAGGAAAGGGGGCUGGUGACACAGAGAAAAUAUAGAGAGAGAUGUGUUUGUAAGGUUGUGUAGAUGAUGUUUUAUUGCCCCUACGCAGUGCCUUUAUUUAUAGUAAUAAGGGAGAGAAGAAAUCAUUCUGCUCCACAUAAUACAAGUCUUAAUAGGGAAGAAUACCUAGAAUCAAAUAUAAUUAAACUUUACACAAUCAUACUUAAAUAAGAAGUUUAUAGCAAGAAAAUCAUUUUCGAAAAAAUGUUUUAUUCAAAACAAAAACUAAAUCUUUUUAAAAUAACAGUCGAGAACAAAAAAUAUGAACAACUUGGGAUCGAUUUUAGUGAUUACUUUAGUGGGUUUUGUUUUAAAUUAAUAAAUGAAUAUUUCUUCGUACCAUAGAAAUUUUCUAAGAAAAGAAAUGAAUACUUUUCAACAAUCAAGAAAGAAGAUCACGUCUUUUUAAUAUGCCCACACUUUCUAUGUGAAAAUAAUUUUUAUUUUUAUUUUAAAAUAGAAAGGAGAAAGGGAGAAAAAAGGAAUGUGGAUUAGAAAGAGAAGGAUUAUAUAUAUAUAUUUUUUUUCAAAAUUAAAGGAUGUUUUUAAUGAACAAUUGAUAUUAUUUAUCACUGAGGGGAGGAGAAUGAGCUUAGCCUUACAAUGUACUACAAUAACGUGAUUCAAAUUUGUUUUUGGCGAUAAUUGAAUCUAAGACCUCUCACUUACAAGUGAAGAUGAAUACCACUAGACUAUAGUACUAAGUGGCAAAAUUAGAGGAUGUUAGAAUCGUCAUUGGGUGAGGCUUUGAAAAAAAAAUUGUAAAAUUUAGUUUUGGGAAUUUGCUUUACUGUCCAUAAUUUUGUUUUAUGGUAAAAGAUAAAAUUGUCUUUUUACACUCUUUUAGUUGAUAAAAAUAAUUUUAUUAAUAUAGUUUAGAAUACUGAUUGAAAAUGUAUUAAAAAAAAAAAACCAAAAACUAUCACCAAACUUGUGGUAUCACAAAUAAGUCUCCAAUAAAAAUGAAAUCAUCACAAAUAAGUCCAAAAAUCAAAAGAAAUAAAAAUCAUGUUAAAAGAACUGUUAUCGAACACGUGUCGUCUGUAACAUCAAACUUGACCCAACUCUCUCGUAUCCGUUCACGUGGCGGACAUGAAAGUGCAUCCCGCUUCCAUGCCGCUCUCCCUCUCUUUCUCACAACCUCUCUCUCUUCACUCUCACUCUUCUUCCACUUUCCGACUUCCCUUCCACGUGAUGUAGCUUCAGCUGGCUCAAUCGAAACGUCACUAAAAUUGUGCCCUCCUUUUGGUCCUAGCUUUCUCAGAUUCAUCAUCUUUCUCGGAAAAUUCGAUCCCCUUUUGGCUCUCAAUAUACUCUCUCAGAACUUUUAUCGUACACUUUGCAAUCCAACGAAAAGAUCAAGGAUGCUUCGAACCCCACAUUUGUACGAUUCAAAUGUCGCCAAGUUCCCUCUCGUUGCAUCUCCCCAUUCAUCUCACCCUGUCGCUUCUUGCACACUAGCUUCUCCUGUUCUUGAAAUGGGGUAAUUCUUUUGUAUUUCUCUGUUUUCUUUAUUUUUUUUAUAUGACAGAUUGAAUUUUCGGUAUUUUGGUUUGAAUUUUCACUUUUUGCGCACUUGGGUCCAUUUUAGUGAUUAAACUUGGGUGGGUUAUGUUUUAAGUUCAUAAAAAUGAAUACUUUUCAACUUUCAAGUUUAAAGAGUAUCAUACAAAAUUGUGCCAAAAAUGCAUUUGUAGCAGUGCAUCUUCCAGCAUUUUAUUAGGAUGAUACGUGGUGAACAGUGCUGUCUUCUUUGUUGGAAUGACUAGUUUCAUGUUAUGGUACUAUUUUGAUUUGUGAUGAAAUCGAGUUAUUGUUGAUUUCGGCAUUGACGGUUUAUUAGAUUGAAGUGGAAUAAACAAGCAUCGGGUAGCAAUCAGCAAGGAAUUGUCAGAAAGGCAUGUUUAUCUUUCCAUAAUGCAUCAGCCUUUGUAUUUGUUUUGGUUUUGCAUUGUUGGUAAUUAUAUGGAUGGACUUGUGGCAUAGGUUAGACCCGGGAUGGUGCAAAGCAUAGCACAGCUAAUGCUUACGGUCAGCGUGCUCAAGAACGUGUGCUUGAGGUAUUUCUUUUCAUGUAGGAUCAUGUAUUUUGCUUUCUAUAUCUGUUGGCUGAUACUUCCAAAUUAUUUAAUAUUCAUAAAUACAAUACUAAAACAGUGGCGAUUCAUCUAUAUGCUUGAGAGCCAUAUACUGAUUGAUGAUUUUUUUCCCUAAUCGACUUCUUACCAAUGCCGGAAUGGGAAUAUUCCACAUUUUCAUGUGUUCACUGUUUGUGGUUAUAGGAAGAAGCCCCCCAACUGUCAGAAUCCAGCUCAUCAUGGAAAACUUUCCCAGGUCAAGCUUUUCCGCUGGGUGUAUCAGAAGUUGACAAUGGGAUAAAUUUUGCUAUCUUUUCACAGCAUGCAACUGCUGUCACACUUUGCUUAUCACUUCCAGAGAGGUAACAUCGUAUUUUCAUUUUGUUCAUUGCCUAAUAUCCAAUUGUGUACACUCACGUAUAUAUGAACAUCUGUAUUUAUGGGUAAAAAUCUUGCCAUAUACCAGGCCUGUUAUGUUACAGAUUGACAAUCUAAAAAUGUAAGUUUGGAAAUCAAUCUGGGGGUUGUUCUCUCUGGUUGUAGAGACAGGUUUCUUUAGUUUCCUUUGAGAAUACAUAUGUUUGGUUCAUUCUUCUCUCUCUCUCAGUUGCUGAAACUUGUGGUCUGGACUGGGGCCUUUGUGUAUAUCCACAUUGUGUGUUUUGCAUAAAAGAGCGGCAGAGAGCAUUCAUCAUUCCUUUUCCCAUUGUCCAUUGACUCCAUUCACCAUGCGAUUUUGGUUUAGGUUUAUGCAUAAUUUUGAAGUGGUCGGGGUUUGGUCUAGAUAUUUUCAUUCUUGGGUGGAAGUGUACUUGAGUGUUGGGGCUAGCACAAGGGUAAUUAUUGUUUUGUGCUGUUCGGGCUCAGCAGCAAUGUGGAAGUUUUGUUGGAAAGAAAUGAUAGGCUAUUUGAUAAGGUGGUGGAAGUUUCCCUUUGUUUGAAACUGAUUAGAUCAUUUUUUUGCGUGUAGGAAACUGAAAAAAGUAGAUUUUUAACAUCUUCUGAAUGUAACUUUGAUUAGAGGGACUUUGAUCUGAAUGGAAGUUAAUUUCUUUUUUAAGGACAGACUGUAGUGUUGAUGUAGAUGGAUCAUAGAAGUCGUCUGCAGCCUUUUUGGAGAUAUUUAUUCUUUCUCUUUUAGUAAAAGUUAUGUUUCCUAUAAAAAUGUCUGUCUUUCUAAAAAGUUUCAUUGAUUUAUGCCUGUUGGUUUAAAAUUCAAUUUAUUAAUUGCUGUUACUAGAUGGACAUCUUCUGUAGACCAACUUUUGAUAAAUAUAAUUUUUGUCAGGGAAAGGCUUGGAGGGCUGGAUGGUGGAAUGAUGGAGCUGCCUUUGGAUCCUAAUGUUAACAAGACUGGUGACAUUUGGCACAUAUGCAUCAAGGUAAUUUUUGAUAUAGGUUACUCAAAGCACCACCUGUCUUUGAGCUGUCCUUGAUUUAAUGAUGGCAUUAGUUCUAUGCUUGAACACACACUACUCUCUUUCUUUGUCUCUGUCUCUGUCUCUGUCUCUGUCUCUCUCCUAUGAGAAUAUAUCUCUUCGCGUAGUCUUCAUGAACUAUGACUCAUGAUAAUGAAAUCAUUUCUUCCCAGGAUUUGCCCCGGAGCAAUGUUCUUUAUGGUUAUCGUAUGGAUGGGCCACAAGGUUGGCAUCAGGGACAUCGAUUUGAUAGCAGCAUUGUGCUUGUAGAUCCUUAUGCAAAGCUAGUUGAAGGCCGUCGGAUGUUUGGAGACACCACGAAAAAGUUAUCUAAAUUUCUUGGAACUUAUGAUUUUGAUAGCUUGCCUUUUGACUGGGGAGAAAACUACAAGCUCCCAAAUAUACCUGAGGUAAAUAAGUUAUGCAGAGAACAUGAUAAAUUGUUGUCUUGAUAGAUUUGUUCAAUCAGAUGCAAGUUUGAUAGUUCCUCUCUCUUUCUCCCCUCAACAUCACAACUUAUGGUUUAUGAGCAAAUCAUAACUGAAUACAUUUUUAUUAAUAUCUGUAUUAUUUAUAUGCUCAUAGUUGAUAUGAUUUAAUUUUCAAAUUUUGAAUUAUUUUCUUUUUUUACGCAACUAAUCAUUUUAUGCUCCAUCUUGUUUCUGAGUUAAAUGUAGACUUCAAUACAUUGCAUCACAUCUUAACCUGUAUGUAUUCUGCCGUUUUUUCAGAAGGAUCUUGUUAUAUAUGAAAUGAAUGUUCGUGCAUAUACAGCUGAUGAAUCCAGUGGUUUGGAUCCAGAUAUUCGUGGUAGCUACCUUGGUAUGAUCGAGAAGGUAUUAAUUGAUUAUAACAUGACGAAUGACAAUCUAUCCAUAUAAUAGCAUCUCUUUAUACAAAGUACAAUAUCCGAAUCAAUUAUCUGAAUGCACCCUGUAUCCUUCCUUACCUUGAUUCAAUGACAUUUUGCUUUGUUUUUUGAAAUUUCGAUUAUUUCCUUUUAUUCCAAGCCAUGCUUCCAUAGAUAACGUUGACCAGAAAACUAUAACUAAGUUAUGGUAAGGAGAUACCUAUGGAGACAUGUAUAAUGAUAUCUUAAAUCUUUUUUUUCCAUAAAUGGGGGUAAGGCUAGCCGACAUUCACCUCUCCCAGACCCUGCCUAAAGCGGGAGCCUUGUGCACUGGGUACGACCUGUUUUCUUUUGAAAAGACAGUAUCUCAGGUUUUUAUCUGCUGCCUCACUUUUAAUAAAAUAACUUUGAUUUUUUGUUUGAGCUCUAUAUUUGUUUGAAGUGAUGCCCAAUUGACCAUAAGUAUGUCUAAUAAAAGUUAAAUUUUUUGCCAAGUUGUUCUUGCUGGGCACGAUUUCCAGGAGACAAGACUAGUGAACCUUUAUGCCCUCAGAAGAAAUUGUCUAAGGGGCCCUUAGUUCUAAUUUGCUUAAAGAAUUGAUUUGCAAUGUGAAUACAUCUAGUGCUUUCUUACAUGCAAUAAAGCGUGGCAAGUUAAAGACAGAUCAUGAAUAAUGACAACAUAUACUGCCUUACGUGCUUAGACUUAUCCUUUUAUCAUUCAUUAAGUAGAAUGAUCGCUCUUUAAUUGUUUUCAGGAAGAUGCUAUGGAUGGUUCAUAUUUCAAUUUCAACUGUUGAUGAACUUCUCUGAUAUUUCCUCUCCAUUUUAUCUUUAGAUUCCACACCUUCGAGAGCUUGGUAUCAAUGCAGUGGAAUUGCUGCCUGUCUUCGAAUUUGAUGAGUUUGAGUUUCAGAGGCGACCAAAUCCUAGAGAUCACAUGGUAUUUAAAUCAACUUCUCUCAUUUGUUUACUGAAGUUUAUAAUAUAUACAUUGCUGUAGCUUUCCUUUUAACUUCUCUUCAUAGUCGGAGAUGAAAAUCUGGAUGUUAUCACUGUCACGAAGAGAUGCUAGUGACUGAUAAGUAGGAUACCCUGGGUGGUUCUGAAAUUAAAACUUGAUAUCCAAGAUGUUUCAACAAGAUGAUAUUUUGAUUAUUUUUUGUGAUUUACAUGAUGAACUCCAAUCAGCCGACCCCACUUAGUGGGAUAAGGUUUGGUUGUUGUUUGUACGUAAGGAACUCCAAUAAAUUGAACAUUGAAUAAUUGUUGUGUAUUUUUCUUUUUCUGAAUUUUAAAGCCUGUAAGCAUUAACCGUCAGCCUGGCAAGCGAUCUAAUUUGUUUACCAAUGUGUGUAUAUGGCUUCUUUUGCUUUGAAGAUAAAUACCUGGGGCUACUCGACAAUAAAUUUCUUUGCUCCUAUGAGCCGCUAUGCAAGUGCUGGUGGAGGACCCGUUAAAGCUUCUCAGGAAUUUAAACAAAUGGUUAAAGCCUUGCAUGGUGCUGGGAUAGAGGUAAAUUAUGUCUUUUCUGCAAUUUUCCUGUUAUUGCAGUAGUGAAACUUUAUCCUUUUGGACAGGUCAUUUUGGAUGUUGUCUACAAUCAUACUAAUGAAGCUGACGAUGCAAACCCCUAUACAACUUCAUUUCGUGGCAUAGAUAAUAAGGUGAUGUCACACUUCUGUUACACUAUUUAAGUUACAUUAUUUCAUGAACUGACCAUAUGUUUUAAUCCCCAAACCAUAUGUUUUAAAUUUUAAUCCCCAAACGGUUGGAAUUAUGGCUGAGAUAAACUAUAUUUUACUGCCAUCAAAUAGAGAAAAAAUUUCCUUGCACCUCCUAGGUCUAAAAGACUGGAAUUUAGUCAACUAUAUAAGAGCGAACUGAUUCUUUUUAGUCUUUAUAAAUAUCGUGCAUCUAAUCUAAGCUAGAAUUUUGCUAAUAAGGAUAGGCUACAACUGUUUAGGGUUCUGAAUUUUGGAGUGUACCUACAUUUUCUAAUUCGGAGUUUACCUACAUGGUUCCCUUGUCGAAUAAAUUUCUGGCUGUGGCAGGAUGUACAACUUUAAAAUACUGGACAUCUAUUUUAAAAUAAGUUAUUGUAUUCAUUAUAUCAGAUAUUCUUUAUAAAUGAUGCGUCCUACGCCUACAGGUUUACUACAUGCUGGACAUGAACAACAAUGGCCAAUUACUGAACUACUCUGGCUGCGGUAAUUCAAAUGUCUUUUCUAACUGUCUUCUUACCUGUAAAUUGUCUCUUGCUGCUGCUAUAGAGAUAUAUAUUAAAUGAACUUUCUACUCUCUUUUAUUAAUUAUCUGUCUCAUCUGCAAUUGAUGGAUAUUCUGACGGUGCCUUUUUAUCAAGUUAAGGUGUAUGGAAUGUUUUAUACUAUGGAUGUGAUACAUUAUAUACAUAUGGGAUGGUUAUGUCAACGAAGGGCAAGUAUAUGUAUUUCACUAAACCGAAGCAAACUUUGAAAGUGACGAAAUUUAUGGACUGUACUGCUGGAUUUUGGAUGCAAAACAGGAUUUGACUUUGUGCUUGAAUAAAGGUUAAAACUAUUAUUGUUAACAUGUGAGGUUCUAAGAUUUUGUUUUCUGUUGGUUUUCAGGGAACACAUUAAACUGUAACCAUCCUGUUGUCAUGGAGCUCAUUCUUGACAGCUUAAGACAUUGGUAAGGUCACAAUUCAUAGAGUACUAAUUUAUCUUCUUUUGUUUUUUAAGAACAAAGGAUUGCAACGUAUAUGUUUUUUAACCUAUUGUGUAGCCACCUUCAAUCUGUUGUCAUUUCUAUUCAUCUGGUUAAAAAUGUCCUAAUUGUAUUUGUGAUGUCUUUUAUCAUGUAACACUUAUAAACUUAUCCAAAUGUCAUAUAUGACAUAAAAGUCUAUGGCUUUAGCCCCUUCCUACUCCCUAAUACCUUCUUUUUCCUUAGUACUUUCAUGGAAUUAUACCUUCUCCCAUGAUUCAGGCAAAGAAUUAAUAUUUAGCCGAAAAUGACCGACCCAUAAUUUAAUUUAAUAUUGUUGAACUUAAGUCAGCCAAUCCAAAACCAAUUGGCAAUAAGCCCAAGAGUUUGUAUAUUGUGGUGCAAGACUUAGAAUUCCCGAUUUGGGAUUUUAUAUUCUCAUUAAGCCCCGGUCCGUGUGGCUAGACUCAACCAAACAAGUAGAUGUAAAAAAUUGGGUGAUGUUGAGCAUGUGUGACCAUAUUGGGCCGGACAAUAAAAAUUGCCUGUUCUGGUGUCAUGUUAGUAUUAGAGCAUGCAGCCCUAACUUAGAAUUUCCAAUAUAAGAGUUUAAAAUUGUCUACAUAAUUGACUAAUAUAAUAUCCAUUGUCUCAUAAAUGGUCUUUAUUCAUUGAUUUAUAUACUGAAUAGGUAGUUCAUAUCAAGCUUCAUACUUUAUCGUUUUUAAAAAUUUUCAGGGUUGUUGAAUAUCAUGUAGAUGGGUUUAGAUUUGACCUUGCCAGUGUUCUUUGUCGGGGAACAGAUGGAACUCCUCUUGAUGCACCACCAGUUAUUAGGGUAAGUUAUCUGCAAAUACACCCAUAUGGAAGUUCUCUUCAUAUAUCUAGUUUUAAAUCAAUAUCUUUGUUAUUAUGAAUUCCUAAAAAUAUGUGUUGUUACUUUUAUAGUUACAAGUUUGUGGCCAUUGCUAUGGGCAUAAUUAUAUGUGCUUUUCUAUGUAGAUUUGCCUUCUAGUUAUUGAGUGGAGUUCUAGAAACUUAGUUGUGUGAGGAUUGACUUAGCCUUGUUUGUUGGACCAGGCUAUUGCAAAAGAUGCUAUCCUAUCAAGAUGUAAAAUCAUUUCCGAACCUUGGGAUUGUGGAGGCCUUUAUCUUGUUGGAAGAUUUCCAAAUUGGGACAGGUAAUUCAUGUUACAAAUGUACACCUCAUCAUAGUUAUGUUGGAGACACUGUUAACCUGAGAUAUCUACAAAUAAAAGUACUUUAUUCUCAAAGAAAAAAGAGGAGACUAUGUUACACCCUCUAAUUUUAUUUCUGUUUCUUUGUGAAUAAAGCUGACUUGCCAGGAAAAUGUAACAAUUCAUUGUCUCCAUCAAUAGCUGAGUCUUUUGCUUCUGGAUUAUGUUUUUUUUCCUUGUCGUGCUUCACAUUGUAUUUAAGGACCACUUCUUGGUCUGUAUUGUUACGAGUUGUGCAUGGGGUGUUUCUAUUGUUUGGUUAAGGAUGCAAAUAUUGAUGUUGGUGGAAAUAUCAGAAAUAUGCGUAAAAGUUAAACUUAAAAACAUGAUAAUUUUGAAUUGAAGUUUAGGAAAUAACCAAUUACUGAUGCAUCAAUUAAACAUGUGGUUCUACUGGCUGGUUGAUAGGAAAUUACAGAUUCAUUGUAAUGCUUGCAGAGGAGUACGUGUCUGAAACCUGUACUUUUAGUAACAGACAUCAAAGAGCUUAAGACUUUUAGAAAAACUGGAUACGAUUACUACCAGAUUGGUUGUUUAACUUGCUUAUUUGUUUCUUUAAUCGACCAACUCCUAGACUAUCACAAAGUUUCCUCUCUGGAUAAACAAGCCCUUGUACAUAGACUUGCAUCAAAAGGUUUAAUCUUGGACUUUCAAGGCGUUGUUCUUUGUUAGCCAAGUUGUAUCUACUAUGUACUGUAUCCAAGAGAUGUCGAACAUUAUCAUAUCCGUGAGUAUGUCAGGGAUCGGCUGUAUGCAUUUUAGAUUAUUAUUAACAAGUGUGGUAUUGCAGCCACAAGAAAGAAACAAUGAAAAGCAAACAGAUGAUUUUAAAUGUGGGUUUCUAGUUGGAACUUUGACAAGGAAAAAAAAAAAAGGUCGUACCCAGUGCACAAGAUUAAGGGUUUUAUCUUACAUUGCCGGUCCCAAGCCCGGAUAAAGGAGGAGGGGGAGGGCGUCAGGUAGUAGACAACCGGCACUCCUAAGUUACGUCGAAUCCUUAUGAAAAUGAAUCCAAAACGAAAUCGAGCUAAAGCUAGGGCGUCACCAGUAAGUGGCGCGUUGUGUGGCCCGAGCACAGUGAUAAAUGAGCAAGGGUCGCUGUUUUCCCCACUUAGUGGGAAAAGGCUUUGUUGUUGUUGUUAUAUUUCAAUAUUGGUAGAGACGUAUUGUUCUCUCCCUCACAAUAUAAGAACUCAGAGGUUGGCUUCUUCUUGGGAAGUCCUAAUUUGUUUCUUUCACAUGGUGGGCACUCUUUUUCUCUUUUGGCCCUCACAGUUUUUCAGAGGUUAUGCUCUCAUUAGAGUAAGUCCCAACUUGGUUACAUUUUCGUUGCACUCCCUUUUGGUGUUUGAUGUUUUCUUUAACACUUUUCCACCAAUACACGUUACACACACUUUUUCGUAGCUAAAGCAAGCAUCCACUAGGAGUCUAGGACGAAGGACUUUGCAACCAUCCGAUACAUCUCAUUAUGAAGGGAUUAAUUUGUUGGAGCUCUCAUUUAUCCUAUUCCUAGUUACAAUAACAUAAUCAAUACAAGAGAUUAAUUUUAACAUUCCGGACCUAUGAACCAAUAUCAGUGCUUUGCAGACAAAGUUUCUUUGCGGGGAUAUACUAAAAAUAGAUGAUUGAAAAUUAUAGCUUUAUCAAUGAGAGUCACAAAGUAUGUUAAUUUGUGAGAUUCUGAUGUUACCUUUGCCCUUUUGAAGCGCACUCGGCCUUAUACCUUUUCCUUUGAAGAAGUUAUAGCUUCUUUUUUCCCAUCAUCAAUGUUAUAAAUCCUGGUAAAUGGCAAGCCUGUUCCAUGAAGUAUCUAGUAGUAUAAGGCACCUGAUAUUAUCAACUUUAGUUAUGCACCAAUUUGUUUGUAAAGAUCUUUCUAUGCCUGCGAAAGUUUGGAUGGCUCUCCUCUGUUACUUAUGAGAUCCCUUUAAUGCAGGUGGGCUGAAUGGAAUGGGAAAUAUCGUGAUGAUCUAAGGAGAUUUAUAAAGGUAUUCCCAUGAAACAACACUUGCCUUAGAUGGUCUAUAGCUUAUCCGCGUUGUUAACUUUAGUGCAAAGUACAAGAACUGAUAUAAGAGCAAAUACUGAAGUAUGUGUAUGGAUUAUAAAUCAAAGGGAUUUCCUCUCAAUUGAAUCCAAAAGAGGCUGAAUUUGAUAAGGAAUGGUUUGCAUAAGAUUGAACGGGUUCAUCUAUUUAUAUUGGUGGAUGCUUUCUGAAGCUUUUCCAUAAACUGAUGCAAUGGAAUAAAUUUUUAGUAUACAAUGCUGUUAGUCAUUAUUUCUUUUGACUUCCAUGAUCCCUUUUCUUUAGCGUUGCAUUUAUGUUUCUCUCCCUCUUUUUCUUGGCAUGAUUUUAACUUUUUAUCGUUGUUAUUAUUUGUAGCAUCUUAGCACCACUUUCUUGUAUUUUAUUGUGGUGUUUAGGGAAGCUAAAGAAACAUUUGGAUUGUAAAUUACAUAGAACCACACACACAUACGCAAAACAUGUACCUAUUUAUUUAUAUUUUUAGAUUUUUUUUCAUUGAAUUUCCUUUAUACAGGGCGACUCUGGUAUGAAGGGAAGUUUUGCAACUCGUGUUUCUGGGUCUGCUGACCUUUACAAAGUAAGUAUUUUCAUCAAUACUAUUGCAUUAACUACUGUUUGCCGUUUACUAUCAUUUCCUUUUCUUUGUAACCAUCAAUUCGGUAUUCUUGAUGUUUGCCAUGCAAACUUGUUAAGCUUUCUAUUCUGUGUUUUGAAUUUCAACUGGGAUGAUUUGCCCCCAGCUUAAAAUUCAAUGAAAUUGAACAUGGAGAUGGGUUCAUUAUUGGGAUCAAAAACUUAUCCCCCAAGAUUUAUCGUCUCUGGUGAUACCCCAUUACAAUCAAAAGAAUGGAAUGCCUUAUAUUUCAUAUUGAGGCAGCCACACAUCUUUCUGUUCUGAAAAUGAUCUUUUUCUCCACAAACUAUCUUGAUUGCAUCUGGUCUCAUCACCCUCCUUACUGAAACUUUUUAUUGUGAUGCAACCAAAGUACCCUCAUGCUCAUGCUUAAAAUGAUUGAAUGUGUUUUUUUUCCUUUCUCGUUUCUACAAUACCCCAAAACUCUUUUUUAAGUUUAUGGUUUUAUUCUAUCAUCUGGAAUAAUAGAAAGAUGUAGAGUAUCUGAUUUCACAACCUUAAACUACAAUUAUUAUUUCUUUUGUUUUAGGAUAAGGGUUUGUUGUUGUUGUUGUUGUUGUUGUUGUAUGGUCAACUUAGCAACAUCUUAAUCUGGAUUUGUAUUAUUUUACUCGCUCUUGUUCAAAAUCUGUGAAUUUGUUUGGAUUUAAUGCAAGGUCUCGUUACAUUUUCUCACUAUUUUCACUUAUUCCACAGGUGAAUAAGCGCAAACCCUAUCACAGUGUUAAUUUUAUUAUUGCGCAUGAUGGGUUCACUCUAUAUGAUCUUGUUUCAUACAAUUUCAAGGUACUUCAACAGUUAAUACAUCAUUUUGUUUUUUUUGUGUUUUUGGUUCAUUUAAGGCUACAUCAUCCACUAUGUCCCUUCAUUGUUGAUUUUGUAGCACAACGAGGCUAAUGGAGAAGGAGGAAAUGAUGGAAGUAAUGAUAAUUUGAGCUGGAAUUGUGGUCAUGAAGGUAGGGCUAACUUCGGUGCUUUCUCCUUGAUAUAUUUUGUUAUUAUUCCAGCUUUAGUGUAUUGGCAGGACAGAACAUUUGUAGUCAAGGCCACAGGGUAUCAAAAUGGAUCCAUCAUUUUCAAUUUCAAGCUAGCAUUGUAUUAGUCAGUGUAUUGGGAAGGCCUGGGAGGGGGUGGUUAUUAGUACCAAUACUACAGCUGAAAAAUAAAAGUUCAUGUCCUAUCUCUUUUGUCUUUGGUCUAUCAAGGCAUUCGAUUUGGUGUUUAGUGAACUUUCCAUUUCCAUGUUAUGUAAAACCACAAAGUAAAUAAGUAUGGUGUAGGUGCAAUUUCGAGUAUUGCACAUAUAUUCUGUAAGAGGAGAUGAACUUACUCGUGCAAAUGGGACAUGGCAGUCCUCUAGUACUAUCAUUGUAAUUACAAUGACGAAAACUUAAACUACCAUGGCAUUUAGGAAGUUAGUGUAGAUGACAAAUUAUAUUUAAUUGUAAUUACAAUUGUCGUGUAUAAAUGGGUACUGCUUAAUUGAAAAAUUAUAUUAUAAUUUGUCCUUGCGGCUUUAGUUUGUGUAUACCUUUGUUUGUGUUUCUUGCAUGUGUUGAAAUUUCAAUUUUUCCAUUUAUUGGACAGGAGAAACUGAUGAUUCUACUAUUAAAGCUAUACGCUCCCGCCAAAUGAAAAAUUUUCAUUUGGCAUUAAUGAUAUCCCAGGUAAGUUUAUUCAAAAUCUAACUUCACGUGUCAUUUAUGCACGCACUAUUUUGUCCAUUUGAACUAUUUUAGACUUGUUAAGUUCAGAUACAUGGUCUCAAAAUUCAGAUUUAACUUUAUAUUUUCCGAAUCUGGAAGCUUUGAAAAUUAUUAUGCCCCUUGUAACGGGGUCCUACCUGGGGCCUUUUUUCUGCCUGUUGAUUGGCAGUAAAUAGACUUAAACCUCUGGUAUGAUCAUGUACUCUUGCUAGACAAUUCGUUUUCGGGUCUAGCAGCAUUUAUAUCUUUAAAAUACUUAAUUUGCAAUAUUGUCACUUGAGCGCAUUUAGUGCUGAUGUAAGCUUCUGAAUGCACUUGACCAGGGAACCCCAAUGAUGCUGAUGGGGGAUGAAUAUGGGCAUACUCGACAUGGAAAUAACAACAGUUAUGGACAUGAUACUGCUCUUAACCAUUUCCAGUGGGGACAGGUAAAUUGUUUUGUUUUGUUUUUUUUUUUUUUUUUUUUGGAAACUAGUAAAUUGUUUUGUUUGGCUUUUGUUCAACUUUAAUCUAUGACUGGCAUGAAAUAAUCUUUUUGGCAUGGCAGUUGGAGGCACGGAACAACAAUCACUUCAGGUUUUUCAAGGAGGCAAUAAAGUUUAGACGAGCACAUCGUGUAUUUGGUCGUGAAGCUUUUCUUGAGAAGGUACUCUCCUUUUCUUUUUGUUUUAUUUCUUAUGCAUUCAUGCUUUAAUUUUAACUUAAAAGAUUACUUCCUUGGAAGACUCAUUGAACAAUUAUUUGUGUAGCAUGAUGUGACAUGGCAUGAAGACAACUGGGACAACUAUGAGAGCAAAUUCCUUGCAUUUACGUAAGGACUUAUGCCUAUCUUCUUUGUAAAGUACAGAUAGAUGGUACCGUAAGUUUGAUUUUUCUUUCAAGAUAUUUCAUGAGGGGAGUGGCAUGGUAUUUUCAUUGUGCGAUUUGGCCUUGGAAUCACGAUCUUGCUUAUUGAGUUAGAAAACAAAGUGGAUGAGUAAUUUUCUUAAGUGAUCGUGUCUUGCUUCAAGGUGUCCUUACGUUUGAUGGCUGUUGGUCCUUAAUGCGGUUUUGUACUUUUGAGCAUGUGCUGUUAAGUUAGAUACUUACCACCUAGAAAAGCAUCUGAUUUUCCCUUAUUUUUUCCUCUCUGCUAACAGCACGAUCUUCGACUUGUUUCUAUGGCUUGAUGUAUAGCAUUUUCCGUUUUCUGUUUUUUCUUAUUCAAUUUUUAUUUCUCUUUAUAGAAACUUUAACCUUCAAGGUCAAAGUUCAAGACUGUUAAAUGCAUCAGAAACAUAUAUACUGAAACUUUUGUUUUGCAGGUUUCAUGAGAGUAGUGAAGGCGACAUCUAUUUGGCAUUCAAUGCUCAUGACUGUUUUAUUACAGUUCCAAUACCGGCACCACCAGUAAAGAGGAGAUGGUUUCGUGUGGUUGGUUUUAUUCCCACUUCUGCAUAAUCCUUUGUUUUCUAGACGGUGUUCAUAAAAAAACCCUGCAUUUUUACUAUAUAUAGACCUUAGAUAAUCUUAGUCAUAGAUUGCCACUUCAAUUAGUUUUUGCUUUUGAUUAUCAUCCCUCAUGUACCAUUAUCAUCCAUUUCUAAACUCAACUGAAUAGAAGUCCUGUGGAUUGCAGGUUGACACGAAUCUGGAGUCUCCCAAUGACAUUGUGCCUGAUGGCGUCCCGGGCAUUGAAGGCACUUAUAACAUGGCCCCCUUCUCCUCAGUUCUUCUUCAAGCAAAGUGAUAGAGAUAACAUCAGAAGCUGCCUGCGGGUGAGUUUUCCAAAUAAGCUGGAUUAUCUGGAAGCUGGGUGAAGCAUUCGGGUUCUUGCGAUUUAGAACAAUAUUUUCUAUUUUCAUAUUUAAAGUCCUUGAGCCCUAGAGAUGCAUGUUCAUAUGACGGGGGCCAAUAAAGUCAGUACAGAGUAGUUCAGAUCACCAAUAAGUGGUACAACCAGCCUCAACCAUGUAUUUGCUGGGAGCUAUGAGGGCAUGUAAUUACUAGAAAUAAACGAGGUUUAUAGUGAACUUACAUAUGGAGAAAUGAAACACUUGUAACUUAAUCGAUAUCCAAAACUUUUCGUAUUGAAUUCGUGUAUGUUAUCAAAGUAUUUGAAUUGAAAGAUCGAUUUAUUGUUCGACCUUUUUGUUAAGUUGUACGGUCAUCCAAUGAUACAAUUCAGGUUCUAUUACUACUGUUAUUUCAUCUUAUGAACGACAAUGACUGAGGAAAAAGGAGAAAAUCAAGCUGCUUUGUACACAAGCUGUCCCAUGGAAUCUGGGUUUCCGUUCUCGUCGGAAGACAUCUGACGCGGCAGCUCAACAAAGAUAGUCUCUUGAGGAGAUAUGCAAGCAUAACUUUACACUAUUGACAUGUUCUUUGGUGAAGUUGAAAUGGUAAAUGUAGACGUAACAGUCACCGUACGCAUUUCGUGAACAUGCUGCAUGUGUCUUGCCACAUGAUUGGAAUAAAUGCAUGGUAAGUAGCGGACAUUUAGACAAUCCAUCUUCAUCAAGAACAGUGAAGAGAUUGUUGGUAUAAACAUUUAUGAGAUAUAAAAGUGGACAUGUUUUGGGAAUUUCCAACUCUCUGCAGUCUACAUCCACUUUUGCAAUUAUACAAGCGACCAACGAAUUUCCAACCGUGUGUGUUCGGCAUUACCAACUGUUUGCGAGACAAACUUUUAUGGAACAGACUUAUCGUCAUAGUGGCUUUUUGAAUCAUUCGCUAAUACAAAGUUAUGUUGGACUUUUUAACGGUUUGGGAUGCUGUAGUGGCGGUCAGCACGUUCUACCCAAAUCCUUAAUGUUUGCAAUCUACAUCUAGAUGGAGUCGUUCCUCUCUAACCGUGAAUUUAUGACUGAAUAACAUAUAUAGUAACUAAUUAAAGUUUUUAUUUUAUGUACAUGUCAGACUGUGAUUUGUUUGUAAGGAAAAAUGACUCCUUCUGAAGUACUAUUGGAAUCAAAUCUAUGUACCAUCGUGAAUGAAGGAAUUGUCCGUGAAUGCCCACCUACAGACAAGAACAAACGAUUGUAGUUAACCUAAGGUACCAGUGUCGUACCGACCACAGGGUCUCCUAUGGCCAAGUUAAUAUAAAAUAUUCAAACUCAAAUAGUGGCUAGAGAGCAAAGUAUGCGAUGAAAAUAUUAUUGACGAGUCCUAAGUUGGGUAUUUAUACUAGUUGGGAGAGAGUGCUUUUAGGAUAUAAAAUCCGCAUUCAACCAAGAGAAUCCUAUAGGAUAUCUAGCAUAAGAUCUUACUUCCUUUUAAGAAUGUGAUUUUGCGGCGCACAUUAAUCCCUAAAUUGUAGGAAUCUCCAAGAAUAUAGGAAACCAAUCUAAUCCCCGAACGAAUUAGGUUUCCGUGUCUUGCUACCAAUGUAUUAAAAGGCGAAGGCGUAGGCGAGGCAUCCCAUGGAUAGCCCCACCUCGCCUCAUGGUAUCUAAAAUUUAUAUAUAUAUAUAUAUAUAUAUAUAUAUAUAUAUAUAUAUAUAUGUAUAUAAUUCUUUGUAAACAGAUAUAAUUAUAACUAAAUCAAAGAUUAUAUCAUCUUCUUUAUUACUAAGUCUAAUUGUACUUAGAAACUAUGUCAAAAUGUCUUAAAAUGUUAUGUAUUAUUUAUUUUAUUGUAAGCAAUGAUAGAGAACUUCAAGAGAAAUAAGGGUGAGUGACCACAAUUAUAGAGAAUUUCAAGGAAAAUAAAAGAUGAAUGUCACAAUUACAGGGGAAUUUAAAAUGAAAUAAAGACUGAGUGGAGCAAUUAUAAGGGAUUAAAAAGGAAAUAGCGGAGCAAUUAUUAUAGGGAAGUUAAAGGAAAAUAAAGGCUGAGUGGAGUAGUUAUAGGGCAUUGGACGAGAAAUAAAACUUGGCAAAUCAAAAAUGCUAGGUGGCGGAAUCUGAAUGGGCAACAAUUUAAAAAAAAAUAGAAAAGAGUUAGAGUUAGACUUUAUCACGUCAGAUUUGGAGAUAGUCUCUUGCAUUUUAGAAACAAACAUGGAUUUUGGAGGGAAAAAACGCCCUAGGCGCACCUCAACGCUGCCCUACACCCACCCCCACAAAACAGAGGCUAAAACCCAGCCGCCUAGGCACACCCUGAGGCGAGUUUUUCAAAACACUGCUUGCUACAAAUCUACGGGUCUCGCCAACCAUUCCAGAGUCAAUAGGGUGUGGUGCCACUGUUGGUCUUUAAGCAGCUUAAUCCAAUUGGAGUCAUUGCAUCCAUGAUUGGACUUCUAAGGUACUAGUAUUCCAAUCUACCUUACUUAGCAUAGUAAAGUUCAAGGUCCACCAAUGCCACUAACUAUGCUUUUGAAAAGGCAUUCUGCUUGAGGAUGGAUAGUUACCCAAGGACCAUGACUUUCGAAGUAGAUCAGAAUAUCUUACUGUUCAGAAUUCUUAUACAAGCGUCAAUCCAAUUAUGUUACCGAUGUGAAGUAGUGGAGAUGUUUGGAUUCAAGUGUGCAAUCUUGUAGGUCAUACCAUUAAGACAGUAAUCAUGAUGGGCCAUCAUAUCAUGUGUGCAAGAAUCCUGAAAUGUUACUAUUGGAACUAAAUUCGUGCACCGAUAAGGUGGUGGAGAUGCAUAAAUUUGAAUAACCUAUAAAAGAGCAAACAACUAUGAGCAAGCCUAAGACUAAGGGUGUGCCAACCAAAGGCUUUCCGAUAGUCAAGUUAGUAAGCAAGUAUAAGAUUCAAGCAGUGGGCAAGAAAAUUAGAAUGUGAUGAUUGCGUUACCAUAGACGAGCCCUAGAAUGGUGUAUUUAUACCAGUUAGGAGAUAGACCUUUUUAGGAUAGAAUCAUGUACUAAGUCGGGAGAAUCCCACAUGAUAUCUAGGGGUAUUUAUUGCAUCCUCUUAGGAGUGUGAUUACUUGUGGUGCACACCAAUUCCUAAAUCGAAGGAACUCCAAGAAUAUAGGAAACUUGGUUGAUUCCAUGUUUUAUCAGGUUCUUGUGUCUUGCGGAACAAGUAUGGUCAAUCUCAUCAAAGUCGCUCGAACUUCGCCCACUGCUCCAAAACAUGAUGAUGGUGGCAUUACACAACCACACGAAUAGAAAAUUGGUACUCAGACAAAAGCAAGUAGCCAUUUGAAACUUGGAAACAGCAGCCAACUAGGUCCACAAACCACAUCCAUUGCCAGUCUACCAGCACACUUCGUUGCAACCCACCUUUGCCCCAACCACUAGUCAUCAGCCACCAGGCUCACAUCUGGCCACCGUAAUUUUUGAGGUAAAACUCUAAUAUUUCAAAUUUAAAUCCCUAAUUGACAAUCUAAAAAAUUGGAUUGAUUAUUGAUUAGUUGAAUUGUUGUUUGAUUAGCUAGCUGAAUUUUUGUUUAAUAUAUAUGAUUAUUGAUUGUUGGUUGUUUAAUUUGAGAGAGAUGUAUUUACUUUUAUUGAUAAUGAGUUUGUUAUGCGACAUUUUCAUGACAUGAAGCAUUGAGGCAACAAUUGUAGCUUGUUUGUAUUGAUAAAUUAUGAAUGACAUUAAUAUUGUCUACCAUCUAAAAAGAAUUUAGUUGUCUCUAUUUUUUGUAACCUCGCACUCUUUUAAAUCCCCCCCCCCCGCUCCGCCGACAAUCUUUGACUUCACCACUGGUUGAGGGAUCGAUAAGUAAGAAAGUAGAGCUAAAGAAUACAAUUAUUUGAUACAAGAUGCUAGAUGUAAGUAUCUUAAUUAUCGUUCAGUUGGCCUUAGUGAUUUUUAUAUUAGCCAUGUGUCGUGCAUAAUGAUUUUUCAUUCUCUCGUAUUCUUUGUCAUGAAGAAUCUAAAAUGAUAUCGACUGUCACUAGCAUAUUACAGUCUAAUAACAUAUCUAUACUUAUAAGUGAAAAAUCUUAAGUUUGAAUCGCAUAACUUGAGGUUUAUAACCUAAUUAUUAUGACUAACUCAUUGUUGUAUUGGAUAAAAAUGGAGUAAGAUCAACCAAAGACAAUUUUGCAAUGCCAAUGAGGGUAGUAUGUUAUUAAAGGAAAAAAAAGAUUUUAAAAUGCGAAUAAGGUAGGGUUAAUGAUUGCAAUCCAAUUGAUUCUUUAAGGGGGCGUUUGUUUGCCCUCAUUAAGUGGGAUUGGACUGGACUGGACUAGCUGUUAGUCCAAUACUGUGUUUGUUCAAUGCUGGGACUAACAUUAAUGAGACUAGCAUGGACAAAACCCUUCACUAAGAGGUCUUAGCGAGACCCCCCAAUAAUCAUGGGACUAGCUAAGACUAUCCUCUCUCGUCCUCGUCAUGCUCAACAACCACUCCCGAUAGACUCUUCGUCAUCUCCGGUCACCUAGAUCAUAAUAAAAUAUUAAUAAUUUAUAUAUUAAAUAAUAUAAUAUUAGAAUUUGUUAUUAUCUAGCUUCUUAGUCCAACACUGCACCAAACGCUUCACUAAGUUAGUCCAGCUUAGUCUAGUCUAAGCCAGUCCAACUUAGUCCUUGAAGCUAGUCUAGUCCGAGAUAGUCCGGCGCAACAAACGCCCCCUAAGAGUCAUAUGAUGAUUAAGUUUUUCAACAUAUCGUAAGUUUGCCAAGUAAUCUGACCUUAACCCUAGAUGUCGGACUUAGACCUUGGGCCCCGACCUCUAAUUUUGACCUUAAAUUCGAGGUUCUAACAUUUAAUUUCAUACGCCAAUUUAGCACGAAUUUGUUAUUAGGUAAAGUAAUUGAUUGUAUGAAGAGGUUGGGCCUAAACUUAGACCUACAGAGCAAAUUCUAUCCACCGUGGAUUGAGUGAUUAACCCUAAUUUAUUCACAUUUUAAAAUCUUUAUUUUCCUUUUGUUUACAAUGAAAAAAUACUAUACGGUAUAAAUAUAGGGUAGUACUAUUCAAAUAUUAAUUUUUACUUCUCACAUGUCGGUCUUAGUUUUCGAUCGUCAGAUCGAGUGAAUUAAAGAAGAUAAAUGAGAAAAAAAAUUAACAAAAAUGUGUAAGAAGCAAAAAUAAAUAUGUGAAUAACAGUAUCCUAAAUAUAGAACGACAUUUGUGUUUUUCAUAUACCCUCUUGAAAGUGGGAAAUAUAUACCAUAAAUAGCACGGAUAAUGCUACACAAUUACCAAAUUAAUUCAGAGGUUAAAAAAAUGAAAUUCUAUUUUUGAUAAAACAAAAAACUAGAAAAUCGAAGCAAAAUAUAAGAACACGUCGAUCAUUAUUGUACAUAAAUUUUCGGCUAAUAAAAGAAAUUCGAAAUAAGAAUUUUACCAGAAAAAAAACAAACGCGCUUGUAGGACUACCAAUAUGGACGGCUGGGAUUUCACCUGACCCAUAAUUUUUGCAAAAGUCUGGUCUUUCCAUACACGUUUACGGUGGCGCAUUCACCGUCAACCAACUUUAACGCAAACCCCACUAUAUAUACUCCUCCCUCCUGUCUUUCCCUCUCAACCCUGUCCUUGUCCAAAUCACAAACCCUCCUGCUCCCUCUCUCUCCCACUCUCUCUCCACCUGCCUGUGUUUUCUCUCUCCCAUACAGAACUCACAAUGGCAAGCUCUUCAUUCGGGUUGUUGAUGGUGACAGUGGCUCUCCUUGCCACCUCCGCCUUCGCCAACGAUAAGGCUCAAUCUCCCUCAUCGUCUCCCUCCCAAUCACCAUCCUCCACUCCUCCCCCAUCCUCCACUAAACCACCAUCAUCAACCCCAGCAGCCUCUGCCAAAACACCAUCCGCCACCCCAGCAGCGACCCCAUCCGCCACCCAAGCAGCUACCCCAUCCGCCUCCUCUAAGGCUCCCAAGUCUUCGGAUGCAUCCUCCUCUCCAUCCUCCGCCCCCACCACCUCCACCUCCUCCUCCUCCCCAUCCUCCUCCCCAUCAAGCUCUACAUCAUCCUCCUCCUCCUCCUCCUCCCCAUCCUCCUCCCCAUCCUCCUCCCCAUCCAGCUCUACAUCAUCCGACUCUCCACCCUCCCCACCCACCUCCACUCCCGCCUCCAGCCCAUCCACCUCCGACACCUCGGUUGCUCCCUCCGAGUCGACUACUUCUGCUGAGGCUCCCGCCCCAUCUGGAGCCGCCGUGAACAGAGGCUUCGCUGCCGGAUCCGUGGCCGCCGUCGUCAUUGCGGCGUCGUUCUUGGCCUAGAUGUGCUUUGCGGACGAGGCCUUUUUCCGCUGUUGGGUCACCGAGAGAGAGAUUCGGCGGGCGGAUCUUGAGUUUCGUAUAUUAGCGGGUAGAGUUUAACUACUAUUUUUGGUUUUAUAGUUGUUAUAGAGUGGGUUAUUAUUGGUGAUGGAGAUAUUAUUGGACGGUGUUGAUUUGAUCGGACGGGGGUUCUGCGGCUGAUGAUUUACUCCAUCGACCUUAAUUAUUAAUUAUAAUUAUUAUUAUUACUUGAUCAUUCCCGUUGCUAAUGAUGAUGACUAUGGAAAUUCUUUUGUUAUGAUCUAAUGAUAUAUAUCAUUAAUUAUAUCUAAUUCGUUGAGUUUAAUAUCUUUGAUUUAAGCAUGAAAAAUGCUAAGAGACUCUUAUACAGUAUUUACAUUAAUUUUCGUGCUUAUAUUAUAAAAUAAUAUGUUAAAAAUAUGAGUUAAUAAAGAAUUUAUGAACAAUCUUAUUUUUAAAAAAUACUUUCUUUCUUUUUUUCAUUUUUUUUUGUGUGUAAAAGAGAAAAUUGGACUCUUUAACUCAUUGGAUAACUCUAGAGGAUAGAAUUGAGUAAUGCUAAGAAGACAAUAUUUGAAGACAAUAUUUUAUAAACUAAAUUAUAUGGAGGGUUAUGAUUAGAUUAUUACUUAAGUAUUAUAAAUAUGCUCAUUUUCAAUCGGUGAUAUAUUAUUUAAUUUGUAAAUUUUAUUUACAAAGUUUGUCUUCCUAACAUUACUAUCUGAGAAGCACAUUAGAUUGCUUCGUUUGAAUAAUUAAACAAUGUGGGUAAAGAUUUUAAAAGCCUUCGUUUAUCAUUUACUUAUUAAUGGAAAUGAAUUUUCUUUGGAUCUUUUUCUACUUAAUCCAUCUAGUUCGAGAUCUUGACAGUUAAAAUUUGAUCCAACGAUUACAAAUAAGAAACUCUCUUUAAAAAUAAUAAUAGUAGUAACCGUUAGAUUAAAUUUUAACAACAUGAAUUCCAGGUGGAAAGAGAUCCUUGAAUUGAUUUGGUUUUUGUCGUUUGGUGAAGAAAAAGUAGAGCAACGGUCUCGAGAGCCACGUGGUUUGCGACAAACUGACAUGCAAAAAGCAACCCAUUAGCUUUGAGAAGAGGGUAGCUAGGUUAUGCUGGUUUAGUAUUAUUAAAUUUGUUAGACCUUUCGAUUUUAUAAAUUUGAACAGGCUACUAAAAAAAUGAAUAGAAUUUAUUGUUUAUGGUCGAAAUUGUUCAUAUCACAAAUCAUUCUAUAAAAACAAAUGAAUGAAAUUGGUAAAAAUAUUACGAACCGUCUAUAUAUUUGCUAUAAUAGAUUGACUAAAUGAUCUAACUUUUAGUUUAUUUUUUGCAAAGAUGAUAUUUAUAAAGUGAUUCAUAAUAUAAAUAAUUAUGACCAUAAUCACGAAACAGUUGAAUAUCAGAGUGCGGAAUGAAUAAGACUAACAAAAUAAUAAGAAUAUUAUUAAACUAACUGAGAAUGCCGAAACGGCUAUAAAACUCUAAGGGGGCGUUUGUUUGCCAUCGUUAGCUCUCACUGGACUGCACUGGACUAACAGUCAGUGUAGUCCCAUGUUUGGUGUAGCAAGGGACUAAGUUAAAUGGGAUAAAGGGGGACUCGCUUUCACUUAGUCCCUCACUAGGAGGUCUUAGUGAGACCCUCCAAAAGGCGUCGAACUAGUAAGCCCGUCAGCUUCGCUUCGUCUCCGUCUGUUGCGUCUGCAUCCUGCUUCAUCUGCUUUUAAUCCUUUCCCGCAUGAUUUUUCCUCUCUGCCUCUCCCUUGCCUUAUCUGUUUGGACUGACUGCCCCACCCACCCCUAUAAAUCACAAAAUUCGAUUACUUACCACCCACCAAUCGGUCAGCUCGAUCCACAGCCCAUAUUGAUGUCUCCCAAAUGCCUCCCACCUCCUCAAUGCCUCCCAGAUCAUCCUCCGCGACCUCCAAUUUCAUUACCUCGCUGCCAAGUGCUCUCUCUCUCACUGCUGAAAUUAGGAAAUGGAUUCCCUUUUUUGCUGAUUUGGUUCAAUGUUUUGCUUGAAAUUGGUUUUCCAUUUGUCGAUUUUUGGAUUUUGUGGUUGGGUUUUGGUUCACUUUGACUGCUGAUGCCUGGGCGAAUUGAGAGCAUACUCCAGGAAUUGUCUUUGGCAUCACUUACUAUCUCUUUCAAUUUGUGGCUCAAUACAAUUUUUGGGCUCACAUUUUAGAACCUCAGAUGGCGACGGACAAAAGGAUUACAAUACAAUUUUUUCCCUAAUUUUAUUUUUUUAUUUUUUUAUUGGGUGGCUUUGUGAGAAAUUUAUUAUUAUGUUUUAAUUCUGAGAAAUUGUUUGGUUUUGUUUGAAUUGGGCAGGUAGAGAAAAGUGGAUUUAGUUAAUUUCAAUAAUAUCUUUAAUAAAAAAGCAAUUAAAAUAUAACAGUAAUGUAGUUCUAGUCUGAGCAAACACCAAACUGGUGACAAUAUUGUUUUCAUUAUCCUGCUUCUUAGUUCGACACUACACCAAACGCUUCACUAAGCUAGUCCAGCUUAGUCUAGUCUAAGCCAAUCCAGCUUAGUCCCUGAAGCUAGUCCAGUCCGAGACAGUCCGGUGCAACAAACGCACCCUAAGAGACUACAUUGUGAAUGACUUGAUAUUCUACGAGCUACAAAGCAUCAUAUAUAUAGAGAACUAACAUAACCCUAAUAAGCAAGAAAGCAAAACUCUAAUACUAAUGGGCUAAGCCCAAAUUCAAACAAUAAAAUAAUCCUAAAUUCCAACACCCCUCGUCAAACUCAUGACGGUACACUUCAUGAGUUUGCCAACAAGCAGAUGUGGAUGCAAGCUUCGUUAGGUGAACAAAAUAAGGCAAGCUCUGUUAGACGAACACGACAAGGCAAGCAAACGAGCAAUCAAAUGAGCAAACGAACAAUCCAGGCUUCAAUCAACAAGGCCCAACCCAAGGCCUCCAAACAAAUCAUAAUAGCCCAACAAAUUGUGAGCUCCAUGCUUUUUUUUCUUUAUUUCCUUUUUUCCUGUUUUCUUUUUCUAUUUUUCGGCUUCUGUUUCCUUUUUCCCUUCUUCUAUUUGGGCAGUGUUGUCCAGAGAAAACAAAUCCGAGUGCAGGUAUGGAAUCUCAAUUUUGGGAUUCUUGAUGCGAUGGGAUAGCAGCGACGGUGAAGUGUAGAUCAAACAGGCAGCGAGGAUGCAGGUACGAUGCGAAGGUAGCGCAGUCAGUGAUGGGUAGAUGAUUUCACGGGUCUGGUGCGGAGGUGCAGGUGGUGCGGGUCAGAUCAAAGGAUGUGGAUGCAGUGCAGGAAACGGUGUGGUGAUACGGCUUGUGUUGGAUUGCAGGUCGGGUUCUACUGUAGAAGAAGACAAUGACGUGAUGCAGCAAACAGAUUCAGGCGGCGAAAUUUCAGGCAAUGGCAGUCGCAUGAUUGGAUGGCUUAGCGGCAGGGUGGAUUCGGACAGCAGAUGUGCUAGGUUUCUGGUUGCAGCGGCAGUAUGCAGAUGGGGUUUGCCGAUUUGGGUGAGAGUCAUCCAGGCAGCCCUGGAUGCGGUGAUGCAGCGGUGGGGCUGAAGGCUUGGCGCGACUCCGGCUCCAAACUUCAACAGAUUUUUUAUUUUUUUUUAAAACGACAAACAAAGGUUAACCCAAACCAAAAAACAAAAAGUUUCACAGAAUGAAACUGGACAAAACAAACAACGGAAUAGACAAAUUGAUACGAACAAAACAGAAGCAGAUUAAAUCUCGAAGUAUCAAACCUGCUCUGAUACCAAGUUGAAUAUCAAAGUGCGGAACGAACAAGACUAACAAAAUAAUAAGAAUAUUAUUAAACUAACUGAGAAUGCCGAAACGGCUACAAAACCCUAAGAGACUACAUUGUGAAUGACUUCAUAUAUAUAUAAUAUAUAGAGAAUUAACCUAACUCUAAUAAGUAAGAGAACAAAACCCUAAUACUAAUGGGCUAAGCCCAAAUUCAAAUAAUAAAAUAAUCUUAAAUUCCAACAUAAACUCUGUAAUGUGAUUUGAUGACAGUUCAUGUUGCUUAAAAAUGUGCAAUUAUAUUCCUCCAGUUUAGGAGAAAAACCUUAGUAGUGUACGCUCCUCUCACAAUGUUGCGUUGGUCUUACUCGGUAUGAAAGUUUAACAAGUGCAUGAAAAUUGUAUUUUGAUAUCACUUUACAUUAUGUUAUAUUUUAUGGGUGAAAAAUGACAAUGAGUGAGAUAACAAGACAUGUGGAACACAUCCAAAACUGUUAAUAUUGUGUUUGGGCCCAAAAUAACAGUUUGGGCCGAGUGUAGGGUCAUUCUCGGCCCGGGAGGCCUUGCGACAAGAAUACCACGGAUCGUUCAGUACGUGGGCCUCCAAACCUAGGUCGGCUAGGUCAUAACGCAAGAGGUCGAAUCCUAGUGCAAUAAGGAGUCUCGGCAGGACCCGGAAGCGAAUCCGGCUCAGGUAAAGGACUAGGUUCACAGUCCUAGUGAAGGUAGGACUGGUCGAGUUGAUGCUGAUCAGGGAAAGAAAACCUAGUCCGAGUAGGUUUUUAACUCGACCUUGGGGGGAGCCAUCGCUAUAAAUAGAAGAGGUUGCACAUCAUUCAAGCCCCUGCAAAUCAAUACAAAAUUGCCCUGCGCAAACUCUCACAACUUGUGAUUUUUCUUUUUCCUUUUUCGCUAACACAUCUUCCGUUGGCAUCAACAACACUGUGAAAGCAACCGGUGAUAUCUUAAGUCGGCAUAGAUAGCUCUGCCACCAUAGAAUCGAUCGGUCUUGCAGUAUCUUCCGUUGGCAUCAACAGCACUGCGGCGAGAACGGUUGAUUACCUAUCCAAGUCUCGGUCGAGAAGGGUUUCUGAACCCUUAUUGGUCGAGGUCAUCUCAUCAGCCUUCUCGGCGAAGUGAGGUGUUACAGUUAUUACAUUCGGCACAUUGAAAGCCGAAUUUGAUAUUGAACUUCGUAAGAAUAGUAACCUUGUCUUCAGGUUUGAGAGCCCAAGAGGCCGAGAUGUGUUCCUUUCUCGGCCGCAAUCGCAAGACGCAGAAGUCAGUAGCGCGACUCAACGCAACAUCAACAAAUUUACUCCUCGGCCGAGCUCGGCCGACGAGUUGGCACGCCCCGCAUUCACCGAAGGACGUAGUUAGCUCAUUAAUUACUCGGCCUGCGCGCCACGUAGGCUUUGUAGUUUUUAGGGUCAAUAUAUUGCUAUUUUACUAUAUAAACGUCAUAAUCGAAAUUAUUAUCUCGUUAUUAUAAUUUAAAUAUCACCUCGUGAACUUAGUUAGUGUUUUAGUUUGGAGGUAUUACUCUACAUUUGUAAGUAAGAAGUUUUAAAUUCAAAUUUUAUGAAUGUUUAUGCUAAUUUAUUCUCUCCCAUAAAAAUAUGUCAUUGUUUGAAACAAAAAAAACCCAUCUCUGGAGAAUUCAUUCAAUUUGAUGAGGAUUGUUUAAUCAUCCAUCUAAAUUAAUAAAUUAAUUAACAAUUCAAUUGUAAGGAUGCUACUUAUUAUUACAAUUGUACUGUCAAUUUGUUCGACACACACUGAUGACUAAAUUGUUUUUGAAUUAAAUAAUUAUUUUCAAAUGUCAUAAAUUUAAGUGAUGAUAAAAAAAAUGAUUGAUUUUGACUAUAACGUUUGUAUGAUAAAACGAUGUCACAUUAGGCCGGGAAGAAAGAUUUUCGUUCGUAGCGGAGGAGGAAAGUAUUAUUCAUAUUGAAAUGAGCUUGUGGAAUGAGCCCAAGCUUAUGGUUGGGAAAGCAAUGAGCCACAAAUGGUUCCAAUUUGCAGCCUUAAGAUGUAUUUAAUGAACUUGUUUUAAUAUCAAGUGGUGAACAGACAACUGCUUAUCAAUAGGAAGACGUUCUUCUUUACAGAUAAAUUACAAUUUGAAAUAUGCACAUAAAUAUUUAUUUGGUAAUUUUAAUUAGUUAAGUGAUGAGAUUUCUGAGAUUGUGGUUUGCAUGUUACAAUUCUAAUAGAAAAUGUAGGAUAUUAACACCUUAUAUAACUUAUCCCUUCUAAUUUUCCAAAAAUAUAAAAUUCCUUUGUACAUACUUUCAUUUCUUACUUUGACAUAACUUGAAUUUAUUAGUUUACUUUCAUUUCAUAAUUUGGUGUACUAGUUUGUGCAUCCAAUGGGUUUCAGUUCAGCUUGUGUGUCACAAUUGGGCUCCGACCAAUUCGGCCUUGUUUCCAAUGGGUCAAUGGCCCAGCUCGUUGCCUCUGUCAUUUUUAUUUCAUUUUCUCUUUACACCCAUCACAUUUCAAAGAAUUCAAAAGUUUUCAAUUUGAACUUUUUAUUCACUCACGUAAUUAUUAAUAAUUUUCUUUUGGUAAAUGAUGUUUGUUGAAUUACUCCAAGGUUAUUUUUCUUUUUUAAAUUUUCAUAUUUUUAAUAUUUUUAAUAUCAAAUUUCGAUGAACUACCAAAAUAAAAUCAGGAAUGAGAUUCAUUAUCGCUUACGUUUGGAAUGUUUACUUGCAUUAUAUUACAUUAAAAGGGUUGUUGAGUGAGAUGGGUUAGGGAAUCAUGGCCCUUCAAAAGCGAAGUGCAUAAUAUAUAUGAACCCUCAAUUAUGCUACAUAAAUGUAUCAUGGACCCUAAAAAAUUAUAAAAUCGGACUAAAUUAUAACAUAAGAAACUCAGAGUACUUAAAAUUAAACAAGAAGAAAUAAAAUGGCACUGCCUCUAUCCUGGCACUUAGAGUGAUAUCAUCUCACCAACCGGCCAAACUUAAGAAAGAAGGAACAUACAAAAACCAACCAAACUAAUGACACUCCACAAAGCCACAACAAGAGAGCUAGAGUGGCUAAUCCCAACACCAGUUGUUGAGGAUGUGGUACUUGCAGGGGUUGUAACUGUAGAGUUACCGCCGGAACCACCGGAUGCUGAAUUACUGGAUGGUGCUGCGGUUGAUCCUGACCCUACAGACACAGAAAGCUUCAUCCCCAUACCGCAAUGCCCAAUCGUAGCGCAAAUGUAGUUAUGAGUCCCGGCAGUCUUGAGGAGGAUGGUGGUGGCUCCGCUGCUAUCACUUGUAAUUGAAUUUCCCACAGUGCAUGUUUUGUAGUCACUAGCAGUCACUUCAUCCACCGUGUGUCCACUUCCAUAGUUGAAAACUACCAUGUAACAAAAAUUUAGGAAAAAUAUACACAAUUAGCUAAAACAUAACCAAAGUGGGGGUGCUUUUGUUCACUAGAUAUCUGAUACGUUAUUAGACCAUAAUUUUCACGCCUACGUAAUUCUCAAACCAUACUUUAAAACAAGAAUUUUCCUGAUCAACUAUUUAGAUUGAAAUCUUGUACGUAAUUCUCAAACUGUACUCAUUAAACAAGAGCUCCUCUAAUAAAUGGUCUAGAUGGAUAGUCUAUAUAUAACUUUCAAAUGGCACAUCAAAACAAGAAUUUAUCUUAUAGUCUGAUAGCAUAAACAUUUAUUUUGAAGCAUGUUCAUGAUAGUAUAAUUAAAGGGAUGUGAUAUCCACACACUCUAUUUUACUUCUUACACACCUUUUGAAUUUUUAGUCAUUGGAUUGAAUGAAUUGAAGAAGAUCAAUGGACAGAAAUUAUCAAGGAGUAUGUGAAAAGUAAAAUAGAGUGUGUGGAUAACACACCCCUAAUUAAAAGGGAAUAAGGAUUUUUACCUAGGCUGUCACCAACUUUAAAGGUCUUGCCACUAGUCCAAGUGGUAUAAUCCACUCCACUAGCCCACCCAGAGGAGUCUCCAACGGUGUAGACAGUGGCUACGCAGCUUGGCACCAUGACCAUGGCAACAACUAGGGCUAAACCCCCAAUUCUGGCCAUUUUUAAUGAGCUAGCCCAGCUACGACGAGAGAGAGAGGGAGAGAGAGAGAGGCCCUUUGUGAUGAUAAUUCUAUAGAGUGGAACUCACUUAUAUAAUAGCAUGAAGGGGGCUGGAGUAAGUAGGGUUUGGUCGACUUAAUUGAAAUGCAGCAUGUUCUGUCUAGGAACUCAUUGCAGGAUGACUUAAGUUAGACGUCAUACCUAAUGCUUUUCUUUUUAUUUCUUUUUGCAUUGUUAUUCUCCUAACUUUCAGAAGAAGAAAAAAAGAAAUAAAUGUGAUGAGAAAUAAGGCUAUCAUCAUCAAGGUUUGUUAUGAUAAAUAAUGUUCUAACUUCUAUCUUUUUGUUUUUUUUUUCAAACCCAAUUCUAAGCACCAAAGUGGACUAAUUAAAUUAAAAGAAAUGUGAUCGAAGGGGUGGUAUACUUUUAAUUUAUUAUAUGGCUUUGUUGGUAGACCUUUCAUCAUCUCUAUGAUGAUGGAUUGCGAAUUAAGAAAGGGUUAACACGUUAAGGUCAUAAGAGUUAUGAUUAAUGCCAAAUAGAAUCCAAUCUCCAAAGAUAAGCAUAUUUAGACACAAAAUAUUUGAAAGAUAAUCCACAUUUGAAAUUUUGUAGUCUUAUUGGAGAAAAAAAAAUGGGAGACUUUGGAUGCGGUCUCUAGUUAUGAAUAUUCUUUGACUGAAACCUUGUUGGUUUUCAAUUUUUGAUCGAAGUCCCUAAAAUUAAUGUGAUAAUUUAUUUCUGUGUACCCAUAUAAAUAAAUAAAUAAAAGAUAUUAGACUUAAUAACAUUAGUAAAUUUCUUUGAUUAAACUUGACAUAGAUACAUUCUCAAAUCAAAGAAAAAAGAAUGCACCCAUAUAAGUUUAAAAAUGGAUUAGAAAAAAAUUGAAUAGAUUUUAUACAGAAAAAAUGGUACGUUUUACAUAUAACAAAUUGAUAUAUUUAAUAAAUGAGUACAUUUUAAGAUUAAAAAUUUGAAAAAAAUUACAUGAAUGGGUACAUAUGACACACCCCGACCUAAUAUCGAGGCAUGUUGGCCGUCACGUGAGAGUGACGUAGCCAUGUGCACAGUGUGGAAACAAUAUUAAUAUAAGGAAUGCGAAUAAAUAAAAACCAACUGACUAAAACACUAGAGGAGAUAAAGUGAAAGUGCGAUAUUAAAGGUGACUACACACAACCAGAGCGUAGGUAGCCUAAGUGACGAAUACUAAUUACACAAUACCAAAGAUGGUCCUACAUUUGUGAUGAUCUGUCAGAACCACCGUCAAUUCCUCGUGAGCUACCAACGAGCACUCCAACCGGGGCGCAAAACAGAAAGUGUGAGUGGGCAAAAACAAAGCUUUUUCAAAACCACUCACUAUCAAAGUAGUAACCCCUGGGCCACUUGCUUAAAAAAAUUAUUUUAUAUAAAAUAAUAGAUAUAUAAUUAUAUAAUUAUAUCUAUAAACUAAGAAAAUCCGUUUUUUUUUAUCCAAUUGUUCAUUCCCGGGAAGAGGAAGAAACAUAUAGAGCAAUGGCCUCCUCUUUCCUUCCUUCCGCUCUUCCCGAAGUGGGCGAAUUGCAUGUAGAGAUCCGCAGGGGCUUAUAGUUUAAUUGGUUGAAACGUACCGCUCAUAACAGUUAUAUUGUAGGUUCGAGCCCUACUAAGCCUACCACCCCCUUCUCUGCACCCGAUACAAGGCAGUCGAAGUCCUUCCCAGAAAAUAACAUAUAUGAUUAUAUCCCAAAAUCAUAUUCAAAAAUAGCAAAUACGAUUACAGUAAUUAAGAAAGCCGUGAUAUUUAAUGACCCCAAAGGGUAAGGCCUCAAAUGAUCAGUAUUUUCGCCUGGAACUUGUCUCUGCAGUGUUGGAAAUGUGAAAAAAUCAUGUGAUGAUACUUACGGACAUUUCACAUGUUAAACUAAUCUAGUUUAACAUAUAAAGGGCAAAGAUUAUUGUUUGAGCCGUCUCAUAUAAAUGUUAUAUGCUUAAACGAUAAAGUCCAAGGAAUAUGUGAUUGGGAGAAUGUAAUCUAAUGAAGUUAGAUUCAUGAGACCAUUCUUUCGUAGACACAUCCUAAACGUUCCUGAUCAUAGGAUUGCCAAUUGGGCAUUGACAGUCCGUUAAGAUCAGUACGUACUAUGUCUUCUCUCAGGGAGAGUGACUAGUCUCGAGUCAUUGGUGUGUGUGACAUCAAGACAAGUACGUAGGUGCUCAAUAGAGAAUGAGUUCACUGAACGCGAUCAACGAAGAGUUCUCAUAUUCCAUGUCACAUGAGAACUCAUGGUUGGGAUAAUGCAAAGUAGUCCUUUGACCUGAGGCAUCAUAGUUGUCUUGUGGUUAAGUCCUUGAUCUUUGAUUAUGUCAAAGUCACCCACCAGGAGGGUGUCCACGGCAUCGUUGGGGUUAAGCCACUUAGCUAUGGAGACAAGUGAAUGCGCAACAAGGGAUCUCUAACCUUCAAACCGUUUGAGGGAGAAUACUCUAUGAUAUGAUUUGAAUCUCUGGCCAGAGUAUGAAUGAGAUUUAGGGAAUGCGUUCCAAAUCACAUUCAAGGUAAUCAUAUAAGCACAAGACAUCACAUUGGAUAGUAGACAUGAGAAAAAACUAUCAAACCAAACAAUGUGGUCAAGAGUAUUAGAUUAGAGAAAGACCGUAUUGCAUUUGUAAUCCCGAACUGAAUAGGUUCUCUAACCUCUUCUGAUUAGCUUGGGUAACCAUGAUAUGCUGCUAGGUGUCACUCAUGGUUUGUGGAAGCCCUAAACGUGUAUAAUCACUAAAGGGAGAAUUGAAAAAAUAGUUUCAAUUCACAAUCGAUGUAAAAUGGUUUUAAUCGCCCACUGCCUCGCUAAAAGGAACCUAAUGGAUCGCACACCGUGAAAGGUGGAGAUUGGAAGAUUAAACGGAAAUGAGUAAGAAUGAUUAAAUGGUUUAAUCAUUUAUUUAUGGCAAGGAUUAAUUAAUAUGUUAAUUAAUCAAACGAAUAAGUUCGUUAAAGACUUCGGGAUAGUUUUGGACCUUAAGGCCCAAUGGGCUUCGAACGUCAAGCCCAUUAACUUAAGUUGUAUGACAAUUUAAUGAAUAAAGAUUCAUUAAAGCCCAAAAGCCCAAAAUCCCUAAAUGGCCGGCCAUGAUUUGAAUGAAUUAGGGUUUUUGGUUGUUUAGGUCACUUAAAGAAGUGACUAUAUAAAUGACUUUAUAGCCAAAUAUUCAUUAAGUGAAAUAAGGGUUUAUUUUUGGGGAAAAUUGGUGAGAAUUGUCUCUCCAUUUUCUCUCUAAAGAGGCCAACACCUUGGAGGGUACAUCUAGCAAUCCUACUACUCCAAGGUCACUCAUUUCUUCUACAAUCUAAACCUUGGUGAAGAGACUUAGAGGUUCUCAAUUUUGGGAACUUGGAGAACCUAUUCUUCCAUCCAAAUCCAUGGAUCUAAGAAGCAAGGAAUGAAGGCCCUAUCUCUUUGGGUGAUUAGCCUUUGCUUAUGCAAAGAGGAAUCUACAAAGGUAUUAAUUUCAACUCACUUUGUUUUGAGUUGAUUAUUGGUUCACCAAUCUACUAGGCUUUGAAUUUCAUGGUAAUGUUUUGUUUUUUGAGUGCAUGCAAGCAUGAUUCCGCCUUUAAUUGUUAAUUGCAUGCUAUAUGAUGUUGCUCAAAUGAACAUGUUUUCACAAAAUAAUUCCUUCAAGUGGUAUCAGAGCCUAGGUCUAGUAGUUGGUGAAUCCUUUUGGGUUUUGUAGUUCAUAAGUUUGUGAUUUAAAAGUUGUAAUUGUUACAAGCUUUAUUCUUGCUUCUUUGAAUGUAAAUUUUGUUGGAAAAUUUGCCAUCUCAAAUGUUGUAGAUGUAGUUCAUAUGAGCAUGAAUAUUGGAGCUAAAAUUUGGUGCCAUGACUUUUUGGGAAAAUUCGGCCAAAUCCAAAGGGUGAAUUUUUUGGGUUCUUGUUUGACUUGUUAAAAGUGUUUUAAGUGACUUUUGGAACCCCUAAGUACCCUAGUUUGGUUAGAUGUUAUUUCCCUUAAGUUUGAAUGGUUUUGGAAUGUUUUUGGGUGAAAAAAGUUCAUGGAAAAAUUUGGGUUUUUCAUGGAUGUUCUUCAUUGUUCUUGAUGUUCUUGCCAAGAACAAAAAGGUUUGGUGUUUUGAUUCAAAGUUUUGAUUUAUUUCAUAAAGUUUAUGUGAUAUGUUUUUCAAAUGAUUUUAUGUAUUUAAAGUGUUAGAUAUUUGUAUAAAUGAUGAUUGAAAUAAUUGUUGAUUGAAUUAUUUCAAAACUUAUCUUAACAUACACUUGCAUGUUUUUGACAAAACUCACAAAUCAACACACACACCAACUCUUAUCCCUCCCAAAACCGGCCACUCCCUCAAAGGGAGUACUUUUUGGGGCUUUUAUGCAAUUACAUAAAGUUUUGAUACUUUUGUGUAUUUGCACUUUGGCCCAAAAGUUUACGUUUUUACGUUUAGGUCCAAAAAACGCUAAAGGACAAAUUGUUUUGCUCCUUUAAUGAAGUUUUUGCAUUUAUUAAAAUUUUGGGUUCUAGUUGUAUUUACAUGAAGUAGUGGACUUUUGUGUUUUUACAAAGUGACCCCAAAAGUUUUUGUUUUGCAAUAUGGCCCAAAAGUUGAGGUUAAUUGCAUGAUGGCCCAAAUUAGGAUGAGAACAAAAUUGUUUUGUCUCUUUAAAUGAGAAUUGGAUUUUCAUUUUGUUUAGCUCCAUUUAAAUCAAUUUUAUGGAUACAAAAACCAAAUGAAAAUGUUGCAUUCAAUUUAAUUAGUUAAAGUGUUAAUUAAUUAAAGGGUGAUUAUGAACCUAAGCCUAAUAUAAUUGAGCUAUGUGAAAGGCCGUUUCAAAUUUGUUUGAACCAUGGGAAUGUGUAGAUUAGAUUUUGGUUGUAAUUUGAUUUGAUCAAAUGUUGUAAAAGGGCAUAAGCUCUUCUUUACUUUAAAGUAAUUUGUUUUAUGCAAAUGUUGUAAUGAGCAUAAGCUCACCUUUACUUUGAAGUACUUCUUUCUUGCUUUAUAUUGAUAUGCAUGAAAAUGAAGUAGUUGGGUCCAACGCCCCUAAGACAACACGCCUUAAUGUGAUUAAACGCGUAACUAAAAUCAAUCACCAUCCCUAGACCGAGAUUCAACACAAGGCUCGUGUUGAAUCUAAACAAAGGUUCAUAGUCAUCCUAAGGCCCUAAGGCAACUAUAUAGUCCAUCAAAUGAAUGCAAAGUUUAUGUUAGUAGUAUCAUAUACUCUUGCUUUAAAAACCGUUUUAAAAGCAUAGUGGGAGUAUUAUAUACAACUAAAACAAUCAUAUGGACCAAUAGUUGUAAUAGGACCAAAAUUGUUUUAAUAGAGAUUAAAAUGUAUGUUUAUAUGUGAUGAGACCUAAAACCCUCAACCAAACCAAUUAUAAGUUGAUAAGCGUGAGAGUGCUUUAGAACAUCUCUUCGUGGCCUUCCACCGUGGUGGGCUCCAAUCGUUUAUGACUUGUACACCGGCUUCACCCUAUCAUGGGGGAGUACAAAGUGCAUGCUUAUACUCAGGAGGAAUCCAUAUACAUAUGAUGAGGUGAGUGUAGUAGGCAACGAGGAUAGCCAAUAUCGUAUCAUUCGUGAGGCUAUUCUUGAACCCCUUCACAAACUAAGCAUGGUGGGAAUGACUUAACUAAGUGCAAUGGAACCAAUAUCAUAUCAUUGUGAGGUUACAUUCUCUAGAGGCCAAAUAAGAUGGGUACUUGCAUUAGUUGCAAAUGAGUAAGCGUACUCUCUCAUUAUUAUUGUUGCUAGCCAAUACAUCGUAUCAUUCGUGAGGUGGGCUUGGUAAUAGUGAGCCUCCCAUAACCUACUAAGAGUUUCAUCCAAAACUCUCGAAUUCCAAUGAGGGAUAUGGAAUUUGCCAAAAAUAGUGGGUGGUGCUAUUUGAUUUAAAGACCCGAAUCAAAUGGCUUAAAAUCAAUCAAUUUAUAUUCGUUAUGUAUUUGUUUACCAAUAUAUUUGCAAACGCUAUCCAACACUUGACAAAUAAAAACCGAAUGUUUAGUUUCCGGACUUGGUACUACAAAACCAUAGAUUGUCUUUAAUGGCUUGUAAAUGUACCUAAGUAGUCUCAUCCUCACAAUCUUCCUAUUGAUAAUGUAUCAUUAGAAGAAUAUGUUAGAAAAGGUCUAUCAUAAAGAGGACAACACUUUUAAUGUCAUAAUUCUUCAAUUACAAAUUGUUGUAUGAAGAAAUAGGAGUUGCUUUGAACAACCCUUAGUCAAUGCAAACACUUAGUGCUUGUUUCUUUGUUAAAUGAACAAAGAACUUGAGAAGAAAGCACAAAGGCAUGGACACUUUAUGUGCCAUGAUUCUUCACUUACAAAUUGUUGUAUGAAGAAAUGAGAGUUGCCUUGUACAACUCUUGAAAGUUUGUAAUUAUGUUUAGAACAUAAUGGUUGGUUGACAAAAAUAGUCCAUUAACAUGGACUUAUGAUGAUUUUGAAUCAUUGAGUGUUGAAGUGAUAAACCACUUAACGAGACGGAAACUAGGCAAGGACUUCACCUUUGUGUCCCUAUCCUAAUGGUUCACUAAGUUUAUUGUAAACUAUGUAGUGAACAAUAACCACAUGCUCUCCAAAAUUGUUUGAUGUGUAUAACACAAUUGAAAAAGGUUUCAAGAGAGAUAGUGGGAGUUUAGGGACCAUGACUAAUUGUAGUCAAAGGUGAAAGUCAAAUGAAAGAAGAUAAAUAACUCCAAGGGAACAAACUUUCUUUAUGAAAGGAUGGACAUUGGAAGGGGUAUUUGCAAGAAAUGUCUUGCAAGUGUCAAGAACACACCUUUCGAAGGUGUUGUAAAUUGUUCUUGAAUAGUUCAAAACAGUUGGUUCUUCUACUUGAAUGCUUGAUUCCGUAUUAGUAACUAUGUUUUACAAUCGUUGUAAAAGUGUGACUAAUAAGAAGUAGAAGAUUAAUGAGAGAAGAGAAAGGUACUUCACAUUCGGAACGUGAAUCAAAUAUAGAUCUCUGCGAAAGCAGAUGGUACUUACUUCCUCAUAUGAACUACCAAAGAAAUUGAAAAAACAUAAGAUUGUCUUUACAUUCCAAUUUUAAGGAACUAAAUUCCGUCACUGUGUGAAAUGGAUAAAUGUUUUGUUUGACAAAACAUUGUUCUUUAUUAAUCAAUGAUUGGAUUAUGGUAAUCUAAUUAAUUAUCUCUAUAGUAGAGAUAAUAUGGUGGUGUUAACUGUUUAGAAUAUAAUGAUGCUUAAAACCCAAAAGGUUGCAAGGUAGUGACUAAUCCCAACUAAAGUUGUGAUACCUCUAAAACAUAAAUUACGAGUUGGUCAUAGAUGGAUGCUUUGGAUCGUUAGAUCCGGAUCCAAUACCUUCUUGUUAAAAUUGUAUAGAGGCGAAAUGUUUGAAUCUUUAUUCUUUUGGAAAGAAGAAAGAAUCACAAAGUUGUUGUUGAGGUUAAUUCACUUAGAUGUUAGUGGCACUUGUCCACAAACAUAAUACUACUCAUGUUGUAUGACAUUCACCGAAGAUCACUCUCGGUUGGACUAUAGUUUAUUUUGAAUAAACACAAGUCCGAAUACUUUGCAAAAUGUUUUCAAAGAAUUCAAGAAAUGUAAGUUGAUGAGUAAGACAUCUAAAGUAUUUACCUCCUUAGAUUUGAUCCAAGGAAAGGUAACACUUUAGAUGAGUUUCCUUGAAAGAUAUCAAGGAAAAUAGCAUCAUAAGAUAAUGUAUUUUCUCCAUUAGGAGAAGAACGAACUUGAAUAAGAUUUAGUUCGUUAGAUGUUAUCUAUUACCCAUAUAUAGGAUAUAUACUUCUAAAAACAAUAUGAUUGUCAAUUAGAAGAUCUUCCAAUAUUUUCAUGACUCCAUAAGAUGUAGUUGGAAAGAAAGACAAAUCUUAAGCAUGUUAAAGAUUUGGGGUUGUGUGCUAAUAAGCAAUAUUUGUUUGAUAACAAUCUUGUAGGAUAUAUCCUUAAAAUUAACUUUUGGAUAUCGCUUCUAUAAACCAACUAACAAAUGUUGUUUUGUUGGGUAGUUCAUUGUAAUCCUACAAUGUGAUUUGCCUAAAAGCAAAUGAACGAGAGAUAGAACUCAAAGAAUGGGUUCUUUGAGAGACAAGAAAGUAAUCAACAAAUAUAACAACCUAGUUCCUAUACCACAAGCUCCAAGGUAGUCGAUAAGGAUUUAUAAACCGUCUCAGUUGAAUGGUUUGAACUUUAUGACUAUGUCAUAGAGUUGCACCUCUUAAUUCGAAAGAAAUAAGAAUGAAAAUCCUUAUGACUACAUUGAGUGCAUAUACGAUAUAUACUCAAGGAAAUGGUAAAGUACCAUUUGACUCGAAAUAAUGAAACCUUCAUAAGCUAAUUGGUAGCUUAAGGUGACUACAAUCAAAGAGAAUGGUUGACUUUGAAGGAAACCAUUUUUGACGUAGUCUUAGUUUCAAUUAAUUCGAAGAUUGCUAGCUACAACUAAAUGGUGAUUCAAUGUUUGGACAUAAUAUGGGUUUCCGAAACCAUUAUUAAGAUAGUCUUGAUAAUAUAUGUGUCUAAAACUAUAAAAUCACAAGACAUGUAAGUUGUAGAGAUCCAUCCAUCAUCAUGGAUCUUAGCAAGCUAGUGGGAGCUAUUUGCAUUUUAUGAGAAAAAGGAUCAAAUCGUUUGAUUUCUCAUAAAGAUGUAAAUGAAUCUUUUGUUUACUAGUUUUACAAAAGAUUAGUGGGAGUUAAUCAUGUUCCUAAAAUUUAAAUAUAUGAUGAUAUAUUAAUUUUGGAAAUGAAAAGAAUACUUCUUCGUUAAAGUUAUGACUUUAAUACAUUAUAUGAAGAUAGAAUGUAUAUGGGAGAUAUAGUCUAUAUACAUGGGAUGGAAAUCUAUAAUGAUAUAUUUCAUGAUAUAAUUGGAUUAUAUCAAUCCCUAAUAAUAGACAAUGGAUGCUAGGAAGUUUCUCUCAUAUGAUGAUAAACUUCAAUAAGAAGGACGAUUCUAGUGAGACUAGCAAGUUGCCCUUCUCAAAGGGAACGUACCCUUUGACUCCCAAAGAAAUAAUGCGUAAAUAGAAUCCUUUAUGCAUACGCAGAAAGGUGAUUUAUGUAUUUCAUAUUGUAUGAAAAACAUUGAUAUGAGUUGUACCUAGAACGGUACAAGACGAUAUCAGUGCAAGCCCAGGAUCAGAACCAUGGCAACUGUCAAGUGAGUCCUUAAGUAUUUAAGAAAUACUAAAGGAUAAAUUCCUCAAAGAAUGAGGAAGAAUUAGAGUAACGUAAUGGAAGCGUAAAUGUAUUAGAUUAUGAAUCUAAUCCAUCAUUGGAUGUUUCUUCAUUAUGAAUGAAGAGAUAAACGAAUAUCUCUUUAUUAUGACUAAAGAGAUAUUUGGAUGGAAACAUUAAAGUAAUGACUUUAGUGUGUUCCAUUAUGAAUGCAAGAUAUAUUGCCAUAUAGAAGUUUACAACAAUGUUGUUUGGAUGGGAAAGUUCAUUUAUGAACUCUCUAUUCGGUUCCAACCAGAAAGUGUAUGACACUAAUGGGGCGAUAGCUCAAGCCUGGGAAUCAAGGUCUCAUCAAGAUCCGAACUCAAAUGAGAGACUGAACCACAUGAUUGAGAAUCAUGUAUAAUGGUGACGUCGUUAUUCUCAAGGUUGCUUCUAUGGAUAACACAUAUAGAUAUCCACUUGUCUAGGCCUACUAUUCAGCCAUUUAUGAAAUGACUACAGAAGAGGUAUCAUCAAGAUGACCAAGCUGAUUGGCUCUAGUGCAAGUGGGAGAUUGUUGGAAAUGUGCCCUAAAGCCAAUCAUAUGAUGAUACUUUACGGACAUUUCACAUGUUAAACUAAUCUAGUUUAACAUAUAAAGGGCAAAGAUUAUUGUUUGAGCCGUCUCAUAUAAAUGUUAUAUGCUUAAACGAUAAAGUCCAAGGAAUAUGUGAUUGGGAGAAUGUAAUCUAAUGAAGUUAGAUUCAUGAGACCAUUCUUUCGUAGACACAUCCUAAACGUUCCUGAUCAUAGGAUUGCCAAUUGGGCAUUGACAGUCCGUUAAGAUCAGUACGUACUAUGUCUUCUUUCAGGGAGAGUGACUAGUCUCGAGUCAUUAGUGUGUGUGACAUCAAGACAAGUACGUAGGUGCUCAAUCGAGAAUGAGUUCACUGAACGCGAUCAACGAAGAGUUCUCAUAUUCAUGUCACAUGAGAACUCAUGGUUGGGAUAAUGCAAAGUAGUCCUUUGACCUGAGGCAUCAUAGUUGUCUUGUGGUUAAGUCCUUGAUCUUUGAUUAUGUCAAAGUCAUCCCACCAGGAGGGUGUCCACGGCAUCGUUGGGGUUAAGCCACUUAGCUAUGGAGACAAGUGAAUGCGCAACAAGGGAUCUCUAACCUUCAAACCGUUUGAGGGAGAAUACUCUAUGAUAUGAUUUGAAUCUCUGGCCAGAGUAUGAAUGAGAUUUGGGAAUGCGUUCCAAAUCACAUUCAAGGUAAUCAUAUAAGCACAAGACAUCACAUUGGAUAGUAGACAUGAGAAAAUAAACUAUCAAACCAAACAAUGUGGUCAAGAGUAUUAGAUUAGAGAAAGACCGUAUUGCAUUUGUAAUCCGAAACUGAAUAGGUUCUCUAACCUCUUCUGAUUAGCUUGGGUAACCAUGAUAUGCUGCUAGGUGUCACUCAUGGUUUGUGGAAGCCCUAAACGUGUAUAAUCACUAAAGGGAGAAUUGAAAAUAGUUUCAAUUCACAAUCGAUGUAAAAUGGUUUUAAUCGCCCACUACCUCGCUAAAAGGAACCUAAUGGAUCGCACACCGUGAAAGGUGGAGAUUGGAGAUUAAACGGAAAUGAGUAAGAAUGAUUAUUAAAUGGUUUAAUCAUUUAUUUAUGGCAAGGAUUAAUUAAUAUGUUAAUUAAUCAAACGAAUAAGUUCGUUAAAGACUUCGGGAUAGUUUUGGACCUUAAGGCCCAAUGGGCUUCGAACGUCAAGCCCAUUAACUUAAGUUGUAUGACAAUUUAAUGAAUAAAGAUUCAUUAAAGCCCAAAAGCCCAAAAUCCCUAAAUGGCCAUGGCCAUGAUGAAAUGAAUUAGGGUUUUGGUUGUUUAGGUCACUUAAAGAAGUGACUAUAUAAAUGACUUUAUAACUAAAUAUUCAUUAAGUGAACUUAAGGGUUUAUUUUUUUGGGGAAAAUAGGUGAGAAUUGUCUCUCCAUUUUCUCUCUCUAAAGAGGCCAACACCUUGGAGGGUACAUCUAGCAAUCCUACUACUCCAAGGUCACUCAUUUCUUCUACAAUCGAACCUUGGUGUCGAGAAUUAGAGGUUCUCAAUUUUGGGAACUUGGAGAACCUAUUCUUCCAUCCAAAUCCAUGGAUCUAAGAAGCAAGGAAUGAAGGCCCUUAUCUCUUUGGGUGAUUAGCCUUUGCUUAUGCAAAGAGGAAUCUACAAAGGUAUUAAUUUCAACUCACUUAUGUUUUGAGUUGAUUAUUGGUUCACCAAUCUACUAGGCUUUGAAUUUUAUGGGUAAAUGUUUUGUUUUUGAGUGCAUGUAACCAUGAUUCCGCCUUUAAUUAUUAAUUGCAUGCUAUAUGAUGUUGCUCAAAUGAACAUGUUUUACAAAAUAAUUCCUUCAGUAUGCCAGCCGGAGUCACCUAAAGUGACCUGUACAGCUGGGUCCACAACUCAUCAAUCAAAUUCUGCACACGAGUCGGAACCACCUAAUGUGGUUUGUACGACAGGCUAGGUGUAAACAAUUACGCUCUCAAGUGCUACGGUCACGUGAAGGCUGUGCGAAGUAUCGCAAGUCACCUACGAGUUAGAACCACUUAAACUGGUCUGUACGACAAGCUGACACCUGCCUUGGAUCCAAGGUGAGCGUGUGGUGCGAGAGGUGAACGAUCACGGGAAGGCUAGGCCUUGUCUUCUGAUGGAGCACUAACACUGGGGUGCAGGAUAAUAAGCUUAAAGUACAUCUCAGUACUAAUAUAUUCACUACCAUGACUACCAUCAAUAUACUCACCUGAAGCUUACCUGAGCAUCCAUAGCUUCGAGCAACAAUAUAUAUAUAUAUAUAUAUAUAUAUAUAUAUAUAUAUAUAUAUAUAUAUAUAUAUAUAUAUAUAUAACCAUACUAAUGCACAAUUAAACAUAGAGAGCAUUUGACAUGGCAUUUCGAAGUAUCAAAUCAUUUAAUUAAGUUUUCUGGGAAAAUACUAAGUAUAUAUAUAUAUAUUGAAAACCAAAAGCCCACUCACUGGUAUAUGGAAGGGUCGUAACCCUCGAGUCUUGCUUGACUGUGCUCGUCCUCAGGAUAGGUCUCACCUAUAUGUGAAACAACUAUUUAAACGUUAUUUUAAAGCACAUAAACAAAACUAGUUAAGAACUUUUCAUACAUUGCUCAAUUGGGGUAUUUGAAUACCACCGUGACCUACUCAACCUUAGGAACAUCCCUAUAUUUUUAGAAAAAUUUUCCGACCACUCACUCGCCGUUACGCGCUGACCAAGGCACGCCCAGACGCGCAAUCCAUGCGCAGGCACCUGCCUGGCACACUAACGGAUUCUCUAACGGCGUUAGGGAAUAUUCCGUUAAAUAUUAGAAUAUGCCAUUAAAUAUACUUGACACCGUUCGAAUAUUCCAUCAACUUUGACAGAAUAUUUGUCUUCUUCUCCGGCGAGUCAUCGGAUUUUGUCGCCGUCACCGUCUGUGUCAUCGAAAAUUGGAAAAUUUUCAAAUCUUCCUAUCUUCUUCAUUUCUCAACCAAAAUUCACGAAAUUUGAACCAAAUUGAAGCUUGAGAUGAGAGGAACAAAACCUUACCACUUUUAGGUCUUAAAUCCAUCGAAAAAUCGUCGGAAAAAUCCACGAUAGUCCGGCCACCUCUGUAACUCACUAACUCGAGCUUCCUGAUGUCCAAAAUACUUCAAAUUUCUUCCCUAAGCUUCGCAAAGACGUUCUAAGGCUCCCUAGCACCCUAAAACUCGAUGAAACCUCUGUGAUCACGACGGGGUCACUGUGCGCCUCAUUGGGGUUUUGUAUAACUCGAGUUCUACGAGUUCUCACGUCGAACCGAGGAUAUAAACGAACUCCUGGGCUCACAAGGAACACGAAAACCACCUCCUCGACGUCGAUCCGCGCAUGAAAAGGUUGGUUGAGGGAUGAUCCGUACAAUUAUAUAGAAAAUGGAUGGAAGCCGAUAAAGAAGGAGAGAGAGAGAGAGUCAAUGGGAGAGUGGUAUGGGUGCGUGUGUGGUCCAACUUUGGGCUACCAACCAACAAAUAAAAGCUUACUUCCAAUUGGGUCCAAAAAGUUAGGAAAAACAUGUCAUGGUCCAAAUCCUUAGCCCGUUUACACACACACAACCACUAAAUGCUUAAGGGCAUAAUCAUCACUUCAUGCUAUCAAGGAUAAAAUAAUAAGAACAUUCGGGACGGGCUGUGAUACCCUACCCCCUUAAAAAAAUUUCGUCCCCAAAAUUCCAUACAAUAAUGUACAACCACUAAUAGCCACAAAAUAAGCGUGGAUACAUUUCCUUCAUACGAUCCUCUGCCUCUCAAGUAGCUUCCUCCAUUGAGUGAUUCCUUCACAAAACUUUAACCAAGCGCACCGUCUUUUUCCUCAAAACUUUAUCUUUCCAUUCCAAAAUCGUCACUGGCUCCUCAUCAUAAGUCAAAUCUGAAUUAAUUUCCAAUGGUUGAGGAGGUAUCACAUGUGAUGGAUCAGAGAUAUAUUGACGAAGCAUAGAAACAUGAAAAACAUCGUGCAUUUUAGACAACUCGGAUGCAACUUAAGCCUGUAAGCAACCUCACCGACUCGCUCGGUGAUCUGAUACGGUCCAAUGUACCUAGGACUUAGCUUACCCUUUUUCCCGAACCGCACUACACCUCUCCACAGAGAUAACUUCAAAAAUACCCAAUCACCAACUUUAUACACUCGGUCAGUGGGAUGCUUGUCUGCUAGACGCUUUCAGGUUAGAUUUAAUUACCUGAAUGUUCUGAGUAGUCUCCUCUAUAAUCUCAGGGCCCACCAAAACUCUUUCACCAACCUUUGACCAACACAAGGGAGUACGACAAGACUUGCCAUAAAGUGCCUCAAAUGGUGACAUACCAAUACUCGAAUGGUAGCUGUUAUUAUAAGCAAACUCCAUCAAAUCUAACCGCUGAUGCUAGGCGUCGCCAAAUUGCAAUACCGAAGACCUUAGCAUAUCCUUCAGUGUCUAAAUAGUCAUCUCAGAUUGUCCGUCUGUUUGAGGAUGAUAUGUUGUACUAUAAAGUAAUCUUGAACCAAAAGCCUCCUGAAAUGCUACCCAUAACUUAGAAGUAAAUCUAGGAUCCCGAUCUGAGAUAAUACUAACCGGAACUCCAUGAUACUUAACAAUCUUCGAUAUGAACAAUUCAGCUAAUCGACUUAAAGAAUAUUUCUUCCUCAUAGGAAUAAAAUGUGCUGACUUAGUAAGCCAAUCAACUAUCACCCAAAUACCGUCAUAACCAUUUUGUGUACGAGGAAGCUUGUACACAAAAUCCAUAGUAAUAUCUUCCGACUUCCAUUGUGGAACGGGAAAUGGCUGCAUCAAUCCAAAUGGCUUUUUCCUCUCAGCUUUGACCUGUUGACAAAUGGCACAAUUACUCACAUACUCAGUAAUUUCCCUUUUCAUAAUCGGCCAAUAAUAAAAUGGUCGAAUGGUAUGAUACAUUUUAGUACCUCUAGGAUGCAUUGCAUAUGCUGAUACAUGCACUUCAUCAAGAAUUUCUUUCUUUAGUUCGACAUUAUUCGGCACAUACAUUCUUCCUUCCUACAUAAGCAUACCAUCCGAUUCUAUAAUCCUUAGAUCUUUUUUUCCCAUCAUUUCUUGCUUGAAUUAAUUCCUAGGUUUCUUCAUCAUUCAACUGAGCCUCGAGCACUCGAUCAAUUAAAAUUGGUCUAACCUGAAUAUUAGCAAGUAAGGCUUCAUUUCGUUCUUCCACCCCUAACUUCACUUCGGUGGACUUCAAAUCUGCAAGAAGAGGAACAUGACAAGCAUAAGCAUUAAUUCUCGCUUGAGGAUUCCUACUAAGUGCAUCUGCCACCACAUUUGCACGACCAGGGUGAUAAUCAAUCGUGCAAUCAUAAUCAUUAAGCAACUUUAUCCAUCUUCGUUGUCGAAGAUUAAGAUCCCUCUGAGUAAAAAGAUACUGAAGACUUUUACGAUCUGUAAAAAUCUUACAUUUUCACCAUAAAGAUAAUGCCUCCAAAUCUUCAAAGCAAAGACGAUAGCUGCUAACUCAAGAUCAUGAGUAGGAUAAUUAGUUUCAUGAGGCUUCAACUGUCUCGAAGCAUAAUCAAUCACCCUACUAUGUUGCAUCAACACACAUCCCAGACCAUUCAAGGAAGCAUCACUGUAGAUCUCAAAAUUACCACUAUCAUCAGGAAACGUCAAAAUAGGUGCAUGAGUGAGACAAUAUUUCAACUGCUGAAAACUCUGCUCGCAAUUAUCAUCCCACUCAAACUUAACAUCUUUCCUGGUCAACCUCGUCAGUGGUAAAGCAAGAACUAAAAAAUCUUUAACAAACCGUCUAUAAUAACCAGCUAGGCCAAGAAAACUCCAUACCUCAAUGACGGUUCGUGGUUACUCCUAAUUCUCAACAGCUGCUACCUUUUGAGGAUCCACCAGAAUACCUUGAUCUAGCCAAAAUUGGCACUUGCUAAACUUGGCAUACAACUGGUGUUCCCUCAAUUUCUUCAACACCAAAGUAAGAUGUCGAACAUGCUCUGAUUUCAACUUAGAGUACACCAGAAUAUCAUCAAUAAAGACAAUGACAAACCUGUUUAAAUAUUGUUGGAAUACUCGAUUCAUCAAAUCCAUAAAAGUUGCAGGUGCAUUAGUCAACCCGAAUAACAUCACAAGAAAUUCAUAAUGACCAUAUCGAGUCCUAAAAGCCAUUUUAGGGACAUCCUCACUUUUAAUCUUCAAUUGAUAAUAAAAAAACCUCAAAUCAAUCUUAGAAAACACACAGACGCCUCGAAGAUGAUCAAAUAAAUCAUUUAUACGUGGUAAUGUAUAACGUUUUUUAUUCGUUAUCUGAUUUAAUUUCCUAUAAUCAAUACAUAGCCUUAAAGUCUCGUCUUUACUCUCACAAAUAACACCGGAGCUCCCCAGGGUGAAUUACUAGGCUGAAUAAAACCCUUAUCAACUAAUUCCUGCAACUGAAUCUUUAAUUCCCUCAAUUCAACAGGAGCCAUUCGAUAAGGAGUUAAAGAUAUAGGAUCUAUACCUGAAAGUAAAUCAAUAGUGAAAUCCACAUCUCAGUCUGGUGGCAAUCCAGGUAAAUCAUCAAGGAAUAUGUCAGGAAAAUGCCUGACCACGCGAACAUUCUCCACAUUAGUCGAAGUAUUAUCAUUCAACGCCACAUGGGCCAAAUAUCCUUGACAACCUUUCUUUAACAACCUUUUAGCCCUUAUGGAAAAAAUAACACCAUGUUUCACCCCACUACUCUCACCCAUAAAUGUAACCUCAGGAAUCCAAGACGAUGAAAAGUAACUGACUUCCCAUAGCAAUCUAUAUUGGCACGAUUAUAAUGUAACUAAUCUGUGCCCAAAAUCACAUUAAAAUUCACAAUAUCUAACGGGAUGAGAUUAGUUGACAUAACUACAUCCUCCACUAACAUGGGACAUCUUGGAUAUACACAACUAACGUAACAUAUAUCCCCUCUAGGCAUAUCAAACUCUAAAUCAUACCCUAGAGGUGUGGGAUGAGGUUGAGUUAACUGAGCGAACGUACACCACAAUCAAUUAAUACUCUAGCAAAAUGACCAAGAAUAUUCAACGUACCCAUGAUCAAAUCAGGAUUAUUCUGAGCAUCCUGCAGUGUUAUGUGGUGAAUACAUCCCUAAGCCUGUUGUUGACCUCCACGACAUCUGCUAGUCUGACCACUAUGACUUUGCACGUUAUGCCCCUGGACUGGCUGAUUAGACUGUCACGAUGAUCAUGCACUGCUAGUCUGACCACCAGCUGAAUAUGGCGAAUAUGGCAUAUAACCUCCAAAAUACUGAGGAUAACCACUCUGCUAAUACGGGUCCUGUGGAUACUGAUACUACCCUGCAGAAUAAAGAGCUACAUCACCCUGGUAAUGAUAAGCACCUCCACAACCCGUAUGGGCAUAACCACUAGGUCCUAAAACUUGCUGGAUCGACAUUGGUGGUGGUAGAGAAGGCUGUUGGGGCCUUUGCUGAUUCUGAGGACAAUGCAUAGCCCUAUGCUUCAUUUGCCCACAAGUAAAACAUCAUAUACUACACUGCCUGCACUCCUUAAAAUGUCGGCUAUUACACCUACAACAAAACAGACUACCCGAACCACCAGAAACACCCAAAAUCUCUCUGCCUCUGCAAAACGAUGACCUCCAGAAAACCUACCACCACUCAUUUUAAAACUUUGAGUCUUACGAGGACCCUGAGAUGAUUGACCCUUAUCUUUAUCAUCUUUCUUCUUCUGGUUAUCUUCUUCCUCCUUUCUCUCACUAGGCAUAUUUUUUGAAUCUUUAAUAUGUAGUAAAAUCUCAUAAAACUCCUGGUAAGUAGCACAAGGAGUCAUGGUCGCCAUAGAACGCUAUUUCUUUCGAGUACCCAACCUGAAAUGAUGAAGCAUCUCAACCGGAUUAGCAACAACCUCUAGAUCAUAGCGAGAUAAAUCAGUAAACCUCCUGUAGUACUUAUUAGCUAUCAUAUUUCCUUGCUUUAGGUGCGUGAAUUCUUGCUUCUUGCAAUCUAUAUACUCUGGAGGAAUGAAUCUCUUCUGAAAUAACUACUUGAAAAUUUCCCAAUUAGCAACUUCCUCUGGUGAUAACUGAUAAGACUCCUGUCUCCACCAAGAUGCAGGUUCCGGACCUAAAAACCAGGUAGUCGUCUCAACCCACCUAUCAGAAGGAAGACUCCCUAACUCUGCAUCACACAGAAAGUCUUCUCAAUAUGAUUGAGCCACCGCUCUGCUCCUUCAUGUCAUUCAUUACCCAUUAAAUGAUUCAACUUCAAAUUAUACACAUCUCUAGAGGUGUUAUUUGGGGAAGAUGAAGCGAAGACUGAAUAGCAUUAGCUAUAGCUUCCCUUAGUUGAGCAAUAUUAGGGAAACUAGGCUCAACUGAAGGACGUGGCUCUCUACGAGGUAGCAUAGUUCUGACAGAAGACACCAAGAUAAUUAGAACAUUCACAAGAUAUGCAGAAUUGCCAAACCUAGGCUUUGAUACCAAACUGACAAACCCCAACCUAAUAUCGAGGCAUGCUGGCCUUCACGUGAGGGUGACGUAGCCAUAUGCAGAGUGCAGAAGCAAUAUUAAUAUAAGGAAUGCGAAUAAAUAAAAACAAACUGACUAAAACACUAGAGGAGAUAAAGUGAAAGUGCGAUAUUAAAGGUGACUACACCCAACCAGAGCGUAGGUAGCCUAAGUGCAGUCCAGCAGGACAAAUAUUAAUUACUUAAUACCAAAGAUGGUCAUACAUUUGUGAUGAUUUGUCAGAACCAUCGUCAAUUCCUCGUGAGCCACUAACGAGCGCUCCUACCUAAAACCUGGAGGGGCGUAAAACAGAAAGUGUGAGUGGGCAAAAACAAAGCUUUUCAAAACCAUUUCACUAUCCAAGUAGUAACCCAUCGCUGUAAAACCUGUAUAAUUCCCAGAAAAUAGCAUAUAUGAUUAUAUCCCAAAAUCAUAUUCAAAAAUAGCAAAUCCACCGAAUAUACCAUGUCAUACCUUAGAAAGAAAUAAGAAAGCCAAGUGAAAUACAUUAAUAUGAAAUAGUAUGCCAGCCGGAGUCACCUAAAGUGACCUGUACGGCUGGGUCCACAACUCAUCAAUCAAAUUCUUCACACGAGUCGGAACCACCUAAAGUGGUCUAUACGAUAGGUUGGCAACUGCCUUGGAUCCAAGGUGAGCGUGUGGUGUGAGAGUUGAACGAUCACGUGACGGCUAGGCCUUGUCCUCGAGUGGAGCACUAACACCGGGGUGCAAAUAUAUUCACUACCAUCACUACCAUCAAUAUACUCACCUGAAGCUUACCUGAGCAUCCACAGCAUCGAGCAACAAUAUAUAUAUAUAUAUAUAUAUAACCAUACUAAUGCACAAUUAAACAGAGAGCAUUUGACAUGGCAUUUCAAAGCAUCAAAUCAUUUAAUUAAGUUUUCUAGGAAAAUACCAAUUAUAUAUAUAUAUAUAUAUACUGAAAACCAAAAGCCCACUCACUGGUAUGUGGAAGGCUCGUAACCCCCGAGUUUUGCUUGACUGCACUCGUCCUCAGGAUAGGUCUCACUUAUAUGUGAAGCAACUAUUUAAACGUUAUUUUAAAGCACAUAAACAAAACUAGCUAAUAACUUCUAAUACAUUACUCAAUUGAGGUAUUUGAAUAUACCAUCAUGACUUACUCAACCUCAGGAACAUCCCCAUAUUUUUAUAAAAAAAAUUCGAUCACUCACGUGCUGGCCAAGGCACGGCCAGACGUGUGGCCCACGUGCAGGCACGUGUCUGGCACACUGACGGAUUCCCUAACGGCGUUAGGGAAUAUUUUGUUAAAUAUAACUGACGCCGUUAGGAUAUUUCGUCAACUUUGACAGAAUAUUCGUCUUCUUCUCUGACAAGUCAUCGGAUUCCAUCGCCGUCUGUGUCAUCGAAAAUUUUCAAAUUUUCAAAUCUUCAUAUCUUCUUCAUUUCUCAACCAAAGUUCACAAAAUUUGAAUCAAAUUGAAGCUUGAGAUGAGAGGAACAAAACCUUACCACUUUUAGGUCUUAAAUCCACCGGAAACUCGCCGGAAAAACCCACGAUAGUCCAGCCACCUCUGCAACUCACUAACUCGAGCUUCCUGACGUCCAAAAUACUUCAAAUUUCUUCCUUAAGCUUCACAAAGACGUUCUAAGGCUCCCUAGCACCCUAAAACUCGAUGAAACCUCUGCGAUCACAACGGGGUCACUGUGCACCUCAUCGGGGUUUUGUAUAACUUGAGUUCUACGAGUUUUCACAUCGAACGAAGGAUAUGAAUGAACUCCUGGGCUCACAAGGAACAUGAAAACCACCUCCUCGACAUCGAUUCGCGCAUGAAAAGGUUGGUUGAGGGAUGAUCUGUACAAUUGUACGGAAAAUGGAUGGAAGUCGAGAAAAAAGGAGAGAGAGUCAAAGGAAUAGUGGUAUGGGUGUGUGUCUGUGUGGUCCAACUUUGGGCUACUAACCAACAAACAAAAGCUUACUUCUAAUUGGGUCCAAAAAGUUAGGAAAAACAUGUCAUGGUCCAAAUCCUUAGCCCGUUUACACACACACAACCAUUAAACGCUCAAGGGCAUAAUCGUCACUUCAUGCUAUCAAGGAUAAAAUAAUAAGAACAUUCGGGACAGGCUGUGACAACAUAAAAGAUUAAAAAAUUAAAAACAUUUUUUUACAAAGCUAAUGGGUACAAACUUAUUCUAUUUUAUUUAUUUAUUUUGGAAAUGUUUUGAAUUGAAAAUUAGUUAGGAGUUCAAUAAAGGUGUGAGUAUUAAAAUUCUAAAUCAAUUAUUAAUUUUUAUUUUAAAAAAAUUAUGUAACUGACACGUAAAUUCAUUAUUAUAGUAAUGCUAGAGACUUGGAUCAAAAUCUUAGAAACUAAUAAGGUUUCAGUCAAUGAACAUUAGUAACUAGGGACCGGAUACUAAUUUUUCCAAAAAAAAUUGUAUUACACACUAAGCAUAAUAAGGGUUAUUUCUUUUGUUUUUCUUUUUUCCAAAGCAUAGUAAUGGUUAACUGAAUGUGAGGUUGUAUUACAUACAUAUGGAAACUUGUUGUUACUCCAAAUUAGUUAGCUUGCAUUCCACAAAGAAAUAUAGGAGAAAAUUAACAUUAAAAAUGAGUGCAUAAUGACUUUUAAGAGCCAAUAACAUUUUCCUAAUAAAAAUGUGAGCUUUAUUCGUUGAGCAUUGACAUAACACUAGAAUGAAACAAGAUGGAGGUGAUUUCACUUUCACAACCCAGAACGCUAAAGGCCAAGGGAGAGCCGAACCUUUGAUUGGCAUGGACACAUACAAAAUUCUCGACAUCGAGAGAUUUGAGAUUGUAUGAUUAACUUAUUGCAAUAAGACAAAUUUCAUUGAGAUGAAUCAAAGUUCUUACUGACACACCCCGACCGAGAUCAAGGCAUGCUGGCCGUCACGUGAGAGUGACGUAGCAAUGUGCACAGUGCGGAAGCGAUAAAAAUAAGAUAUAUACGAAUAAUCAAAAACCAAAUUACUAGAGUGCACUACUAAACAGAGAGUGAUAGGAGUUAGUUACAAUAGUAAACACUCCUAAUCAGAGCAUAAAGUCUAGGUGCAGUCCAGUAGGACAAGUACUAGUUAUACAGUACCAGGAAUGUCCUACUAUUAUUUAGAUAAGUCAGAACCGCCGACGUCCUCAAGCCUUCCAACAACAAGCUUACUUAAAACCUAGAGGGGCGCAAAACAGAAAACGUGAGUGGGCAAAAACAAAUGUUGUACAAAAUCAUUUUCUUUAUCAACGUAUCUAACUCCUCGUUGUAAAACAUGUAUAAUUUUUUCCAGAAUCAGAAUAUAAGUAUAUGCAUAAUAUAUAUAUAUAUAUAUAUAUAUAUAUAUAUAUAUAUAUAUAUAUAUUCUCAUUCCUACCUAGCACAAGACCUUUUGGGAGCUCACUGACUUUGAGUUCCGUCGGAACUCCGAAGUUAAGCGAGAAGAUGGCUAGAGAACUUCCAUGAUGGGUGACCCACUGGGAAGUUGCUCGUGAGUUCCCAGAAACAAAAUCGUGAGGGCGUGGUCGAGGCUCAAAGUGGACGAUAUCGUGCUACGGUGGUGGAGCAGGCCCGGGAAAUGAUCCGUCUUGGGUCGGGGUGUGACAAAUGGUAUCAGAGCCAAUCUCUGGCUGGAAGUGUGCCAACAAGGACUUUGGGCCCCUAAGGGGGUGGAUUGUAACAUCCCACAUCGCCUAGGGGAGUGAUCCUUAUAUGUAUAUUCUCAUCCCUACCUAGCACGAGGCCUUUUGGGAGCUCACUGACUUCGGGUUCCGUCGGAACUCCGAAGUUAAGCGAGAAGAUGGCCAGAGCACUCCCAUGAUAGGUGACCCACUGAGAAGUUGCUCAUGAGUUCUCAGAAACAAAACUGUGAGGGCGUGGUCGGAGCCCAAAGCGGACAAUAUCGUUCUACGGUGGUGGAGCGGGUCCGGGAAGUGAUCCGCCUCGGAUCGGGAUGUGACACUUACAGAUUGUCUUCAAUGGACACAAUUACAAAAGUUCAGGGACAAAAGUAAGAUGGAAAUAAGUUUAGAAUCGAAGCUAGAGAAUCCCAUGAAGUUCAGGGAUCAAAUUUGAAAUUAACUCUAGUUCAAAUAUAAAGAAAAAAAAUUGUCAAAGUGGGUUAAUUGUUAAUUAGCAUGAAUAGAAAGUAAACCUUAAUAAUAUUAAAUUUAGUUCUGGUUAAUAUUAUUAUUCUUGUCCAACAACAAACAUGGGUCAAAGUGGGUUUGAUCUGUCGAAGAUGGGAUGUCACUUUCUCAGAGCAAAACGGUUCACCUAACAAGUUAGUGGAAGCCAUCAUGGGCAUAUACUUUCUGUUCAUGCAUGAGAUGAGUCAUGACCCAAAUAAAACAUCUGGGUCCAUCUCAGCACGUGCCAAACUUUUUCAGAUGUAAAAAUUUAGGGUUUGGUUAUUUUGGUUUUGGUAAUGGUUGUUUGAGGUCAUUUGGUUCCACCAAGGUCUAAAAUAUUGAUAUUAUUUUGAUAUUUUUAUCGAAAUUUUCGUGUUUUUAGACUACCGAUAUUUCCGAUAUUAUCGAUAUUUUAGACCUUGAUAGGAACUUUAUAUGGUACUAAGUCACUCAUGUAUCUUACCAUGCAAUGUAUAAAGUGUAAAAUAUUGUACUAAUUCAUUAUAUAUAAAUGAUUAUGGUGUGUUUAAACUUCUUUCAUUAAUUACUACAUAUUUUCUACACUCACAAUGUUUGCCAGCUCGCUAUAUAAUCAAUUUAAAUCAGUUAAAUCCAUCAUGCAAUGCAUUUCCUUCCAAUUUUUUUGUAAUAAACUAAUAGAUAAUUGACUAAAUAAACAUCCUGUAAAGUUUCAAUAAAAAUUUCUAAGUUUUUCUUACAAUUUCCUUGGUUUUUAUUUAAUUUUUAUCAAUAUUGAUAAUAUCCCUAUAUUUCCAUCGAAAUUUCUGUGUUUUUAGAUUACCGAUAUUUCUGAUAUCAUCGAUAUUUUAGACCUUGGUUCCACCAACUACAUUUGAAAGGAAAUCUGGCUAGUAAGCUCAAUUGCUUCUUUUUUUUUUUUUUUUUUUUUUGGAAAGGUAAGCUGAAUUGCUUAGGGCACAGAAUUAUGAUACUAAUCAAGUUUUGAGAGAGAAAAACGCAAAGAAUUAGGAUUAAGAUAGAUUAAUUGUCCGAUUCCGUCAACAUAAUGUAAUUGGAAGGAAAAAAAAAUUAUGAAUACAUUGUUCGAAGCCACAAAAAACAUUUGAGCUUACAUGCGUACAAGUUUUGGUGAUUAGUGGUUCCACGUAUUCGUAGUUUUACUUUUAAAUCUUAUACUCGAUGUCUAUGAAAGAUUGAAUCUUGGGAUUUUUCUCAAACUUGCAGAGCAAAAACUUUAAAUUUUGUUCGGAGUUAUUGAGAAUUGGUGCACUUGUAAUAUUGGCGAAGCCUUUUUAUUGUUUCUAGAGUUGUACUUUAAACCGCAACUAGUUGAUUCGCAAAAGAUAGUAUAUGCAGUCCCCUUGGAAUAGUUACACAUAUCAACUCCUUUAUGAAUGGGGUGUGAUAUCCACACACCUCUUUUUACUUCUCUCAUAUUUCUUUAGUUUUCGGCCGUCGGAUCGGAUGAAUUGAAGAAGAUCAACGGACAUAAAUUAACAAGGGGUGUGUAAGAAAUAAAAAGGGGUGUGUGGAUAGCACACCCCUUAUGAAUAAUGUAUUUACAUGGUAAUAAUUCAUAAUCAAAACCUUUUAGUUUCUUAAUCAUCAUUUCUAAAAACACAUUCGAUUGUAGAUCGCUUAAUCAUCCAAAUAUGUCCAAUAAAUAGACGGUUUAUCAUAAAAAUAUUGCUUGGUGCCUACACUAUCAAUUUAUUCCAUACAUUGAAUAACAAAACGAUCUCCGUUUCGAAUAAUUUUUUGUAGGAGCAAUCUUCAAAUAAAAAUUAAGAAAUUGAAUGGUUUUGAUUAUCAAAUUUGUAUCCUAAAUAAAAUGACAUCAUUCACAACAGGUAGAGAUGUAUCCACCCUAUGAGGAGGUGGAUGCAAGGAAUAUCUAUUUAUACUUUCAACAUGCUGUAAGAAAUAGACUAGAAGUGGACAAGUUCCAAAACAAAUCCAGAAAAAUCUCCAAUGCCAUAAUGCAUGUACCUAAUCCUUUGGUAAAAUCUCAACAUCAAAAGCAUUCAGUCCCUUUUCUGGUUGUGUUUUUCUUUUCAAUUGAAGACACAUUAUUCACUCUAAUAAUGUAGGGAAAGAUUACAAAGUUUCUUUCUAUAGGUUAGAUGUUCUUUUGGGCGUUCAUCGGCAUGAGUCGAGUGAUACUUCUUUUCCCAAAUCGACAUAAUGUCAAGUUUGUAGUUCCUUGUGUCAUAAAUUAGAAAAACGAAAACAAUUGAAACUUGAUUAGGUUACCAUUUAUUUCUUUAAAAUGAAGACUAUAUGUCACAUGUAUAAGAAAUAAGGAUCUCAAAAAUGUAUGUUUAACCUAAAGUUUUGGACUAUUAGGUGACAAGAUACAUAUCAAGACAUUAAAACGUUUUAUAGUAUAAAUAGCUCAAUCUAUCCAAACUUGUAGCUUGCGUACAUAAGCAGCCUCUAGCCUUCCAGCAACCUUGUACAAGUACUCGAGCGACGGACCCAAAGACGGUGAAAGUCUCAGCGAGUAUGCAGGGAAAGUACGAGUGAACAUAUAAAUAUGUUCCCACAAACGAGAGGGAGGUGGAGAGAUUUUUUAAGCACUAUGAUGGUACUCCAAAGCACAGAUAUUUGUUUAACAAAAAUGCUUGAAUAAAGCUAAAUGCAGAAGCUAUUAGUAAGGUCUGCAUUCUUAUAUCAUGCCUCAAUAUUAUUGGAAGUUAGUUGCCAAAAAUGUGACGACCUCCAUUCAACUUUGGGCCGAUGGGUCAUGUAAAAAUACCAGAGUUUACCUUCAAUUUACGUAAUUAAACUUCUGGAUGAAAACAUGAGCAACUUACAGCCAAUAUAUAUUUCGAGGUAGUUUAAACGAUGCAGGAGUUACUGCAGAAAUCGGGAACCGAAUGCACAUUCGAGUAAAGCAACUAAUGCUCCAAGUCACCCAAAGACCUAAUUGCCCAACUAACAAAGUCUUUAUAACAAAGCACAUAACUAGCUACAUUAGUUUCAAACAAGCAGAACAUGAUUUAAAGAGAGGACAUACCUACACAAAUAUGAUAUGAAGAUAAUGCAGAAAUUUCACCGUGCCAGCCAAAUUCAGUUUGUAUCAUUGACAUUUGACAACUGUGUUCACUUCCUCGACACUAGAAUUCAAUUCGGUAGAUUUAUCACCCAACUCUGAACUUUCUGUUUUUGGUACUUUAACAAAUUGUUUACCGCGUGCCACACGAAUUCCCCUUCCCAUAAGCAGCUGCAGGAAAAGAAGUUUCCAAGGGGAAAAUUACCUUCCUGUGGGAAGCAGAAAGAGCUGCCUCAGCCUCGGUCCUGGUUUUGAAGCCCACAAAUCCAUAUCCUGUGGACCUUCGCAGGUUAUUUUGGAAUACAAUUUCUGCUGUAACAACAUUAUAAUCCUCUGAAUCGAAGAGCUCCUUGAGAUCUUUAGACCUUGCUUCAUACAGCAAAUUUUCCACUUACAUAUUGAAAGUUAAUGGCUUGGGUUGUGAAGAAGGGGGAGGAAUCUUCAUCUUUUUCGGCCUGGCAUAAGCCAUGUUUAUGACACGACCCUCCAUUUCCUGUAAGGCAUUCCAAAAUAAGAGAAAAUCAUUUACUAGACAAUAGGAUAAGGAAGCCGCAUAAGUAUCAUAUAUUUAAAGGUCGUACCCAGUGCACAAGGCUCCCGCUUUACGCAGGGUCUGGGAGAGGUGAAUGUCGGCUAGCCUUACCCCCAUUUAUAUUUAGUGGCUCAAAAUAUGAAGGAAAAAGCCAACGUAUCAACUUGGAAAAAAUUACUAGUUAACCCAAAUAUUACAUUGAUUCUUGAACUUCAAAAUGAGACACUUAACCCUUUAAACUAUACUCUGUAUGUUUGGUCCUUUAACAUUACUGAAGGGAGUACUCACUCAGUGGCAUAUGGAAAACUUAUUCAAGGGAAUAGAAAUUAUGAUCUCAUUCUCAAAUAUUGAGAAAAUGGUGGCAGCACUACCUCCAUUGAUUUCUUCCCUCUCCCUUUCCCUAAAACAUCUUCUAAUCUUCACCACCCUAUCACUCCAUUCAAACAUAUAUCUCUUCUCAUCUCCUUAAAACUUCAUGUUAAAUCCUCUCUUGCUUUCUCCUGUUUUCAAAAUUUGCCACUUUGUGACUCUCCUACAGCCAAAAAGUCUCGGUACAAGAAGAGGAACAAACCCAGUGGAUGAGGAAACCUUCACAACCUCCACAAAUAAUAAAAACUAAAAUGUGCACAGUAGAAGUACAGUAUACCAUAGUUCCAGCUCAAUCCCCUUGUUAUUUGAUGUUGGAGUAGCUCUGCAGGUUGAACACAAAUUGAACGUAUGUUCAACAAAGGUAAGAAGAUCACAAACCAAUGGAAGAAGGUAAAGAAGUAAGUGUGUGAUAGGGUAUGAUGCUAAAUAAUGAUGCCAUGAGAGAGGAUGUCUUGGCAUGAAUUGAUGACGAUGAUGAUGGAGUUAACUGGUUUCUAGAGGUGUUGGACGCCUCUAAGAGAUUGUCAUUUAUGCUCUCUCGGUGACUGAAUGCAUGACUUUUAUCAUCUACAAAUGAAGAGAUGAAACAGUAGACCUCCCUUCUAGGAAUAAGAUAACAAAUUAUGCCCUUAAAUUAGUGCUCAUGUGCCACCUCCAAUCAGAUGAAUAAUUGCAUUCCCAGAUAAAGGGCCUAAUACGGAGGUUAAACUUAAAGUCGAAGGGAUACCAGUGAAUUUCACCAAUAAAUUCAGCUCCAAAGUACAGGCACAGGAAAAGUGCACACAAAUAUACAUGAAACAAAGAACUAAAAUUCUCUUCUUAUAUUUUUAGAGAGCAACGAAUUUACAAUACGAACGAAACAAACACAAAAUGGUAGUCAAAUAGAAUAGUAGAACGCUCCCUCUCAUACAGCGGAAAAACUAUAAAAUUCCCAAAUUUCAUUUCACUUUCCCAACUAGUAGUCUUUCUAACUGACCAAACCAAGCAUAAAACUAAACUUACAACAACACAAGCAUUCACAUAAGAUAACAGAACCCGAUAUACUUACAGACGAUUCGAGAUAACCAGAGCCGUACGAGCCUCCUCGGGCGAUCCCAUUGUUACAAAUGCCAAACCCCUGUUCCUGGUCUUGUCAUACAUGGCAAGCUUACACCACCACCAAAAUAAAAAAUAAAAAAUAAAUAAAAAAAUAAAAAAAGACAAGAACAAUCAAAACCCAUCAAAUAAAAUCACAAAUUAUUAAUACCCAACAAAAAUAAUUCUCUUUCAAACCAGAGAAAAAUGGAGAAAAAUGACAACCUCAAGGUCGACGACGGUGCCGUACUUCUCGAACACAGAUGGAUGUCUUCCGGGAUGCAAUGCCAAGGAACAUUCUGGCAAGCAGUCUUGUGUUGGAGAACUCUAUGGGCUCCGCUCGAGGACUGGGGUUGCGUCGAGAGCUUGGUCUUGGGCGGCGGCGGAGAAUUGAAGGACGAAAUUCCCGAGCUUUUUGGCCCUGAAGGAGGAGGAACGAGUGGGUUUGGGGGAGAGAGAGAGGGGGAGGAAAGAGAGGUGGAGAGAGAACGAGUGGUCGGAGUGUGCUUGGAGAGGCGUCGUGGGUUUUGGAGAGAGAGGGGAGGUGUGAGAGGGAGAACUUGUUCAGUGGGGAAAGAGAGAUGACGAAGUAAAGCCAUUGCUGUUGAGCUUUGUUGUCCAUGAAGUCUGAAGUUUCAAGUAGGGGGCGGGGAAAGACAUCUCUUCCACUAUCAGAUUAAAUCAUCCAGAUAUUUGAAAUUUUAUCUAAUGGUAAAAAAAUUAUUAUAGCUUUUAAAUGAUCAAAUCAGGUGGGGUAUAGCUUUUAAAGAAUAAAAACAGGUGGACCGUUGAAUAAAAUUUCAAUAACUCAGAUCACUUGAUUCGAUCAUCUUGAACCUUGAUGAAAGAGAUCCGAGUGUGGGAGUUUGAAGUUUCAAGUAGGGUGUCAAACAUCAUGAUAAGGAGGCUAAAUUUUUAAAUUAAAUUUGAAAAUUAUAUAAUAUGUCAUAAAUAAGAAAUGAAAAAUUUUAUUUGGAUCCAAUUAUCUUAGUCUACACCCAACUAAAAGAUUUUAUCCACUAAACUUUCAAGUUUAACCUUAAAUAAAUAAAUAAGAAAAUAAAAAUAGAUGUAAAAAUUUUAUUUGCAGCUUCUACUUAUUUUCUUUUUUGGGUUCUCCAAAUUGUACCGUGGAUGAAACUACUUUUACACGAAUUGGAUUUCGAUUAUAUUACUGGAUAUGGUAUUGAUAAUUGAUCCUUGAAAAUUCCAAUAAAUAAUCCCAAUUGAAAAUUUUGGAGCCCAUGUUGUUCAUGAUCUUGAUAUAAUUUUUUGCUGUCACUUGGGUGGGUUAGCCGGAAAUAAUGGAGGAGUGCAGCAAUAUUGGGUGCAGAGAUAAAAAGACCAAUAUUUAUUUUUGUAUUCUUAUUUAUUUAAGGGCAAACUUGGAAGUUUAAUAGAUAAAAUGUUUUAGUUGGAUGUAGAGAUAAGACAACAGGGUCCAAAUAAAAUUUCCCAUAAAAAAUAAGCACGUUAAUUGACACUUCAUUAAUAAUUCAUUAAUUAACAACCACAUCAUUUGAUUUACACAAUUUGGUUUAAAAAUUUUGUAACGACCCAUCCCCAAAUCCUAUGGUUUUUAUAAUUUUAAAACGUGAAUUUACGAAAAUACCUUUUGAGGCUAAAACAUUGGCUUUUGUUGACCGUCUUGUUGUGUCGCAUAAGACUCUUUUCCUUGGCAUAUCCUUAUAGUAUUCGUUGCUAUGAACGAGUAGGCACAAGCGGAAUCGAGUUUGGAGUUAGAAUAAAGAUUUUACAAAAUUAGGAAUGAUAUGGGCAUUUCGGUAAUUUUACGUUCCACAAGAUAUUUUCCCGUUUCAUCUUUUCUUGCCUAUUUGGUGAGCCAGUGGGACCCACCCUUGCUUUCCAGCCUCUCUCUUUUUCCCUCAAUUUUCUCUAUUUCCUGCGAACCCUUUCUAUCUCUCUCCUUUAACUUUCAUCCCUCUAUUCCCUCAUAUCUCUCUUGUUCUUUCUAAUCUAUAGACGCCACAGAGGGUGGUUUCGCCACCCUUCGUGUCGAGCCCGACACAACCACCAUCUCAUUCUUUCUUGGUACUGUGGCACUACCACUGUGCUUGUGUUCUCCAGCGAGUUCCACCAUCUACGGCGAAGGUAAACCCCUUAGAAUGUUUUAGAUCAUGUUGUAGUGUUAGAUUAGGAUAGUUUUAGGUGCUGACCACACGUGGAUGCAAGGAAAACCUAAUGGGAGGCAUUGUGCAUUUUCUAGAAAUCCCAAACCGUUGCCAUUUAGCCACUUUUUUGGCCAGCUCCGACCUCCGUCGAGCCUCGAAAGGGUAUAUAUUGCUUCCCUAGGACCUUGAAUUACUCAAUUUGGUGUUGUAUUAAGCUCGGAAUGAGCUCCGGAAGUUAGCAUUUCCACCUACAAAAUCUGCAGGUUUUGUAGAGAAUGCGACGAUAGUGUACUUGCAGGCGUGUAGUGCUGCAAUUCCCGGUGCCUGGAGCACACGCGCCUUUACAAGAGGUACUAUGCUCCGCCGUUGUCCACGGUCCCGACCACGGUGGCGUUGACAACUUUUCCGACCCACUUUCCAACGACUCAACUCGAUACGUGGCGGUGCUUGGGGGAACCCGAGGUCCCUCCUUAGGUUUUUUGACAUCCCGAAUCAGACGUCUGUUUUCCCAAAUUCAAUCGUCUUAGUAAGGUUUCACUAAUUGGUCCUUUUAUGUGCCUAGGGUGCGUUUAUUAGUGGUGAUCAUGUCCUCUCUAGCUCAAACUGCUUUUUAGCGACAGAGCAUCUGUGAGUGGACCCCUUCUUAAAUUGCAUGAUUUUUAUUAAAUGCUAGGCUUGCAUUCAUGAAAAGCUUGAUUUGAUGAUUCAUCAAAUUUACAUUUUAUGAAAAUGUUAUGCUUUAUUGAAUUUACGUUUACGAAAGAUUUACAAACCAUGACUUUUUACGCCUUACAAUAUAUGAUGGUUUAUGAGAUGAUGAUUUGAGCUAGAACGCUCAUAUGGAUUUAUGAUAUGAUGUUUAUGCUUUGAAGUUUCGAGGUUUGAUAUGAAAAACGUGUUUAUGUUUUCAGUGCUUACUCAGUGGGUAAUCAUACAACAUAUACACACAACAUGAGUAUGUAUUUGUAUAUGGUCAUAGGACAUAGUUGAGGAGCAGUGAGAUAUUUAUGACAUACUCCCAGCUUCACUGACGAAACCAGUGUUGGACAGCUUCACUGGUCAUGGCUAAUGUCGGUGUGUUAUGUAUAUUUCUUCUAUGGCGUAACCCAGAGUCAUACAGCUUCACCCUCGGGUGAUGGAUAGGCCUUCGGGCAAAGAUGAUACACUUAUUUGAGUACUUUAUUGAUCUUAUCGUAUGAACGUUUUCAUAGCAUGUAGAGUUUUUUUUUAGAAAACCUAUUACGUAGUAUUAUAUGAGCUUUUCAAAACAGAGGGUUAGUAUGUUCAAAAGAAAAUUGAUUUUACUUAUUAUUAUUAUUAUUAACUUUGGUCUACUCACGCUUUGUUUUGUGCUCCCUUCAGGAUUUAGAAUCAAGACGUACAAUUUCGGCGUCAGGGCACUCCCGCAUAGAUAUAUUUGAUCCUUCUCAGUGUAGGACCCAUUCCUUUCUACAUACCUUUUUAUUAUGAUUAGUUGUAUGCUCUGAACACGUUUCUACAUUUGUUUACUUCUUUAUAUUUACACAUUCAUUUACCAUUAUCACUUACGUGCAUAUUAAAAUGGCUUCGUCACUCUCGGGUGUUGGCCAACACGUACCCACCUUGGUAUUUGGGAAUACCGUGGUUGAGGCGUGUCAAAUUUGGUCUCCCUAACAUCACCCGGUGUUAAGUGGGAGACUAGCAACAAAGGAGAUUUGGAAUAAAAUUGGCUAUAGCAGUGUGAUUUAGAAGUUUGGAUUAUUUUUCGUAAUUUAGAUGAAAUGCAAUUAUUACUUGUUGUGAACAUUCCUAGUUUAAGUGUGAUUGUGUAAAUCAUAGAUUAGAUUUGAUUCUAGUUAUCAUUUCCUAUUAUAUCUUGUAUUCCUUGGGGAUGAAGGCAUAUCUUCUCUCCUUAUAUUACUAUAAAUAAAGGCACAAUGUAUGAGGGAUAACAACACACACAUUCCCCUACAAUUUUACAAACACAUAUAUCUCUCUUCCUCUCCUUGUUGUCAACCACCCUAAACUUGUCAGAUAAAAUAGACCACAAUACGUUAUCAGCACGCUCCUAUCGCUGCGCUUAGGAAUCUGACGUAGAGAAUUUUUCUGCAACAAACCAGUUCAUCCAUAUCAUCACGUAAUUAGGUUCUUUCAAAACAACGGUUUUUAUCUCGAUAUUUUUGCAGCCCUGAUAGCAUGAACAUUCACCAUGAUGCAUGACCCAACUUUACGUUUUACGAAUUUUAGAUUCUACAUAAAUUGUGUAUGCCUCAUAAUCAUAAUUGUUGAAUUAUGUGAAUUUCAAUUCACAUACUAUUAUUUUUGCAUAUGCAUAUUAUUAGAUCAAAUUGAAUUUACGUUGAAUCGAAUUACAUAUGCAUAUAAUUGAAUUGAAUUGAAAAACAAUAAGAAAAAAAACGAAAUUGGGAAUCAUGGCCUGGGUUCUUCGAACCCAUGACCUCAAGCAUUCGCCCAAGCCUGCAGCUUACGGCCGAACCGUGCUGUAACAGACCGUCCCAAAUUUUACGUUUUUAUUAACUUUAAAAGCGUGAAUUCACGAAAAUGCCCUAGAGGCAAGGACUUUGACUUCCGUCGACCAUCGGUUGGAGAAACAUAUGAUUUAUUCUUUUAGUAUAUCCUCGUAGUACUCGUCGGUAUGGACGUGUGGGGGCAAACGGGACGUGAUUUGGAGCUAUAGAACGUUUGAAGUUUGGGGCAUAUUAAUAAUUUGGUUAUUAUUAGAAAACUCUAAAAACAUUUAAGUGAAAUCUGGUGUGCCAUGUGGGUGGCCUAGAUUUAAAGACAAGGAUACAGAUGGUUGUGAUGGAAAGGCAAGAAGAGAGAUGAGAGAUAAGUGGAGCAAUAAGGAGAAGAGAGAGAAGGGUGGACCAAUGAGGGAGGAGAGAAAUGAGAGAAAGGAGAGAAGAAGAAGAGGAGGGAACCGGCUAGGUUCACCAUGACCUGUGACCCGACCCGGUUCCAUCUCUCAAUUCCGACCACCAUAGACAGUGAGGUUGGUGUCAAAAUGAUCCUUAGCUGGAGGCCAUUUGAUAAUUCUUCCUAUUUCACCCAAAAAAUCAAGGGAUUUGGCAUUAAUUUCACAAAACCCUCACGGUGGGGUGCGACGGUUUUGGGUUCGAACCACACAAUUCCAAAGUUAACCACAUCCAUCACCACCACCCAUAGCAUCCUCUUGAGGCCUAAAAUAAAGCCCAAAUAAGUUUGGGGGUGGCGGAGUUGUAUUGGAGUCGGAUCGAACACACCCAAAUUCAAGGGUUUCGUACGGUUUUAGUAGAAUUGAAGCUUUUCUAGGUCAAAUUGGCCUUAGUCAUAGAUCGAUUCUUCUUGUCGAUUAGAUAAAUUUUCAUGUUUGGAUCGUGUGAUUUGGUUGAAAAAUAAGAAAGUUAUAACGAUUUAAAGUUUGCCCAGUUUCCAGCGACCUCCGCCACUUUCGAGGUAUUUUUCGGCCAAACCAUGGUGAGUUAGCCUUCAAAAAAGGUAUCAAUCUCUUCCUCUCGUCAAAACUAAGAUUUACAUUUUUGAAUCACUUGAUUUCGUGGAGUAUUGACAAAGUUAUGGACGUUGAAAGGUUGCCCAGAAAUUCCGGCGAGUUACCAGUUUUUCCGCGGACAGCUGUCUUUCAGACCAUUUUCCGGACACCUCUGGCCACCAUUUGGACUCCAAGCUGAUAUAAUUUGUUCUACAUUCUUCUAGCUUCGAUUUGGUAUAUCAUGGGUUGAAUUUGGUUGAGAAACAAGUGAGAUAUGGAGUUCUAAAGAUUGCCUGGAAAUAUGUGAAAUCUGCAGAAUCCAGCGAAGUUCUAUUAUCCACCACUUGAUUAGAAUAGUAAUCGACGAUCCGACCGUUGGAUCGUCACCAAACUUUGUUACAUUGUAUUAUGUAAUAUUUUAAGAUGUAGGAAUUUACGGAUUGGUAAUCCGAAAUACGGAUCUUCCCGAAUUGGAUUUGUAAGUCCAUAAAAUAGAAUGUUAACCGCCACUUGGUUUUGGAAAUUGGCGGAGAUCCAACAGUUGGAUCGUAAUGAAAUUUUAAUAUGUUAUUUUAGAAAUAUAAUUUGGAUCUUUGGAAGUUGCGGAUUGAAAAUCUGAAAUGCGGAUCUUCCGGAUCGAGUUAUACAAGAUUGUAGACCCUACGGUCGAUCAUAGAUCGACGGUUGAUUGAUGGUCAAUGAGUCUCAAACUAUUUUAGAAUGUCCUUGAUGAUGUAUUUUAUGUGAAUUACGUAGUCUAUUGAUAAAAGUUCUGAGAUGUGAUUCAAUAAUUGUUCUAGGCGCCAUUCAUUAGGGACGCCUCGAUGCGCGUGCUAGAGAAUCAUAGCGUGGACUCCAGGUGAGUGGGUCUUUUCCUUUUAUUAUAGGCAUAUAAUUGAUAGUUCCACAAACAUUGAUUUAUGCAUGUUACCUACAAUUAAUUAUUGUGAACUACGAAUGGAUUGAUCCUUGUUUAGGAUAUAUGUAGGUGGUCUAACGAGACGUUAGAUGCAGCCAUACAAUAAGUGAGAUUAAAUAAUCGAGACAAAAGCUUUGUUUGGGAAAAUGAGCAAUGUGAAGGAAUCUGGUGAAAAAACAUGAGAUUUAACCCUAUGUUUUGGGUGAAUAAAUGUUGGUUAUAAAUCAACAUGCGAGGAAACGAGAAAUUGUGGUUUUAUGUUUUAUAAAUGCCAUGCCAUAAUUAGUUUACAUUUUAGUAUGUGAUUUAGUACAACCUUGCACAGUGUUGCUCACCAAUGCGGAGGCUAAGGUAAGUUCAGGUGAGUAUAUAAUGUUGGUAUGAUUGAUGAGAUAUGAAUAAGUCGUACAGGUCACUAUAGGUGACUCCGACUUAUAUGCUAGUCAUGAUUGAUGAGAUAUGAAUAAGUCGUACAGGUCAUUACAGGUGACUUCGACUUAUAUGCUAGCCAUGGGAUAUGUGAUGAGAUAUGAAUAAGUCGUACAAGUCACUACAAGUGACUCUGACUUAUAUGCUAACUAUGAUUGAUGAGAUAUGUGAUGAGAUAUGUGAUGAGAUAUGAAUAAGUCGUACAUGUCAUGUAGCCAUGAUUGAUGAGAUAUGUGAUGAGAUAUGAAUGAGUCGUACAGGUCACUACAUAUGACUCCGACUUAUAUGCUAGCUAUGAUUGAUGAGAUAUGUGAUGAGAUAUGAAUAAGUCGUAUAAGUCACUACAGGUGACUCCGACUUAUAUGCUAGGCAUGAUUGAUGAGAUAUGUGAUGAGAUAUGAAUAAGUCGUAUAGGCCACUAUAGGUGACUCUAGCUUGUGUGCUAAUAUGGUUUAUUAAGCACAUGAUUAUUUAUAUUGCUAAUGAGUUGCUAAGUAGUAUUAUACUUCGGGGUUUACCGUUAGUAUAUUUUUUACUUCAUACUUCUACAUAGUAUGAUUUGCUGGAAACUAUACAGGUUUUACGGCGAGGGGUUACUACCUUUGAUAAUGGAAAUGACUUUGAAAAUCUUUGUUUUGACCACUCAUAUUUUUUAUUUUUGCACCCCUCCAGAUUCUAGUAGCAAGGUUUCCAUAUCGACGAGGAUUCGUGGCACUUCCUAGUACAUGUGGCUUCUUUUGAUGGUAUAGUCAUUAUCUUACCUUACUGUACUUUACUUAUGCUCUGUAUCACGCGUGAAAUGGGUCCAGACCUGCUCACCGCGCACUCGUGUACUUAGGUACUUUUAGAUUUUAAUUUAUUCACAUUUUAUACAUUAUCACACUAUAUGGCUUCGUCACCUUCUAGGUGUCGGACAACACAACUCGGUUCGGGAUCCUAGUGGACAUUCCAGGUCGGGGUGUGUCACCUGCCAAAGCCGUGAGAUCCAGGUGCCAACUGAUGCGAAAAUUAACUUAACACACAAAUUUAACCUUUUUUUGACAACUGUAGUAUAAGUAUAAGUAGGGAUCGUUCUGGACCGGGGAUUAGGAGGGCUUGCUAAUAACCUCUAAAUUGACUCAAAAACAUAAAACUAAACUUAAAAAUACUUAACAAGACUCACAAGACUCAAAUCAAACUUAAAAUACUCAAAACAGCUUAAAACAACUAAAUAAACUUAAACUAGACACUAGGAAUGACUUUGGACUAAAAUUGACUUUUACUUGAAUCAAAACAUUUAAAAACACAAAUUAAAACAUAUUCUAACUAAUUAGACACACUAAAGUAAAGGGGGAUUGAGUUUUGGACGAAGUUGAAACAAACAAACAAGUAUGAAAAACUAGACAGAUUGUAAAACAAAUUUGAGAAAUAAGAUGAUGGAUGUGAUAGCUAGAGGCUUUUUCUCCACACAUGACAUGUAUGCAAAUAACUCAAUUUCCAGUUACUACUUCAUUGAAUUAUGAACGACAAUGCUCCAAAUUAACCGUGACAUCAUUAGUUAACUCUCAUAUUUUCCUUGUUUUAUUGGAUUGGAUGACAUCAUUCGACAACCCAAAACAUUCUUCUAAAGUUCCCUACAUGAUAUCAUAAUAAAGAUACAAUCAAAUAUCAUUACGUUUAAUGAAAAUCAAAAGCAUUGACAAAGCACUUACAACUAUGACAUCAUGUCACUCAUGCUAGGAAUUGAACUUAACGCGAUCGUUUAUAAGUGACCUUCACUACAUGUGAAUAUAAGUUUGUAACGAUUAUGUGAAACUUCCUUAUAUUCUAGCAGCAGAUUUAUGCAUGCCAAUUAAGUGUCGACCCUUAAUUAACAAAUACAAAUAAGUUAUCAAUCAAAUAGUUAAGCCAAUUGCAUUCACGAUUCAAGAGUUCAUAACUGGAAUUUAUCAAAUUAUAUUGCACACAUAAUCAUGGCUUUGAAAUCACCCCUAGCCAAAAGGGGUUUAGCCACUCAUAUUUACAACAAAACGAAAGGAAAUGAAUUUAAACAUUAGAAACAAAAGAAAGAAAACAUCUAAACGCUCAAACGAUCCAAGUUGGACAACAAGCACGUACAAGCACUUUCAUUCCCUUCCUUUGCUACGGCACAAGGUGUUGGUGAGUGUUUGAAGGUUUGUUUGUAUGGAGGAAUGAAUGUGUUUGGAUGAAGGUUGUGUUGAAAUGGGAGUGAAUGAUCUAACCAAGUAUGAACUAAAUUUAUGUUACACACACUUCCUUUUAUAGAGGAAAUGCAUGGCAAUGGAGGGGAACAUGGAGUGGUGUAGCAAUUGAGUGCAAUGAUGCAUGAAAUUUGAAAUGAUGGAGGGAACAAGGAAUUGUGUAGCAAUUGAGUGCAAUUAUUCAAUGUAGUGAUGCAUGAAAUCUGAAAUGAUGGAGGGAACAAGGAAUGGUGUAGCAAUUGAGUUAUGAAAUGAUGGAGGGAACAAGGAAUGGUGUAGCAAUUGAGUGCAAUGAUUCAAUGUAAUGAUGCAUGAAUCUGAAAUGAUGGAGGGAACAAGGAAUGGUGUAGCAAUUGAGUACAAUGAGUGGUGUUUGAAAUGAUUCAAAGGUGAAAGUGAAGCGAUGAUGCAAAGCAUGGGGGUAAAAUGGAGUGGUGUUGCAGCUAGGGAACAUGAAUGAUUGUGCACAUGGUAGAGAAAGGAAAGGGAGGUGGAAUGAUGCAACAAAUGAGUCAAUGGAGUGAACAUGGAUGAGGAUGUAUGACAUAGGAAUCCAAAGGGAGUGCAAUGGUGGUGCACGACAAUGAUGGAAAGGUGAAUGGUGGAGUGACACCCCUUUGUGGCUGAGCUCUUUGUCCUUUUACAUUAAUUCUUCUUUCUCUUUAACACAUGUCUAGCCUCUUUAGUCUUCAAUUUCGUCCAUCCACCUUGCUCCAUGCAUGUGCUAUUCAUUCCAAGCACAAAACUGCUCCAAAAUGCACCAAAAUGCAUCUUAUUGCUUCAUAAGGGUUAUGGACCUACAAACACACGAAAAUAGCUUAAAAUACAUAAUUAACUAAGAAAUAACAACAUAAAUGCAUGAGAACAAGCUAACUCAGUCGCAUAAAUAUGCUCCUAUCACCAACCUAGAAAACCCGACCUCAUCGAUGGUGUCCUUGUCCAUAUUGACCACAUGAUGGCCUAUAGCCACCACCCUGAACAUUUUGUUCAUCAUGACAAUGACCAGAAGUCGUCUCACACCGAAAUUGUACUGAGAUUCAUCAGAAUUGUCCUAUAAACCCGAUUAGAAUUUCUAGGGUUUCACAACAAAUGUCGAGAUUUUUUUUCAAAUCUACAUUCUUAUUCUGAGGUCUUUGGCGACUCACGGACUCGUACUAAGCAUCAUUGUCCCAACGUCGACCGCCUGACGUGGCGCCGUCGACCAAAACCCGGUGUUCUUCCCCGGCAGUACACACCCAGCACGGCUAGGUUUGUGAUCGAAGACCUUUCUUUUUUGGGUUUGAACCCUCCACUACUUGUUUUUCUUUCCUACUUAGGCUCACUUGCCGUGACCCAAAAAUCCUUUGGGCCCACCUAUCUUAGCCCAUUCCCCUGGCCUGAAAAAAAAAGGAAAAAAAAAAAAAAUUGGGCUUGCUUGAAGCAGCCCGUAUUAGUUUUUUUUUUUUAAUUUUGGGCCUGCCUACAGCAGCCCAUCUUCUUGGGCCGUUUUGUUUCCCUCUCCCCAUGGGCCUGCAGCUUACCCGAGACCCCACAACCUAUUUUUUUGGCCUAGGUCUCACAUAACAAUUUUUUUUCAAGCCACCUGUGGCUUAGUUUUUUCCUUUUGGCCCCAAGUUAUAUUUGCCUAAUUAUUUUAGGCCCAAUGGGUUCUAUAUACUUUUCACCCACACUUUAAUUUGGCCGAAAGUCCAAAUAAUUAAAAUUCAAUUAUAAUUAUAAACAUGAAAUUAUAUUUUUUGCAUAUUCUCGUUGCAUAUUUGUUUGCAUAUAUAUUUGUGUUUACCUGCAUGAAUAUAUGAACCUGAAGUUCAUAAUUAUUUUGAAACCUGAAGUUUCUUAUAAACAUGCCUUAUUUGAAAACCUGAAGUUUUUCAUUUAAACACAUCACCCAUGAAAACCCAAAGUUUUUCUUGCAAAAUUAAACCAAAUCAUGUUUAUUAGAACCUGUAUGUUCUACUCAUACGUGAAUGGAUUGAUUUUUUCUCCAUUACACUAACCACAUCUUGUCCAUCUAUUUUGUGAUAGGAACAUGUUGAAUUUGAACAAACUCGAUUUCACCGCUUUAGAGGUCUCUGGAAUGAACUACCUCAAGUGGGUCCAAGAUGUGAAGCUCCACCUCACUGAAAAGAACUUGUGUACUGCCAUUAAAGAAGCAAUGGACGAGACUAUUGGCGAAGCUGAAAAAGCCACUGCUAUGAUCUUCAUCCGAAGACAUAUUCAUAACGCUCUGCAAACUGAAUAUCUUGUUAAGGAGGAUCUACGUGCAUUAUGGGUCGCUUUGGCUGAUCAUUUUAAUCACCAAAAAGACAUAUUAUUGCCUGAAGCAAGACACGACUGGCAACACUUGCGCUUCCAAGACUUUAAGUCUAUGAAUGAAUAUAAUUAUGAAGUUUGUCAAAUCCGAUCACUUCUCAAGUUUUGCAAUGAAACUUUGACUGAAGAGGAUCUUCUGGAGAAUACCUAUAAAACAUUUUCUGCUUUUAAUAUUGUCUUGGAACAACAAUAUAGAGCUCAGAAGUUCACUAAGUUCUCGGAUUUGAUCUCUAUUUUACUUCUAGCUGAAAAGCAGAACCAGCUGUUGAUGAAGAAUCAUCAAGCUCGACCUACUGGGGCAACUGUUAUGCUUGAAGCACAUUAUAGCAAUAACCAACGCCCAAAACGCCAAAGGGAGCGUUGUAGGGGCAGCCAAAAGCCAUCCUACCAAGGUUAACAGGGUUAAGGCCCAUCCAAGGGAGGAAACAAAGCCUAUAAGCACCCAAACCUCGCUCCCAAGGCCUCAAACUUCAAUAACAAGGGCAAAGCACCUAAAACCAUGGAUGCGGACAUGUGCUAUCGUUGUGGUUCAAAGGACCAUUGGUCAUGUGUUUGCCGAGCUCCUAAAAAGGUUGUAGAUGAAUAUCAUUCUCAUCAUAAGAAGUUUGAAUCAAACUUCAUGCAAAUGGACGAAUCAGAGACUACAAAUAUGAAGGUUUCUGAUUUUCAGGAGGAUACCACCCCUAUGGAAUAUUAGAAUCUUAGACAUAGACUUAUUUUUAGUUGAAAUAAGACAUUUGAGACCGAAUUCCACCUAGUGGCCAAACCCAUCCUUUGUUUUUGGUUGAUUUUUGAACAAUUUUCCUUUAUAUUUGGAUUAUUAGUUGGUGAUUUGUUUUGGAUAUUAAGUUUUUAAUCCUUGAAUAAAUGAAAUUAUUUUGAAUUGAUACUUGUUUUUUAUAAAACUUUUAUGCGUGUGAUCGACUUAAAUUAAUUUCUCAUUCUAGGUAUGACAAGUGGGAAAGUUAGUUGUCUGGCAAAUAGUGUAACCACACACAUAGUUUUGCGUGAACACAUCUAUUUCACUAACUUCAUACCUAAGAAUGCACAUUUGAUAACCCUCUCAGGCCCAUCCAACCUGAUAGAAGGAUAUGGUAAGACACGUAUAAUGUUUGUCUAAUGGUACAAUCUUGACCAUUUCUAAGGCACUCUAUUCUCCACGUUCCGGAAUGACGUUGUUAAGUUUCAAGGACAUUAGAGAUAACAAUUACCACGCUGAAACCCACGUAGAAAAUGGAGUUGAAUUUAUGUGCAUAACUUCGUACGAAUAUGGCUAGAAUCGUAUUCUAGAGAAGAUGAAGUGUAUCCCGAUUGGUCUGUAUACUAAGACCAUACGUCCCAUAGAAUGCCAUUAUGUGGACGACCCUACUACUGGGACCGUGCAUGAAAUUACGCUUUGGCAUGAUUGUUUGGGACAUCCUGGACGAAUAGCGAUGCGUCGUAUCCUCAAAUCUUCACACGGGCAUCCACUAACCCGAAGUUUAGGUUCGAUCCAAGGAAUCGUAUGUCAAACAUAUUCAAUGGAAAAACUUAUUACUAAGCCUUCUUAUGACAAGAUUCGUUCGAAUCCUCCCAUUUUUUUACAACAGAUUCAGGGGGCAUUUAUGGACCAAUUCACCCUCCAUGCGAACCAUUUAGAUACUUUAUGGUUUUGGUUGACGCUUCCACACGUUGGUCACACGUGUGUUUGUUUUCCACAAGGAACGCUGCAUUCUCCAAACUGUUGGCUCAGGUUAUCAAGCUCAUGGCUCACCACCCUGAUUAUCCGAUCAAAUCUAUUCAAUUGGAUAAUGCUGGAUAAUUCACAUCUAAAACUUUUGAUGACUAUUGCAUGUCGAUUGGGGCUGAAGUUGAACAUCAUGAACCCUAUGUUCACACCCAUAACGGCUUGGCAGAGGCUUUCAUUAAGCACUUACAAAUGAUUGCUCAAUCGUUGGUCAUACGUACCAAGCUUCCGAUCGCUGCUUAGGGCUAUGCAAUAUUGCACGUAGCAAAGUUGGUUCGCCUGAGGCCUGUUGCGACAUAACCAUUUAGUGCCCUUUAGUUGGUUACCGGAUAUGAACUCGACAUAUCGCAUUUGCGAGUUUUUGGUUGUGCGGUUUAUGUGUCGAUCUUGCCGCCCUUACAUACAAAAAUGGGGCCUCAGUGAAGGAUGGGAAUCUAUGUCGGAUAUGAUUCCCUUCGAUUAUUCGUUACUUAGAACCUUUGACAGGCGAUCUGUUUACCGCUUAUUUCACGGAUUGUCACUUCUAUGAGACAAUUUUCUUGUCAUUAGGGGGAGAUAAAAAUGUUAACGUUCCUGAAGAACAACGCGAAUUAUAAUGGACGACUCCCACUUUGUCUCAUUUAGAUCCCUGGACCGCUCAAUCUAAAAUUGAAGUGUAGCGCAUAUUAGAUCUUCAGAGCAUAGCUAAGAGCAUACCAAAUGCUUUCACCAAUCUAGCGCGUGUGACAAGAUCACAUAUUCCAGCUGCGAAUACACCUGCAAAGAUGAAUGUACCAAAUGUAUGACAGAUUGCCCUCAUGGAAGCCUGGGACGCCAAUCUUGGUGAUCCACGUACAUUAGCGGCUAUCCAAUCAUCUGCCUCUACACAAAAGCGUGGCAGACCCCUUGGUUCAAAGAAUUCACACUCCAGAAGAGGAAAACCAAGGCACAAGGUUCUAAAGAGCCUACCGUGAAUCCGACUAUUGCUUACUUAUUAUACCCAACUCAUGAGGAAAUUCUAGAUUAUGGAAGAGUCCUUAAAGAGACGAAUCCUCCUCUCGAGAAUCGUGAGAUUUUGGUCUAUUAUGCUAGCUUAGAUGAUGUGUGAUGUAGAAAUGAGAUGAUUGUCGACGAUGCAUUAACACUUGCAGUAACUACUGAGAUUAUGUUGAGCGAUGACAUUAAACAUCUUUCCGUUGAUGAAUGUCGACGUAGAACUGAUUGGUCAAAUUGGAAACAAGAAAUCCAAGUAGAACUCGAUUCGUUUGCGAAAUGUAAGGUAUUUGGACCGAUAGCUCCUACUCUUUCACAUGUGAAGCCCGUUGGCUACAAAUGGGUUUUCGUUCAGAAGUGUAAUGAGAAGAACGAAAUUGUGCGUUACAAAGCUCGUCUUGUUGCACAAGGUUUCUCACAACGCCCUGAGAUUGACUAUGAUGAAACUUAUUCACCCGUUAUGAAUGUGAUUACUUUUCACUACCUUAUCAGUUUGGUAGUUUUCGAAAAACUGGAUAUGCAGCUGAUGGACGUAGUAACUGCGUAUCUCUAUGGGGAUCUUGAUACGAAAAUCUAUAUGAAAGUUCCUGAAGGACUUACAUUGAUUGGUUCAAAUAUUUCCAAACCCCGGAACACGCUUUCAAUUCGGCUGAUGUGUUCACUAUACAGUUUGAAAUAAUCUAGAAGAAUGUGGUAUAACUGUUUGAGUGCAUACUUGACUAGUCAGGGAUAUGUGAACAGCGAACUCUGCCUUUGUGUGUUCAUUAAGAAGUCACAUUCCGGAUUUGCGAUAGUUGCAGUAUAUGUCAAUGACAUGAAUCUUAUCAGAACUCCUAAAGAGCUCGCGAGAACCGCUGCUCACCUGAAGUCAGAAUUUGAGAUGAAAGAUCUAGGUAAGACUCGAUACUGUCUCGGUCUCUAAAUAGAGUAUUGUUCGGAUGAAAUCCUAAUACAUCAAUCGAACUACACCUAGAAGGUAUUGCACCACUUUAAUGAAGAUAAAGCGAAGUCUUCGAGUACUCCUAUGGUCUUUCGUUCGCUAGAUGCAAAACGAGAUCUCUUCCGUCCGAAGGAGGAUGAUGAAGAGAUUUUGGAGCCUAAAGUUCCUUAUCUAAGUGUGAUAGGCGCUUUAUUGUACUUAGCUCAAUGCACUAAACCCGACAUCUCCUUCGUUGUUAAUCUUUUGGCAAGAUACAGUAAUGCACCAACACCCAGACACUGGACUAGCGUGAAAGACAUCUUCCGUUACCUUAAGGGUACUACGGAUUUGGGCUUGUUCUAUCCCUAUGAAUCCUCGAAUGGUGCCUCACCUUAUGCUCCUCGAGUUGAUUCUCGCCUUGUUGGUUAUGCCAACACAUGAUACUUAUCUGAUCUGCACAAGGCGUGCUCUCAAACGGGUUAUGUCUUUACCGUUAGAAGCAUCACAAUAUCUUGGAGGUCAACUAAACCGAUCUUAGUUGCCACUUUGUCUAACCAUGCUGAAAUUCUCACCUUACAUGAAGCAACUCGGGAAUGCUUUUGGUUGAAAGUAGUAAUGGGCCAUAUUCAAAGCUCAUGCGAUCUUUAUCCUGCCGUUGAUGUCCCGACGACGAUCUUUGAAGACUACACAACUUGCAUCGAACAUCUUAAGAAAGGUUAUAUCAAAUGAGACAACACCAAGGACAUUGCGUCAAAGUUUUUCUUUUCACAUCAACAACAAGAGCAUCAGAAGAUUGAAGUCACGCAAAUUUGUUCACAAGACAAUCUGGCCGACCUCUUCAUCAAAUCACUGCCGAAGACGACGUUUCAGAAGCUUGUUCAUGGAAUUGGUAUGCGUAAACUUUCUAAGUUGUAACUUUGCUAUUUCUUUUUGGAAUUAUGUCAAACUCAGGGGGAGUAUCUUGUAGAUACUUGCUUGAUCUUAAUGUACUUUUUUCCCUAUGAUUAGGAGCAUUUUUCCCACUGGGUUUUUGCUACCUAAUUAGGUUUUAACGAGGCACACACCUUGGGCUGGUCAUAUCCCUGAUGACGUCCCGUAGACGUUUAUUUGACUUUUGCAUUUCUCACGCAUUUUUUCUUAGAUUAUGGAUUUUGUCCCUACUCGGGUUUUUGCCAUAGCCUUAGGGUUUUUUUAGUGAGACUUACUACUUAUGCAAGUUUUUACCUUAUUGAGAAUAAGUGUUGUUCUUUAGAAUCAAUGCGAAUGAGUCGACUUCCUCAACUUCUGUAUGAUGCUAAAUCUACCUUGAGUAUUUACACACUCAAGGGGGAAUGUUGGAAACAUUCAUAGUUUAAGUGUGAUUGUGUAAAUCCUAAAUUAGAUUUGAUUCUAGUUAUCAUUUCCUAUUGUAUCUUGUAUUCCUUGCGGAUGAACGAAUAUCUUCUCUCAUUAUAUUACUAUAAAUAAAGGAAAAAUGUAGGAGGGAUAACAACACACAUAUUUCUCUACAUUUCAACAAAUACAUCUCUCUCUCUUCUUAUCCUUGCCGCCGGCCACCCUAAAUUUAUCAGAUAAAAUAGACCACAACAUUACUUUUUUUUUACUUGAACUAGGGUGGAUUCAAAAAAUAAAUUGAACUAAAGUAGAAUAAAAAUGAAUAAAAAAAUCAAAUUGAAAUAGAAAUCCGAACCGAAUUGAAGUACUCAAGUUUCGAUUUCAGCAAUUUGAAAGCUGAACCAAAUUGUCUUAAAACAACGUCGUUCUACAAGUUUUCUUAUAAGGCUAUGUGCUUAAACCCAAAAUUAAUAAACUUUUUUAUCUAUGGCAAUAAACCUUUUUAUUUAAUUUCAUAAAGGCUCACAUCUAAAUACCUCCGAGUAUGGCGCGACAUCAGUGCUUACGUUCUGCAUUGUACAUGAUUGUCUUGUCAGCAAGGUUCUAAAAGACGCUAGCGCUAGUCGGGCGGCGGGCUGGAGCCUAGCACUUUAGCAGUUUGGCGGGGCCUAGGAGAAUUUAAGUAAAUUUAUUAUAUUUCGUGUAAAUAAGUGUUUUUCUACAUAAAAUAUAUGUAAUUACAUCAUAAACUACAAAAUAGAAUGACAUAUAUAUUAUGAAGUAUUGGAAUAUAAUUAAAACAUGGGGAACAAGCAUAUAAUAUGUGUCAUUUAAGCAUUUAACAAGUCUCUUACAAUUUACUGAAAAAAAAUAAAAUGCAAUAUGGAAGUUAUCUAUUUUCUGUCUAAGUAAGUCGCAACCUAGAUGGAUCUGGGAGGGUUAGGCGGGUGCCUAGGCGGUUUAGGCUGACGCCUCAGCAGGUCUAGGGCCCUUUCUUAAUUUCCAAACGCCUAUGCAUUAAUUGGAGCAGUGACCAACCGCUUAGUGUCGAGACGGGGCCUAGGAGGCGCUAAGCGGGGAUUUUUAGAAUAAUAGUUGAACCGCUUCUUGAUCAUAAAACUCUUGUGCGACGGUAUUUUUGCAGACUUGGAGAACCCCUACGAAGUUUACAGCACAUACUUCUCUCAUCCUCCUUGCUAUGAUUUUUCAUAUUUUAUUUUUUAUUUUUUUAACCAAUUUUCAAAUUUGUUAAAAAAUAUCUGACUCGAAAAAAUAGAACUGGAAACAAACCCCAAAAAAAAAAAAAAAAACUGAAGAAAACAAAAUCGAACCAAACCAAAAAAUAAUUUCCAUUUGGUUUUUCGGUUUUGGCAAACAACCGAACCGAAUGAACCAAAUCCACCCUUAACUUUAACAUUAAAUUUCUUAGGCGUUCAUAAAAGCCGAAUUUUCAUGUCUUUCGACAUAUAACGAUAGUGUGUUCGGUCUUAAAGGGUGUGCCAAUAGAUGUUAGUCUCAAAAUCUAUCUCAAUUGCAAAGCUGAGGAUUUCGAAAUCUCUUGGUCCUUCAAGUUUGUGUUGCGGGCAUGCUAACUUGCAGCUUGGAGGCCAAUCGAGUAAAAUGUAAUUGGCGCUUUGUUUGACUUCUUUCAAAACCAUUGUGCAUACUGAGGAAGGAACGCAUCUCGGUUGUGCAUCCUUGUGCCUUAUGUGCAAGGACUUUGAUGGGUCUUGUUACAUGAUGUGUGAAUUCGUAUGUUUUUGUGAUAGGCGAGAAAUACAUAAGGUCGAGAUAUUCGCAUGUGAUAGAUACGAUGAAUGUGUAGUGGAUUUGGUUAUCAGGGUGUGGUAGGUGACCUGAGUGCUACGAUGAAUCGUAUAAAUCCAAGCAAACUGGUUGUGGGGAUUGAUUUGAAAAGGAACUCAAAUGUAAACUAUAAUAAUCUAAAUUAAAAUUUGAAGUGCGAGGUGGAAAAUAAAUCGAAAUAUACAAAAUUAAAAUACUGAUAUAGACUUUAAAUUACUGUAUUGAAGUGCAGGGCAAACAUGGAAUUAAAGCGAAUAACAAAAAAUAAUUAAAAAGAUAAAUUUUACCUAGUGUAGAAUGGAAAGCGAGUGAUAUAAUGCAAAAAUAUGGUUCGUGAUGUGAAUUUAAACCAACCUAGUAAAAAGAUUAAUUCAAACUAAAUUUAAUCGCAAGUGCAUGAAUCAAUUAUGGUAGAAAUUUAUAUAUACUACAUCGAAUCCACCGGGGUUGAAUUACCAAUUGAGUCUAUAACUAGUACUUAACAAAUUGAAAUAAAGAUUGGACUUGUAUCAAAGAAAAAUUAAACCUACACAAUGACUAAACAGAAAUAUGGUUGAAACAAAUGUAAGAAAACACUAAGGUUUUGAUUCCACCACUAUUGUCGUACCCUAAUAUCUAAUUGUGAAUUCAUGAAUUAUUAGAUAUUAACAAAAAUAACUUAUGUACACAUGUACGUGGUCAGAUACACAUGUUAAUAAUUUCCCAAAGAGAUGUGAGUUUUACCAUGGUUAGGCUUAAACCCCAGUUAUUCCUACCAUCUAUAUAUCCGUAGUUCGGUAUACACAAACAAGCGAAAAUCCAAUUAAGCACAAUGAGAAACAAAUUAACUACUCAUUAACUUAGUCACGUUAAACAAAUAGCUAAUUUACAAGGAAGUCACACAAACCAAUAUUCAUCUAUGGUCAAAUCAAAAUACAAGUUCAUGAUUCUCAUUCUCAAAGAAUAUAUAGAAUCCAAUUCAUGAUCAGAAAUAAAUUCAUAUGUAACUAAUUUCAAUAUCAAAAUUCUAGGCUAUGGUCAAGCACAAAGAACCAAAUAUCAAUUCAACUGGUGAAUGAAAAUUAAUCACCAAUCUGAAAUCCAUGGAUUGAACAAUUAUAAAACUAGAGUAAUCAUAAUUAAUUCCAAUCUGAUCAAAAGUCAAGAAUGCCCAAUUCAUCUUGCUGUACUCAAAACCAGACGAACUGGAAAUAGAAUUGGUAAAGUAACUUCCCAUCGUUCUCUGCUUUCACUUGACUAAAACUCCAACGGUGGGAUUAUAAAAUUGCAUCCACUCUCACCGCUUAAUUGUCGAUCGGUAGUUUCCAAAAAAAACAAAAAAAAUAGGGUAAAUUACACUUUCAUAUAUCAGGUUUGGGGUAUAUUUCAAUUCCUUACAACAUCUUUAAAACAUUUCACUUUCAUACCUUAAGUACUAUUUUAUUUCAAAAUAAUACAUCCGUUACAUUUUCCAUUCAUUGAUUUGUUAAAUGCUAACGUGGCUGCCGCAUAUAUGUCAUGUGGCCGCCAAAUGUGAAGAAGAAGAAGAAUAAGAGGGAGGAAGAAAAGAAAAAAAAAAUUGAAACGAAACCCACAUCUGUGAUGAGAAGAAGGAGAAGGAGAAAAAGAAGGAAGAGGGAGGAGGGUCGCCGGGCCAAGAGGGGGGGACCGGAGGUGGGUCACUGGCGGGGGGGGGGAACAAAUAUUUUCUUCUUCUUCUUCUUCUCUGUCGCUGGGGUGGGGGGGGGGAGGGAGGAGGGUUGCCGGGCUGAGAAGGGGGACGGGAGGAGGGUCGCUGGGCGGGGGGGGGGACAAAUUUUCUUUUUCUUUUUCUUUCUUUUGGGUCGCUUGGGGGGGGGGGACAAUUUUCUUCUUCUUCUUCUUCUUCUUCUUCUUCUUCUUCUUCUUGUAGAUGUAGGUUUCAAUAUAUUUUUUUUUUUGAGAAAAUUCAGGUUUAAAAAAAAAAAAACUAUUUUAUUUGCCACGUGGCAGAUAUUUGGCAGCCACGCCAGAAUUUAACAGAUCAAUGGAUGAAAAAUGUAACGGAGGUAUUAUUUUGAAAUAAAAUAGUACUUAAGGUAUGAAAGUGAAAUGUUUUAAAAAUGUUAUAAGGAAUUGAAAUAGACCCUAAACCUGAAGUAUGAAAGUGUAAUUUACCAAAAAAAAUUUGUUCGGUUGAAAUCUCUCAUCCGUAAAUAAUAACAAAGCCCACGUCAGCACCAGCACUUGGUUCAAAUAAUUAGAACUCACAUGGCCAAUUGAUCUUGAGCUCAAAAUCAAAUAAUAAUUAAUUAAAUAAAUGAAGGGUAUAAUAUAGUCCUGUUCAGAAUUAUAGUCUUGCAAAAAAAAUAUUUUUAAUGAACAUAGUCAUGCCAUACUCAUAUGUCAUCUUCAAUGUUCAACAAUUUAUUAGUUUUAAGUUUAUACUUUAAAUUUAGUGGUUAAUUAAAUAAAAUUACUGUUGGUUGUUUUCAAAUAUAACCGUUGAGUUUGAAUCAAUUAUUCUAACUGAAAAAUAAAACUCUAAAAAAAGCAAAGAGGGAGCUCCAUUUAGCUAGCCUGAUGCCUCUUUGACAUUUCAAGCUCAAGAUUUGAACUUGGAAACUCUAUUCUUGCUUCAUCAUGGGCACUAAUUUUGUUAACUUUCUCAGACUCCGCUGGACCAUGAACAUGGUAAGAAAAUAAAUUGGCUCCCUUGGAUUAGGACGUGUUCGAACUCGAGUGGCCGACUUGUAAAUUAACUCAAGCUAGCGCACUAACUUGACUUUAACGAGAGAUGACAAAUCUAGGUCCAAACAUUACCCCGAUUCUCAUGAGCCUCGGCUUAGAAUUGCAAGUCUUUCUUACUUGAACCCAAUACGCCUAAUCAUCAAUGCUUCUCAAGUAAUUCAAGUUUCGCCAGCAGCUUGAGCGGAAGCUUCCCCGCAGUGAAGUGACCGUUUUACCCUUUUAAGUCCACGCUUCCCUCAUCGGUCUUCCUUCCUAAAUAUAUUGAUCACUAUUGCAAGUCUUUCUUUAUGUUUUUUAAUUCAACCCAACGACUCCAAUACGCCUAAUUACCAAAGCUUUUAAAUUAAUUAAUAUUUUAAGUUUCCGCAUGAAGAUGCGUGCAGUGCAGCUUGAGAGGAGGCUUCCCCCGCAGGUAUUUAGAAUGCAUCUGUGUGGAAGAUCCAAUGUCUGUUCUGCAUCUUAAUCUGCACGAUUAAAUUCAGUGGUUGUUAAUUUUACAUAUCAUGAUCAAUCCGCUAAUUUUCCAUAUCUCAAGUGUGAAGGGCAAGCAAUUUAAAGUUCCUCCUGUUCAAAUCACCCAGAACCCAGGUUGCUAGCUAGGUUUUGUGUUCAAAUUUCGUUUUUGUUAUUUAUUUCGUUUUCUUUUCGGCGUUUGAAGGCCUCUGUGCUGAGGCUCAGUGAUAGCAGUGGUGAGUUUCUUUUUCAGAGAUUCCUUCUUCCCAGUAAUAUAUCAAUUAUUUAGGUCUGUUAGGGUUUUUUUAUUGCCAAGUUUUAUACAACAUAGUUAGUGAAGACACAGGUAUUUGAGAAAUAUUUAAUGGCAUGGCAGAUAUUUCUCAGCAAAACUGAGAGAGUAGUUAUAUUUUGUUUAAAUAUUUGUAUAGUUUUUGGUAGGGAUUAGCUUUAUGGCACUCCAGAUCUUCAGCGACUGAUCAGAGCCUAUUACCAAUCUGCUGCUACUCUAAACCUUCUCAGGGUGUUCGUCACCGGAACUUACGCAUCUAUGCAGAGGGUAGUGGAACUUGGAUUUUACAGAUCACAGCGAGCAGGGUGAUAGGUUUGUUUCCUCAUUUUUACCAUUUUAGAACUUAGAUUAGUGAUAAAUUAAUUCGAAUCAUGUGGCAUGAACUUAAACCUCUGUUUGGCAAAGUGGGCUCUUUACCCCCAAAGUUGCUUGCUUUUGGUAAUAUUUGGAAUUGUGCUUCUAAGCUGUUUUUCAAGCUUUUGGCCAUACUAAAUGGAGCUAAAUCGAACAGCUCUUUUGCUGCAUUGUAUUUGCUUUCCUAAAUCGAUUUUUUUUUUUUUUUAAAUUGUCAAUGGGUUUUGUAGAUCAAAGUUCUUCAGGAUGAAAAUUAUGUUUCAAAUUGGAUUGCGAUAUGAAUAUUUACACAAUCAAGGUGUUGAAUUCAUCUUUGUUUUGGUGUAUUGUGGUUUUGAAUGUUAUUUAGUGCAUUAUAGCGUCAACUAAAAUGUAGUUUUGUAUAUUUUAAGUACUCAUUUUGAUUUUGAGCAGUAAGAGAGAGAUUUAGCACGUAUUUGAGGAAAUAAGAACAACUUAUUUUGAAAUGGCUAGAGUUUGAGAUUCUCAGAAGGAAGCUCCUAUAAGAUUUUGGUUUUUGGUGUUGAUUCGAAUGAGUUUCAGUUUGAUAUUUAUUAAUUUUUGUUUUGUGGGUAGUAUUUUUCUUCAUGUUGCUAAGAUUUUGGUUCAUGCAGUUUUAAUUAGGAAUCUGAAUAAUCGUUUUAAUUUUGGUUAAUGCAGGAUUAGGAAUUUAGGAUUCCUAUAAGUUUGUGGCGGGAGGGUGGAGUGGUUUCAAGACGACAUCGUUGAUAGUCGAGGCUCAUCUGUGAAAAAUGUAAGAUUUUGUGUGGGUUGUUUUGUUUUGUUAUUCCAAAAGCGUAACACUUCAGAUGCUGUAAGUAUGAGUUAAUCGUUGUAUUUUUAAUUCAAUGUUUUAUUUGUUUGCUUAGUACCCGAGAAGACAAAGGAAAGUAAACAAGGAAAAUUGGAUUUUUAAUUCACUGUUGUAUUUUUAUUCACUGUUUUAUUUGUUUACUAAGCCUGAACUUCACUCUUUUCCAUCUACUUACAAUUGAUUUCAGUUUUUAGGUUCAUGCUGUCACAGCAAUCAUUUACAUGUUUGAAACAUAAGUUUUCAUACAAUUUUUAAUCCCGCAGCAAUGCGCGGGCACCAUUAACUAGUGUUUACUAAGCCUAAACUUCACUUUUUUCCAUCUACUUACAAUUGAUUUCAGUUUUUAGGAUCAUGUUGUCACAACAAUUCCUCCACCACUCUUUAAUCCUCAUUUCUUCCAUGUAUUUCCAUUUCUUCCAUGUAUUUCCAUUGUGUAUCUAACAAAAAAUGAAAACUAAAAACGGAAAGGUUAACAAAUGGGCUCCUACUUAUUCAAACCUGUCCAGUGCACUAUAAAUUUGAUGACUUGCAAUAAGAAACCGAGUAAGUUCUCCUGUCUUUAUGUCUCUCAUUAAGUCCCAAUGAAUCCGACUGCUACCCAUUUGUUUUAAGCAACAAAACAUAGUUAGCUCAGUAGUGGUACCUCACUGGUCAGUACAAUUAACUCCCUAACCUCGCUCUCACACAACAGUUUUCUUUAGUUUUCCAAAUCCUAGCUAUUUUUUGCUCCUUCGUUUCUAAUUAAUAAAUUUCGUUGUUGAUGUUGUACUGUUAUCGAAGAGGCGUUUGCUUUCUCAAAAGUUGGGCUGCUUAGAGAUCACGAGGGUUGAUCUCAGAAAUCGAAGAGGCGUUUGCUUUCUCAAAAGUUGGGCUGCUCAAAGACCACGAAGGCCGAUCUCAGAAAUCGAAGAGGCGCUCGCUUUCUCAAAAGCUGGGCUCCCCAGAGACCACGAGGGCCGAUCUCAGAAAUCGAAGAGGCACCUACUUUUCCAGCCUUGUCAGCACCUGUCACACGCACACUCAGCUUUGCGGAAAUUAUGGGCAUUCUGUCAAAGACUUCUGGGGAAGUAGAAAACACAUGAAUCUUACUGUUCAAUCACCCACUUCCCACACGCAACAAUAGCUCAUGGGCUCAUGGGUACCACAGAUAACUUUGCCAAAGUUCUCUGCCAAAGUUGAGCACGUGAAGCUUGCAGCUCCCACUACAUCGCUCUGACCAAGAAGGGUAAAAGAAUAGCAAAGAAACAGCACUAACAAAGUUUAGACACAUAAAUUUUGAAGGUCUAGCUACCAUAUUAUUACCCACAAGGGUAAAGGAACAGUACCACUGCUGGAUAAUUGGAAAGUCCCUGUGUGUCAACCUCUGUGCUUCGUGGCAAGGUAGACUAGCAAACAUGCCCAACCUUUACUCACAUUCGAGAAAACACUCCCAAUAAGAUUGCUUGCUCCAAAAUCGAAGAGGCACUAUCCUCCGAAUCUAAAGAGCCAGACUCCCAACAUGACUACUUUCUUAAAAAUCGAAGAGAGGGUAAAGGAACAGUACCAUUGCUGGAUAAUUGGAAAGUCCCUGUGUGUCAACCUCUGUGCUUCGUGGCAAGGUAGACUAGCAAACAUGCCCAACCUUUACUCACAUUCGAGAAAACACUCCCAACAAGAUUGCUUGCUCCAAAAUCGAAGAGGCACCGCCCUCCGAAUCUCGAGAGCCAGACUCCCAACAUGAUUACUUUCUCAAAAAUCGAAGAGACACUGCUCCCCGAAUCUCGAGAGCCAGACCCCCAGCAUGAUUGCUUUCUCAAAAAUCGAUGAGGCAUCGUUCUCCGAAUCAAUCGAAGAGGCGCUCGCUUUCUCAAAAGCUGGGCUGCUCAGAGACCACGAGGGUCGAUCUCAGAAAUCGAAGAGGCACCUACUUUUCUAGCCUUGUCAGCACCUGUCACACGCACACUCAGCUUUGCAGAAAUUAUGGACAUUCUGUCGAAGACUUCUGGUGAAGUAGAAAGCACAUGAAUCUUACUGUUCAAUCACCCACUUCCCACACGCAACAAUAACUCAUGGGUACCACAGAUAACUUUGCCAAAGUUCUCUGCCAAAGUUGAGCACGUGAAGCUUGGAGCUCCCACUACAUCGCUCUGACCAAGAAAGGUAAAAGAAUAGCAAAGAAACAGCACUAACAAAGUUUAGACACAUAAAUUUUGAAGGUCUAGCUACCAUAUUAUUACCCACAAGGGUAAAGGAACAGUACCACUGCUGGAUAAUUGGAAAGUCCCUGUGUGUCAACCUCUGUGCUUCGUGGCAAGGUAGACUAGCAAACAUGCCCAACCUUUACUCACAUUUGAGAAAACACUCCCAACAAGAUUGCUUGCUCCAAAAUCGAAGAGGCACCGUCCUCCGAAUCUCGAGAGUCAGACUCCCAACAUGACUACUUUCUCAAAAUCGAAGAGAGGGUAAAGGAACAGUACCAUUGCUGGAUAAUUGGAAAGCCCCUGUGUGUCAACCUUUGAGCUUCGUGGCAAGGUAGACUAGCAAACAUGCCCAACCUUUACUCACAUUCGAGACAACACUCCCAACAAGAUUGCUUGCUCCAAAAUCGAAGAGGCACCGCCCUUCGAAUCUCGAGAGCCAGACUCCCAACAUGAUUACUUCCUCAAAAAUCGAAGAGACACUGCUCUCCGAAUCUCGAGAGUCAGACCCCCAGCAUGAUUGCUUUCUCAAAAAUCGAAGAGGCAUCGUUCUCCGAAUCUCGAGAGCCAGAUACCACAGACCACUUUUUCAAAGUGUUCUGACAGAGUUAAAACAUGUGAAACUGGCAGCUCCCACUACCGUGCUAUGACCAAGCAGGGUAAAGGAAUAACAUUACUACUUGUUGUUAGGGAGACUCCUAUAUAUGUCGACCUCCAUCCCCAAUAGACAGGCAGACCUGCAAAAAUGCUCAACCCUUCAUCAUAUCUGAGAGGGCACUCCCAACGAAGCCUUUCGAAAUAUUCAGCUUUCUUUCCCCCCGAUAAUACCUCUGCAAACAAGCUAUACUAGAGCAAGAAUAUCUCAUAUCAUCAGGGUUAAAAGCAAGAGUAUCCCAUAUCAUCAUGCUUUUUCCCUGUCUUUUCUUUUGGCCUUGUUUUUACCUGCAAGACAAGGAGAAAGAGAGCAAUCAGUCAGCACUUGGAAUUAAGCUUCCAGCCAGGAACUGACUGCCUGGAACCCCUUACCUGAUUACUUACCUGGCAUUGCUCUCGAGUACUCAUCUUCAACAUCUUAUGUUUCCAGGGAAGAUUCCGCAUCUGCUUGAGGAACAGAUAGGGCAAGUGCGAAGGAUACAAGGAAGCAUGUGGAGACAAGCGUAACAGCACCCGUGCCGAUACAUCCAUUACUCUGUCAAAAGCAAAAGUAUCCCAUAUCAGCAGGGUGGAACGUACUCUAGAUUUGAUGGACUUGUUUUGACCCUCAAAUUCUUCAGUCGGCCUUAUACUCUGGAGGAAACCAGAAAACCCUCCAGCUCAGUUCAAGAAUAAGCCUGUGGAAAGUUACUUCUUCAAAAGCAAAAGUAUCUCAUAUCAUCUCUUCUCAUUUUUCUUCUCUUUAUCCUUCAUGCUGCUGCAAGAUGGGGAGAAGGUGAACAAUCAGUCGGAGCUCUGAUUGCUUACCUUGUCUCUCACCUCUUUCAGCAGACCCCCUAGCUCGGCGACUUGGGGGACUCCUACUACAUGGUUUGUAUCGCGCUUGACCAAGCCUGAAACUACAAGUAAGCUUCAAGUGAAAUUGAUACAUUACCUUGUGCAUCUCCACCAGUUAAAGAUACCACCCCUGGAUGGAGGAAGAGUACUUCCAGAGAAGAUGCCACAUCUACCUAUGAGACAGAUAAGGCAAGUCAAGACGACACCACACUCCGAUACUUAGAAGUUUUGUGAUUACGAGAUCAUUCUCCCACAAUAUUUCCUAAUGUCAUUUGUACUAAAUCAUUCACUUGUACUCACUAAAAGAGAGCUUGAACCUAUGUACUUGUGUAAACCCUUCACAAUUAAUGAGAACUCUUCUAUUCUGUGGACGUAGCCAAUCUGGGUGAACCACGUACAUCUUGUGUUUGCUUUCCUAUCUCUAUCCAUUUAUAUACUUAUCCACACUAAUGACCGGAGCAAUCUAGCGAAGAUCACAAAAAGCGACCGUUUUCGCUACCUAGGAUCUAUCUUGCAAGAGAACGGAGAAUUAGAUGGAGAUCUCAACCAUAGAAUACGAGCUGGAUGGAAAGAGUGCAUCCGGCGUGUUGUGUGACCGUCGUAGGCCACUGAAGCUUAAGGGAAAAUUUUAUAGGACGGCAAUAAGGCCAGCGAUGUUGUAUGGCACAGAAUGUUGGGUGGUGAAGCAUCAACACGUACACAAAAUGGGUGUAGCGGAGAUGAGGAUGCUUCGUGGGAUGUGUGGGCACACGAGAAAGGAUAAGAUUGGGAAUGAGGAUAUUCGAGGUAAAGUAGGAGUAGCCGAAAUUGUAGGAAAGAUGAGAGAAAAUCGGCUCCGGUGAUUUGGACAUGUGCAAAGAAGGCCGACUGACGCUCCGGUUCGAAGAUGUGACUACGGGACAGAGGUUCAGGGCCGAAGGGGUAGAGGAAGACCUAGGAAAACUUUGGAAGAGACUCUAAGAAAAGACUUAGAGUACUUGGAUCUAACGGAGGACAUGACACAAAACCGAGCGCAAUGGCGUUCUAGGAUUCAUAUAGCCGACCCCACUUAGUGGGAAAAGGCUUUGUUGUUGUUGUUGUUGUUGUUGAUGUUGUACUGUUAAAGAGGCACUAAUGUCUAAAAUGAUCAGGUAUGUUUUUAAAGCAUGUAUAUAUUCUUUGUAGUUUAGAAUUGGCAAUAUCCAAAAUGCUACCAUUUAUACAUUAAUGCGUCUGUGUGGGGUCUUUCUCGUGUAUUCUGAACAAGAUGAAGCCAAGACACAAACAGCAAUAAAAAGAUAGAAAACAACGGAUGUUUGCCACUUUGUAGUGUAUUUGUAAAGCUUCAUUUAUAUUUUGUGUUUUCUAUGCAGUAGAGAAACAGAGGUCGCACUUGGUGCGAUGGCAAGUGCCUUCGCCCAUAAGCGGUAGGUCUCGGGUUCGAGACUUGGGAGCAGCCUCUCCAUAAAAUGGGGGUAAGGCUAGCCGACAUUCACCUCUCCCAGACCCUGCGUAAAGCGGGAGCCUUGUGCACUGGGUACGACCUUUUUUAUGCAGUAGAGAAACCACAUAACAGAAGAAAACUUCUCGUCUACCAAACAUCCAAGAGGCAAGUCUUAAAAUGAUGAUGAAUCCUUUCAGGAGUACGAUGGCGAUGAGCACUGGAGAAACCUGUACACCUUUCCCUGCUUCAGCUUCUCAAUGGAAAUAUGAUGUGUUUUUGAGUUUUAGAGGUGAAGACACUAGAAAGGGAUUCACAGACCACUUACACACUGCAUUGGAAAGUCAUGGAAUAAUAACUUUUAGGGAUGACCCUAAACUUCAUAAAGGGGAAUCUAUUUCUCCAGGACUUCUUACUGCAAUUGAACAAUCAAGAUGUGCACUCAUCGUUCUCUCAGAAAAUUAUGCAUCAUCAUCAUGGUGCUUGAUUGAACUUUUACAUAUUCUUAAGUGCAUGGAAGCAAGAGCAGCAGUGCUACCAAUUUUUUAUAAUGUUGAUCCCUCUGAUGUACGAAAGCAAACAGGACGUUUUGCAGAAGCCUUCAUUAAAUAUGGAAACAACCCUGGGGCUGACGAAAAGGAGGUGGAAAGUUGGAGAUAUGCUUUAAUGAAAGUGGCAAAUUUCUCCGGGUGGGAUUCAAGGGACUGGUAACAUUUUGAUUUUUCUCGCAACCGUGUCCUCCUUAUAUAAUGACACACACACCCACACACACCCACACCCACACACCCACACCCCUUGUGUGACUUCUGUUUGAGGAAUAGAAAUAGAGCCAAUUAUAUCACAAAUUACAAUGGACAUAGCUAUAAAUGCCAUUAAACGAAUUCCAUCUAUAGUUCGAUAACUCUUAUACAAUGCACAUCAUAUCUAGGUGUGUGAUUAUUGUGUUUUGACUUGACUCAAUGCAAAAAAUAGUAAAAACAUUUUGGAACUUAUAUAUCUAACUAUUCUUUUCCAUAGGUAUGAAGCAAGGCUUGUCAAAGAUAUUGUUCAAGUGGUAUGGAAAAAGUUGCGCCCAACAUUAUCAUGUCAUGUGGGAGACAUUGUUGCCAUCGAUUCAAGGUCGAAACCAGUUAUUAAUUUGUGUUUAGAUGCAACGUUGAAUGAUGGUUGCUUUAUUGGGAUAUGGGGGAUGGGCGGUAUUGGUAAGACAACUAUUGCAAGAGUUGUGUACGAGAGAAUCUCUCAUGAGUUUGAAUUCCAAAUAUUUCUAGCUGAUGUUAGAAGUACUGUCGAACAAGGUGGUCUACCUCACCUGCAAAAGCAACUUCUUUGUAAAAUCGGGAUGGAAGAAAAUGACAAAUGGGAUGUUCAAGAAGGAGCAGCAAUCAUACGCAGGUUCCUAUGUGGCAAAAAGGUUCUUUUAGUUCUUGAUGAUGUGAACCAUUUGCAUCAAUUAGAAUAUUUGGCUGGAAAUCAAGAGUGGUUUGGAUUGGGGAGCAGAGUUCUCAUUACAACUAGAGAUGAGCAUUUGCUACUUAAACACGGAGUGGAGAGACGGUUUGAGGUUAAAGGACUCAAUAACGAUGACUCUCUUCAACUUUUUAGCCGGAAUGCCUUUAAGAAAGAUUGCCCUGAACCUUGUUUUGUUCAUUUGUCAAAUCGUGUGGUAAAUUAUGCCAAAGGUCUUCCACUAGCUCUUAAAGUCUUGGGAUCUUUUUUGUACGGAAGAGAUUUAAGUUCAUGGAACAAUGUGUUGGAUAAACUAAGAGAAAUUUGUAAUUCAGAAGUUUUUGAGACACUUAAAAUAAGUUACGAUGCUCUAGAUGACAAUGAGAAGAAAAUUUUUCUAGACAUUGCAUGUUUCUUUAAUGGAGAGGAAAAAGAUGGAGUAAGACAGGCACUUGAAGCUAGUGGUUUUUAUGCACAUAUUGGAAUAGAUGUCCUUAUUGAGAAAUCUCUCUUAACUGUUAAUUCAGUCGGUCAGCUGUCGAUGCAUGAUUUACUCCAAGAAAUGGGUCAAGAAAUUGUCCGUCGAGAGUCUCCUGAUGAUCCAGGCAAGCGUAGCAGGUUGUGGCGUACAGAUGACAUCAAUCGUGUCCUGAGCGAAAAUGCAGUAAGAGGCUCUUAUUACAGUACUGGAUUUGAUUGCACUAGUUAUGCUUUGCUUAUGUUAUGACCUAGAAUAUAUUCAUGUUGACCAGGGAACAGAAACAAUUGAAUGUAUAAUCAUGGACCCAGAUGAGCUAGGAGCAGUCCAAGUGAAUGCUAAAUCCUUUUCAAUGAUGAAAAAUCUGAGAUUCCUCCGGCUAUAUAAUGAGAACCUCUUUAACAGGCUUGAAUAUCUUCCCAAUAGUUUGCAGUUUCUUCAAUGGUGCAGCUUUCCUCUAAAAACUUUGCCGUCAUCUUUUUGUCCAGAGCAUCUAGUGGAACUUCACAUGGUGUAUAGUAGCCUUGAACAUCUUUGGAAGGGAAUAAAGGUAAUUCUCUCACUCAUUGAUUUUUAUUAACUACAUUAACAUCAUGCACUGCUAAUUUUGCUAUGUUUUCACAUGAUAACAGCAUGCGUACAAUUUGAAAAUCCUUGAUCUUAGUGAGUCUCCAGUUCUUGUGGAAACUCCAGACUUCAGAGGUAUGCCAAAUCUGGAGUAUCUGAAUCUUUCACUUUGCGACCAAUUGUAUGAAGUUGACCAGUCUCUGGGGACACUUGAAAGACUUCAGGUUCUGAUGUUGAUUGGUUGCAGAAACCUUGCGCAUCUUCCAAGAAGUGUAUCUGGUUUAAAGUCUCUGAGAGUUCUUGAUGUUUAUGGUUGCUCAAGGCUUAAAAAUUUGCCAGAAGACUUGGGCCAUGUUGAGAGUUUGGAACGGCUUGAUGUGUGUGGAACUGCUAUAACUGAACCACCUUCUUACAUUGGUCUUUUUAGGAACCUGAAGAAAUUAUCAUUCGACAGUUUUACAAAAUAGAAGUUCAAGUUGGCCACAUUUGUGGUUGUCUUCUUCAUCUGGUUGGCAAUCUUUAACGCACUUGAGUCUACGAGACUGCAAGAUUUUGGAUGGAGGAAUUUUAAAUGAUAUCGGCUGCCUCUCCUCAUUAAGGCAUUUGGUUCUAGCCCGAAAUCCUCUUUCUAGCUUACCCAUGAGUAUUUGUCAACUCUCCAAACUUGAAUACCUUGAUGUGUCUGGUUGCUACUGUCUUCAAACAUUAAUCCCAGAGCUUCCUUCUGCAAUAUCUUUUGUUAACGCUUCCAAUUGCACGGCAUUGGAAUCAGCUCGUGUAGACAUGAUUAAGCUUUUUGCUAACUGUUUCAAGCGGGUGGAGAAGCAAGUUUGCACGAGUAUGAUAUUUGAUUGUCUAGGAUGCAAGUUUGUGGUUCCUGGAAGUGAAAUUCCAGAGUGUCAUGUUAUAUGAAUUUGGUUGAUUCAUGUUUCUCUCACUUCAUAAAAUUUGCUUCUAAUUUGAUAUAGGAAUUAAUUUGGAAAGUUUUCUUAAUCUUAAUAACAAUUUUCAAUUUAAAUAUAUUUUUUAAUGAAAUAGUCUAUCUUUUAAAAUAUUUAUCAAUAAAAUAAUGUACCUAUAUAUAUAUAAUUUUUUUUUUGCCAACUAUAAAUUUUUACCAUAAUUUACCUAUAUAAUAAUGUACCUGUUAUUUAAUUUUUACAACACUAAUGUAUCUUAAAAAUAAUUUACUUAUUGUUUAGUUUUAGCAAAAAUAAUUUACCUACUGUGUAUAAUUGGUGAAGCUAAUGAUGUACAUAUUGUUUAAUUUUUUAAAAAUUAAUGUAUGUACAAAAAUAAUUUAUCUAUUGUUCAAAUUUUAGGAUAAAAAUUUACAUGUUUUUAUUUAACAAUAAUGUAUCUACAAUUUUAUUUUUGUAUGAAUAUAAUUUACCUACUUUUUAAUUUUAUAUGAAACUAAUUUACCUACUGUGUCAGUAAUAUAUCUACAAUUUUACAUACAAUAUUUACCUUUUUUUUUUCUCACAACAAUAGUGUAUCUACAAUUUUGUUUUUGUAUGAAUAUAGUUUACCUACAAUUUAACUUUUCAAAAAAUGUAUCUUCUAUUUUAUAUUUUACUAUCAUAUAUAUGUUUCUGUGUUCGCAAAAUAAUUUAUCUAAAGUUAUAUAGUUAAGAGAUAUGCUAAUGAAUUAUAUUAAUUCAUUAUUAGACUGAUAUAAGAAAUUGUUAAAAACGUUAGUUAUAAUGGUUGGCUAAUAAUGGUUGUAUGAGAACAGUUAUAGAAAGUUGUGGCAUAAAUUGUAAAUAACUUAUAUUAAUAGGUUAUUUAUUUUCUUAUGUGGUAAUUUAUUUAAAUUUUGGGUUUUGAUUGAAUGUUUAUUCAUAAGUGGGUUUUUAUCUGAAGUAUAUGAGUUGUAUGGGUCUAUAUCUAAACAACCCUUAAUUUUAUUCAGUAAGCAUAAACACUUUACACUUCAUAUACAGCCUAAAACAAUAGAGCAAUAUAAGAAACUGUUGAAAGCAAACAUUAAAUUUGCGAUUACCCCAAUCUUCUACUUGAUCAUAUACCAAGUUAUUGAAGCUGACAUUUUUUAUUCUAUAAGCUUAGAAAUCAUAAGAAAAACAAUUGUUGAGUUGAUAGUAAUCUCAAAUAGCAAUCUCUAACAAAAAUUUGACCAUAAAAAAUGUAUAUCCAUCUCCCAAUCAGUAUCAAUCUUCAUCCUCAACAAAAAGUUUCAGUUUUUCUUGCAAAAACACACAUACCCCAGUGCUUAGUUUUCCAAAGAUUAUAACCAAAUGGUUCAGCUGCUAGUGUUGGUGCCCGAAGCGCUGAACUGAAAUGCACCCACUAGAAAUCCAAAUAAACAACCCUGCAAAGCAACUAAACUAAUUUCAGCAAUUCUACCUAAACAUAAAUAGAACAAUUACACAAACCUUACAAUCAAAGGUCUAAUUUUUCAACUACAUACAACAAACUCAGAUCAUUUAGGUGUGAAUCAAAAUCAUAAAUACCCAAGCCUAAAAUAGAGACUUUAAAGACCUAUUUGAAAUUAAUAUCAUGUAUGCUUUUAGUUUCUAAUUAUAAUGGAAAUGACAUGGAAAAUAUAUUCAUUGAAACACUAAAUGAACAACACAAUAGUAUCACACCACAAAUUCCCAAUUACAGUGAUACAUGCUUGAUCACACAAACUUUCUGUUCAGCAAUCCGAUUAUGAAACCACCAAGUCUAAGGAGUUUUAUAACUAAAAUUCUAGUGGGUAAAGGGUGACAACAUUUUUGAAGUAAAAUUAAAGAUCACUAAACAUAUAUUAGUACAAAUAAAGAUAUACCCAACACACAAGAUCACAAAAGAAGAACUUUUACUUGAGCAGCACAAAAGGACAUCCUCUGCAUUUCAUUCAAAAUCCAACAAUCUGAGCUCAAAAUAAUUCAAAAAUUGUGUGUGAAACUCACUUAUCACUCAAAAUGAUUCAAGAAACUUUUACCUUACCAUAUAUUUGGAGUGCAGUGAGGCUUUGAGAGUUGACACUGUUCAGUGCUCAUCAAGAAUUGUGUAUCAUACUCACUUAUCACUCCCCUAUAUAGGAAAAGAAGGCCAUAAGUAUUAUGGACAUAAGUAAUAUGAAUAUUUUCCUUUUUAUUUCUCUCUCAUGAGGAAUUCCUAUGCAAGGGCCUUUAGCUAAAGUGUUUAAAAACAUUUAUCGUACUCGAGUCCUAAGUUUGAUUCUAGAAGUUAUUGAAAUUUCGAAGACGAUGUGGAAUGCAAUAACAGAUCGAUGUUACUCUUUUUCCUUCCAAGCAAGAUUUUGAUGAGGCCACUCAAAAUUGCUUCAUUUCAAUUUUCAAUGAAUAUUCUACUUUUUUUCGAAAAAAAAAAAAAGGUAAAUUACAUGGUAGCCCCUCAUGUUUGAGGUCUAUUACAACUCCAUACAACAUCUUUAAAACAUUUAACUUUCAUACCUCACGUACUAUUUUAUUUCAAAAUAAUACUUCUGUUACAUUUUUUAUCUAUUGAUCUGUGAAGCACUGACGUGGCUGCCACAUUUGUGCCACGUGGCAAACAAUUUUUUUUUAAUUAUUUAAAAAAAAAACCUGAAUUUUCUCAACCAAAAAAAAAAAUUAAUAAAAAAAGAAAAAAAGAAAAAAAAGAAACCCAUCCCAUUUCCUCGCAACCCCUCUCUCCUCUCUCUCUACGCACAGAGCUAUCAACCAACAACAAUGGGAAUCUCAGUCCCCAGCUUUUUCAAAGAGCGAAAGUUCUCUUUCAUUUUCACACUUUUACUCCCACUUGCCUGCAUCACCAUCCUCCUCUUCACCAAGACCACCACCAACGCCCCUUACCCUCUCUUCUUCUACUCCGAUCUCCAGACCUCCCCCUCCUCCUCCCAACC